Homo sapiens (human) is the source of this 96271-nucleotide long non-coding RNA. RefSeq lists it as uncharacterized. The record is from RefSeq and is a predicted model, not a curated record. The transcript is spliced from 2 exons. NCBI's taxonomy places the organism in Eukaryota, Metazoa, Chordata, Mammalia, Primates, Hominidae.
GACUUGUCACAGGUGGCAACUGUCUGAGCCUGUGUAUUCUAUUCUUUGUGCCAGAAUUUUCUUACCACUGAUUACCAGGCACAUAAUCACUCUUGCCAUUUAUGACCUUUGGGAAAUGAAAAUUAAAAUGUUAUUAGUCCAUGUGGGUAGCAGUGGAAUUGGUCUGAUGUAAUGUUUUUAAAUUGUUUUUAUUUUUUGAAAUAAAUGAUUUUUACAUCUACUAAAAAGUAAAUUACAACUAUUAAAGGUUAUCUUAUUAAAAAGUAUUUCCCCUUCUCCAUUUCUUCUGUUCCCUUCCCCUGAGGCAAGGAUUCAUAGUACUGCAGUUUCUUGUUUUCGUUUCCCAGAAAACCUGUAAAUGAUGACAUGCUAUCAAAUGCUAUUUAAACUUAGCAAUUUGUUGCAGAAAUUAUGCCGUGUCAGCACAAAUACAAGUCCUCAUUCUUUUUCUAGAGGUUGUAGAGUAUUAUUUCAUUUUAUAGAUGUGCCAUAAUUUAUGUACUUAGUCAUUUGUUAAUAGGCAUUUUAUUGUUUCCGGUUUUUUGCUGCCUCAAACAAUGCUUUGAUGUGUAUAUAUAUGUAUAUAUAAAAUAUCAUCUUUGGGCACAAUACAGGUAUAUUCGAAUUUCCUGUUGGUGAAAUUGCUAAGUCCAAAUAUAUGUGCAUUUUUAAUUAUGAAAUGCAUUGCCAAAUGGCUCAGCGAAGAGAUUAUAUAAAUUAAUCAAUUACACUUCCACCAACAACAAUCAAGAUUACCUGUUUCUUCAUACUCUUGCCAACACCAUGUUUGAUUGAAUUUUUUUGAUCUUUGAAAUGUUAUAGAUGAAAAAUUGGGAGCUCUUUAUUACUUAAAUUUGAAUUUCUUCUACUGUGAGUGGAGAGGAAACUUUUCAUAUUGUGUUGUUUGUAUUUCUAACCAUAUCCUUUGCCCAUUUUCCAAUAUAUAGUUCUUCUCACUGUUUCGUAAGAUAUUUUGAUAUAUUAAGAGCUAUCAUAUACUGGAAAUAUGAUCUCCAGCUUUUAAUUUUAAUUUGACCUUGUAGAAUUAUUGCCUUCCAGAAUUAUGUUUUGUAGUCAAAUUUAUUAGUCCCUUUUUAAAAACUGUACUUCCAAACAGAGCACCGCUUGGAAUAACUAUUCUAAAAUAAUAAAGAUUAUUUUGUGAUUUCUUCCAGUGUUUUUAUGAUUUUAAUUUUUAUGGUUGUAUCUUUGAGCUAUCUGGACCUUAUUUUAUGACAGUGACAAAGGAAUCUUUAUUAGUCAGGAUUAAAGUAGUCCAUGAUAACAAACAACUCCCAAAUGUCAGUGGAAUAACACAUCAAAAAUACAUCUCUUGCUCAAACCAUCUGCUGAAGGUCUGCAAAAACAUUCCAAGAUAGCUAUCCUCAGUGAUCUAGGGAUGUUUCUGUCUUGAGCUCAACCAUCUCAGCAAGAGGCCUUGCAUUUGCUGUGGCAGGAGAAAACAGCUAGAGAAUCAAAGAGGAUUCCUCAAUGCCUCAGCCUAGAAGUGACAUGCAUCCCUUCUGCUUAUUGACCAUGUCCAAGUCACAUGGCCCAGCCCAAUUCAAGGAGGCUGGGACAUACAGAUUCCAGUAUGCCCAGGGGUGAAAGGAGAACCAGUGAUUAGUGAGCUCAUAAUGUUUACCAUAAUAUCUAUUUUAUGUUACUCUAGAUGGCUGCCAGGUCAUCUAACAUUACUUAUUGCAUAACCUAUUUUUUUCUCAUUGAUUUGGAAUGCUAUCUUGGUUAUACACUGAAAGCUUCUGUAUCUUUCCAUUUUCCCCUGAGAUCAUUGACUUUUCUAUAUAUUUUUAGACUAGUAAUAAAAUGUUUUAAUUAUUGUGGCUUUACAAUAUAUAUUACUUGGUAUAGUCCUGCUUUAUCAAGUUUUAUUUACAUUUAUAUUAAUUUUCAUUUGAAUUUCAGAAUCAAUUUAUAUUGUUCUCCUAAAAACCAUGUGUAUUUUUUAUUGGUAUUUCUUUAAGUGAUGAGAUUAAUGUUAUAACACUUUAUGUCUUUAGCAUACUACUUUUAUGCAAGCAGAAAAUAUGUCUUCAUUUAUAUUCAGGUUGUCUUUUGUAUUCCUUAGUAAUGUUUUAAGGUCUUUAUCAUAUAGAUCUUACAGUUAAAGUUAAGCUUCCGCUGAGUGUUACAUCACUUUGAUGUUUUAAGUGGAGCUUUUAUUUACAUUUCUAACCACCUUUUAUUAAAUAAAAGGAAACUAAUUUUUGACAUAAUAUUAUGUAUCCAUGUACUUCACCGAAUCUUUUAAAAAAUAGUUUCCAGGCCGGGCGUGGUGGCUCAUGUCUGUAAUCCCAGCACUUUGGGAGGCCGAGGCAGGCGGAUCACAAGGUCGGGAGAUGGAGACCAGCCUGGCUAACAUGGUGAAAUCCCGUCCCUACUAAAAAUACAAAAAAAAAAAAAAAAAUUAGCCAGGCGUGGUGGUGGGCGCCUGUAGUCCUAGCUACUCGGGAGGCUGAGGCAGGAGAAUGGAGUGAACCUGGGAGGCGGAGCUUGCAGUCAGCCGAGAUCGUGCCACUGCACUCCAGCCUGGGCAACAGAGCAAGACUCCAUCUCAAAAAAAUAAAAAAAAAAUUUAAAAAAAGUUUUCAUUUGAUUUUUUUCAUUUUAACUCAUACUCUCUGUAACAAUUACAGUGUCACCUCCUUAUUUCUAAAUUUUAUAUCUAUUUUUGUCUUUGAAUUUAAGUUUAUGUAUUUUGAUGACUUGGUAAAAUUCUCAUCCCUUUGCAGUUGGGCAAAAAUUAAUCAGUGUUGUAUAUGAUAUCAUUUUAUUAGAUUCUAAACUCUUUGUGAGUUAGAACUAUUUAAUUAAAUAAAAAUAGUUGACAUCUCUUAUAGGAAAAUCACUGUGUGAAGUCCCAAAUGAUAUAAAAAAAGAAAUAAAACAUAGUUCUUAUGCUCAUGAUUCUUACCUUUGAAACCCUCCCUCCUCAGCCCCACAAAGCCAGGCACAGUGGCUCAUGACUGUAAUCCUAAGGCUUUGAGGGGCUGAGGAUGGGAGGAUUACUUGAGCCCAGGAGUUCAAGGCUUCCAUGAGCUAUGAUCGCACCACAGCACUCCUGUCUGGGUCAAUGAAGCAAGACUGUGUCUCAAAAACCAACCAAACAAAAAACAACAGGGAGUGUCCAAAGGCUGUAAUACAAGGUCAAAUGUAGUAAAUGAUGUAAUUGGGAAUCGUAAGAAGUGUUUGGAAAUAUUAGAUUUUAAUUUGCCCAGUGGUGCCGUAGGUUGGAAUGGAGGGAAUGCAGGAAGAUGGGCAAGGCUUCACAGAGAAGGAAGCAUUUAAGUGAUAUGUUGAUGUUCAGAAACAAGAUAGCAUGUGAGCAGGGUGUAGUGACACGUACCUGUAGUCCCAGCUACUUGGAAGCCUGAAGCAGGAGGAUCACUUGAGCCCAGGAAGUUGAGGCUUCAGUGAGCUCUGAUAGUGCCACUGCAAGACAGAUUGUGGAUUGCAGAAAUGGCCAUUGCAUUCCUCAGGGGAAAAUCUAUACUCAUUUUUAAAGCUUAAUUUUUUUCAGCAUCUAGAAUAGGUGCACCCAUGAACAUUCAGUAUCUUCAGGAGACUAACCAUAUGGGAAUGGUUUACUAGUAACUCAUUUGUACUUGAGUAUCCAUUAUAUUGGAAACUAGGACCAUUUCUUUCUCAUUAAUUGAGAGUCAUGAUUUGUCUAUAAUGUCCUUUAUGAUGCAGAAUUUAUCUGAUACUUUGAGUUAAAUCAGGCUUGCUUUUUGGCUCAUAAGUAUUUAUGUAUAGACAGAAAUUGUGGCUUUUAUCUAUUUUUAUUAAGUAAAAUUGUGACUGAUUUUAUAGCAAUUAAGAUGAAUUUUUCUUUGCAGACAAAUUUUAUUGAAGGAAUAUUGACAAUCAACUUUCAUUGAAAGCAAUGGGUUUUGUGAUUUCAUGGAAUAAAUGCUCUGUUCUAAGAGUUAACUGACCUAUGUUUUUGUUUCAGGGUUUUGGCUAAAUAGCUGCACAUCUGUAGCACAAAGCCAUUUUUCCUCAGUUUCCUAUUGUGUAGAAAAAACAUUUGGGAUCACAAAAUUCCUAGGUUCCUUCCAUUCUGAAAAUUUUUACACUAAUUCCAACUUUGCCUUGAAUGUCUAAUGAUUUGCAUUUCUCUAUGUAAAGCACAUCUCCUGGCACCGAACUGAAAAUGAGAUUAGAAAACACCUAGUAGAGAGGAUAAAAGGUACAAGUCCUAAGCUUAUUUUGCAUUCCCCUUCUUCCUUUUUUCUCCCCUGAGAAGCAGGAUGUCAAGCUCCUUGGAAAACUAAUAUUUCAAAGGAAAUAUCAAUUUGCAACUGAAGUAUGGGAUUGAAUGAUUUCAUUGUCUCAAAAUGAUAUGGUGGUGAGGGUAACAUUCUAUAAUUUAAAUAUUCAAAGUUUUGAAAAUGUACAGAUUCUUUUAGUAAUUCUUCCCCAGAAAUACUAGUAUUUACUAGUAGUAUUUUUUAAAAGCAAGUCUUCUUUGCAAGAUAUAAUCAGUAUUGAAUCCAUAAAACAGAAUAUUUUGGAAGUAUGGCUUUAACACCAUGGCAUAAUUAUAGCUGAUUAUGACCAGAGUUUUGAAUUCAAGUAACAUUAACACACCACAAUUAUUGAAGUUGUAUGUAUCCAGAUUAGCAAAAUGAGCAAUAUUUUUCUCUCAACCCUUAAUUCCUACAUGUUAGUCCUAUUUCCUCUGAUAUUUUCAGGAGUCCUCUUUGCUUUCAGUAGGUAUUCAAAUGAUGACUCUUUCAGUUCUCCAUAUAGAAGACAGAAAUUAGUCUUAUUCUCAAGCUCUAACAAACCUUCCCAAAACCCAGUGACAUAAAACAAUAAACAUUUGUUAUUGCUAAUGAGUUUGCAGGUCAGCUGAGUGGUUCUGGGUUCAUGUAUGUGUCUGUGGUCAGCUGUGGGUUGAUGAAGUGGCUCUGCUGAUUUGGGCUGGGGUCUCUCACAUGUUUCGAGGUCAUCUGGCUCUAGACUAGUCUAGAGUUGUCCCUACUCAUCUCCGCGUGUUUUGUUCAGCUCUCCCUUAAAAUCAGCACUCUUCUGGUUUCUCCACCCUGGGGAUAUCCUCACAGUGAAAGCAGAACAGUAAGAGACAGAGUGGAAACACACAAGGCCUCUUGAGGCCUAGACUUGGAACAGGCACUCCAUCAAUUACGCCACAUGCUUUCGCCCAAAGCAAGUCUCAAGGUCAAGCCAGUUUUCCCCCGAUUUAGCAGUAGGGAAAUAGAAGGAGCUACAGUCAUGUUGCAAAAGGAUGUGGAUACAGGGAAGGUGAAGAAUUGUGGCCACUUUUGCAAUCAAUCUACCCCACUUUCCUUCUGAGAAGCUGGUUGUUUCCAGUGAAAUCAAAGCCAGCUGAAACCUGGACAAUCAAGUAGCCAAAAACCUUCCCUGUUAGACUUCAGCAUAUUGAAUUUGGCUUGUACCAAUUUACAGAGCCAGUUGUUAAACACAGCUAUUAAACUACAUAAACUUCAAUCUAAAUACAUUAUAUUGAAAAAAGAUGAUCAUGUUAAUACUGUCACUUCCUACUUUUUAUUAUUAUCCAUGUUCUCAAAGUUAUUUAUAAUCAUUAUAUCCAAAUGGUAGGAAUGCUAUAUAAUGAUGCUACUGACAUCUCUGCCCAAAUCUGUGCUCAGUGACACCAUGUUGAUAGAUUGAAAUUGGCCAUGAGAGUAUUUACACAAGAUAAAUUGACAAACACUACUAAUUAGGGCUUUUUUUCUUCCUUUUUUUUUUUGAUAGCUGCUUGUUAACAUUUACCAGCCCAUCAUUGCCUGUAUGUGUGAUGGAGGAUUUGAAGGCCCAAGUCAAGUCAUUCCUGCAUUUUAUAGCAUGAGUUACAGAUUUACUUUAUUGACUUUUAUGUGUUCUAUGGCUUUGAUGGAAGAAGGAAAAUAUGUGGAUAGAGUAAUUGAAGAAACGAAAUUGCUUAAAGCUACAUUUUAAAAUCAGUAAUGACCAUAGUGAUAAAAGCUGUUUCUCUCUUUCUUUAGUAAACUUUACUGGAUGUAAUGAAAACAAAUUUAUUCAACUUACUAGUGUCAGUGUACAAGAAUAACCUUAAGGAAAAAUGGAAGAACAUGCAGGUGAAACAUUUAUAAGGAAUCAAAAUGCUACUCAUUAUGCAAAAUGCCUGCAGAAAUAUCUCUAUCAGAAGCAACUAAAACGUAUACAGUUGACCCAGACGGAGAACAAGGGCCCCUUCUCAGGUAUUAGAAAUGGUCUAUAUAUUGAUAGGGGUUACAUGGGUCUAUGCAUCUGUCAAACUCAGCAAAUUAUUUAAGGUCUGUAUGUGAUUUCACUGUCUAUGAAUUAUACCUCAAUAAAAACGUAUAACGUUUAUCUUAUGAAAUUUGAGUGCAGCUGAUAUUAGAUACAGCAAUGUGGGCUGUCAAGAAUACUUUAAUGGAGAUGUGCAUUUGGAAAUAAAUGCCCUUCACCUGGUAUAUGGAGAUAUUUUUAUGGGAGGGAAUAGCCAUUGAGUAGGCUGGGUUCCAGUGACUUCAUGGUCAUGCCAGUCAGCGUUACCAGCAAUCCAGAUGGCAGAGGGGGCUGUAGCAUAGACUCUGAAUUAUUGAUUCUGGGUUCAAAUCUGAGCCUAGUUCCCAGUGACCCAGCACAUGUGAUUUGACCUUUCUGUGCCUUAGUUUCCCUAUUUAUAAAUGGCAAUGAUAAAAAUAUUUCCUUCACAGGAACGUUUGGAAGACCAAAUGAUUUAAUAUUUGUGAAGAACUUAGUAUAGUUCUGGCACAGAGCAAACACUAUAUACAUAUUUAUCAGAUAAACAAAGUGACUCCAAUAAGCUAGCUGCAACCACCGCAACUGUCAUCUACAACUUAACCAGUUUUAUUUUUUUACAGCACUUAUCCUUCUUUAAGAUGAUCUUAUUUUGAAUAAUUUAUUUGCAUGUCAUUGUCAGUUGCCCACCCACCUACUUCAUAAGCCCCAAGACAUAAGGGACUGAUCUGUUUUGUUCUUCCCUGUACUCCUAGAACAGUGCCUGACACACAAUAGAUCAUAACACACUGAAUGAAUGAAUAAAGGAAUGAUGUUUAAAGCAAAACAGGUUCUUAAAGAAGUGAGUCCUAUGAUAUUAAUGUUCCACCAAAAUCAUUUCCUUAAUUACUGGUUAAAUUGUUAUGUGCCUAUCCUGUGUGCUGAGUGGUACGUAAACAGCUUACUGGGGAUGAGGUAUCUGGAUUGAUAUGACCAAGGAAAUUUCUUGAGUGAGAAGGAGCCAAUAAUUGGAAAACCCCUGAUUACCUAAUGCUUGUAGCAUGUCCCAGGAUCUGAAGAAUUUUUUAUAUAUCAAUAUUUUGAAUAAAAUUCGUAUUUGUCCUCAGAGAGACAAAAACUUCUGCUUUUAAGAAUACUCAGAAGCUAAACUAAGACAUUCAUUAUACCAUCUAAUUGUGCUAGAUUGACAUUUUUUCCUUCAGGAUAAUAAAUCAAGUAAGAUUAAGCAAUUUAUACUAUGACUGGGAGGAAACUCAAAUUAACAACAGACUAGUUCUGCCCCUUAAAUUUGGCAGAUGCUCUAUUUCCAUUAAUCUCUGCACCUGGCUUCAAAUUUCAUGAGGCAGGGUCCUAAUCACACUCAUCUAUGCAUCGCUCAGAGCUUCCUAGAGUGUCUUGUAUUUAAUACACACAAUAAAUAGAUGAGCAAGCUAAAUGAAUUGAAUUUGAAAGUGUAAAUACAUGCACAAGAGCUUGAGACCAAGGAUUUAAAGUAAGGCUUUGUGUUUUACCAAGACUGCCCUCUGGAAGAACAGAGGGGUCACCCACACAAUCUGGAAAUUAGGCUCACUCCUUCCAUUUUACAAUUCCUUAUUGGCCUUGGUAGGCCUACAGGUUAUUCUCAAAAACCUGACACACACACAGAAACACUCCCACACCCCUCCUCCCCCACCACACACAGUGUAGUGAUGGAUUUACUUCAAGGACCAUGAGUUACGAGAUAAGCCACACAGAGCAGAGCAAGAGUGUACAAUACUGAAAAAUAUGUUGUGGUGAAGAUUCAUGUUUGAGUCAUAGGACGGGAAUCCAGAUGUUUAUUUUUAGGGGUCUCAGAUAACAUAUCUUUACAUUUGAAAGGCAACAGGGUAUUUGUUUGGUUACACUAUAAGCAUGUAUUAUUUUGUUGAGACUAAAUUACUUUUUUUUAUUUCUAUGAUGCAGCACUCUUUUAGUAUGGAGAGGCUCAUUUGGCAAUUCCCUCACCUUUUUAGUAGAAAUGAAUUUUGAUACAAGACCAAAUGAGUGUCUCUUUCUUUUCACUAACUCCCAUGACCUGCAUUCUGAGUUGUUGUUGUUUUUUAACUUGAGAUACAUGAGUCCUCUGUGCUGCAUUCUGUCAUCCCCAAUAUCAUUUCUACAGAAUGAAUUGAGCAAAGAUGGCCUAGCAUUCGUAUUUAGCAAGCAAAUACUAUGUGUUUAGCAAGUCUUCCACCAAAAUACUUAGAAAGAUCAUGUUAACAGUAGAGGGUGGUGACUGCAAGUUGUCCAGGUUCUUGGCGUUUUGCACAAAGAAUUGGACAAAACGUCUAGCAGAGCAAAGAAAGAAUGAAGGAACAAAGAAGGAAAGCAGGGAUUUAUUGAAAACAAAAGUACACUCCACAGUGUGGGAAUGGACUCGAGCCACAAGCAGCAGCUCAGGGGCCCAAAUACAGAAUCUUCUUGGGUUCAAAUACCCCCUAGAAGUUUCCCAUUGGCCACUUCGUGCUCACCUCAUGUAACUGAAGCAGUAGCCUGCAAUCGGUCUGAUUGGUUGCAGAAAACAGCCAACCAGAGGCUGAAGUGAAGUUACAAAGGUCACACUCCCGUGCAAACAUCUGAUUGGUUGCUUUUUGCAACCAAUGACCUGCAUUCUGAGGUGUUUUUUUUUUUUUUUUAACUUAAGAUACAUGAAUCCUCUGGGCUGCGUUCUGUCCUUGGCUGCUUUUUGCAACCAAUCAGAGGCUAGGGUGAAGUUACAAAGUUGCCAAGGAAGACUGGACCUGCAAUCAGUCUGAUUUAUUGCAGACAGCCAACUUCCCAUCUGCCGCAUAGAAAAGGUCAACUUAGGCGUGGAAAGUUAGGGUUUUCCUUUCAAUUUAGUUCCAGGAAAUUGGCAUGAAACAGUCUUAGGUUCCCUGCCUCCAGGCCCUAUUCUCCUGCCUCAAUCAUGUUAUCUAUGGCAGUGCUUCUAAAACUAUAAAGUGCAUCCACAUCCCUGUAUGUGCCAGUGUGGAUUCACCAGGUCUAGGGGGCACCUGAGAUUCUGUAUCUCAAACUGGGCCCUGGGUGUUGCUAUAGACCACACUCUGAGUAGCAAAGUUCUAAAGGGAAAUAUAUUUAUCACCCUUCCACAAACGGAUUCUAUUUAAAAAAAGAAAAAAGAAAGAAAAGAAAAAAAUCAUGUUAUCUUCCUUAAAACAUAGUUUCAUAUUCUUUGCCUCUAAAUUAGGUGACUGUAAACUCCCUAGGCAAUGAGGAGAUUCCCAGCUAUGGUGGUCUAAGUGCAAAACAAUUUUUUCCACACCAUCAGCAGCAAUGUCCACGCUCAUUAAGGCUGUAUUUCUGGAUUUUCCUUUGCAAUGGGCUUCCAUGUUAGAUCUUCACUACAUCCAAUUUCAGAAAAAAAAAAAAGUUUUGAGAAAAGUUCUCCAUGUGAGAGCACUUCUGUGCUGUUUUUGAAACUUCCUUCUCAUUUUUCUGGUAUCUUCCAGCAGGCAAUGGGGAAACCUGCUUAAGCUCACCCCUCUUUCACUUUGAGCUUUAUGGUGACACUUUUCUGGCACAUAUGUCAGCAGAGCCCACUUUUUAGCUGAGUUGAAAGGAACAUGGGAAGCACUGCUUCAUUUCUGCCUGGAAAAGCCAGGGACACGAUGAAAUGUGAUUUUGUUUCCUGAAACGUGGAAGGAUGGUUGGCGAAAAAUGAAACAUAGCACAGCCAUCGCUCUUCACUAAGGGCCAACUCCUUGAGAAAUGUGCUACUUUAACUCUCAGUAGUUUCUGGACAAGGCCUAAAAUCAAUCAUAAUCCUAAAAGAAAAAAAAGUUCUAUUUCUUUUCCAGUGGUAUUUCAGAGAAUAGGAACUCUGUUACAAUUUGAUUUGCACUCUGUUCGCAGAAAACCGACCACGCGCACUGGUUUUGCUUAUUGGUAUGUUUGGAUACACACGUGCGUGCACCUGCUCAGACCACAAAAUUGAAGCUCAGAAUGGAAAACAGAGGUUUCCAUUGAGGUUUCAGCUAAAAUAAAUUUAAAUUUAAGCCUUUCUUUGCCAGUUUGUGCUUCAAAACUUCAGAAAGUGAGGAGAUGCAGGUCAAAGGGCACAGAGCAGCAGAUAUGUAGGAUGAGCAAGUCUAGAAAUCUCAUUUACAACAUGAGGACUGUAGUUAGUAAAACUGUAUGGUAUUGGGGUUCUUUGUUAAAUAAGUAGGUUUUAGCUGCUCUUGUCACAGACUCACAAAGUAACCAUGUGAGAUGAUAGAUAUGUUAAUUUGCUUUAAAGUAGCAAUGAUUUUACUGUCUGUGUAUCUCAUAACAUCGUGUCAUAAACCUCAAAUAUAUACAAUAAAAUAUAUUUAAAAAUACAUAUAGGCUGAGUUUUUCAGGACAUAGAAAAGAAAUAUGAACUGGAUGAGAAUGAGAAACUCACAUAAAAUGGAAGAAGAUUACCAUUAUUAUUAUUACUUUGAGACAGAGUCUCGUUGUGUCACCCAGGCUGGAGUGCAGUGUCGUGAUCUCAGCUCACUGCAGCCUCCUGAGCUCAAGGGAUUCUCUGACCUCAGCCUCUCAAGUAACUGGGAUUACAGGCACCUGCUACCACAUCUGGGUAAUCUUGUAUUUUUGGUAGAGAUGGGGUUUCACCAUGUUGGACGGGCUGGUCUCGAACUGCUGACCUCAGGUGAUCUGCCCGUCUCAGCCUCCCAAAGUGCUGAGAUUACACGCAUGAGCCACUGUGCCCAGCCAGAAAAAGAUUAUUAUAUCAAGAUGGUUUUAUAAUAAUGAAGAAUAGAAAUCUGGACAUACUCAGAUUUGUAGCAUAGACUGAUGGACAGUCCUGUUUGCUCUCCCAAGCAGAAAAUCUAAAAGGAAACCUGGCUUCUAAGGGUUUGGAGAUUCAAACCUUGAAUUCUGAUUCUCUAAUUACAAGUGGACUUCAGUGAGUUAAAAAUACAGACAUCAGCUGGAACUUGAAUGGAGGGUAGGGGCUUUGCUGGGAGUUGCCUGGUGAGGGAAAUAUUUUAAAAAGACUUUGAGUAAAACUGUUGUAAGACCAACAGGUUCGUAUGCCCAUUUGCACAGUAACAAAUCAUUUGCAGCAGAGAAAGAGUUUAAUCAUUGCAAGUGCAGAUCAGGGAGAUAAGAGGAAACCCUCAAAUCCAUCUCCCUGAAGGAGUUCUGGGCUGGGAUUUUUAAAGGGAUUAUGAAGAGUGAGGGGCUGGAAAUUUGGGAUUCUUGAUUGGUUGGAGUAAGGAGGAUAAAAUCAUCAGGUUUUGGAAAAUGAAUUAUUUGGUAAGUCAGCUUCUCUUGGAGCCCUAUAGACCAGCUGGCGUCAGUAGUUUUACUGGUAUGCAGGACCUGAAAGAAUAUCUUAAAGGAAAAACUGAAUGUUUCAUAAUGUUCAAGUUGUUAUCUGUACAGCAGUUGAGGGAAACUAUAUCUUGUGUAACAGGGUCUAUGUGAUUCUAGAACAAUACACAAACAUCUAUGAGGAAGCAGGUCAGAGGAAGCUGACCUAAUAAUUUGUGCUGAAUGUGUGGCAAGUUUGGUUUAUUUUCUUCCCCCACAACCUUCUUCCCUGAUUAAUUUUAUAAAGUUUAUAGGGAUGGUUUCAAAACAAAGGAAAACAGAUACAACCAGGUUGGGUCCAAAUGAUUCAGGACAUUCUCAGCAACAACAGCCCCCAUGACUUGAGUCUCUCUAAUAAAAAAAGAAAAGAAAAAAUCUGAGGACAACUGUAAGGGUAGUCAGGGUUUUCAUUUUUUUUUUUUCUGUGACAGAGUCUCACUCUGUUGCCCAGGCUGGAAUCCAGUGGUGCAAUCUCGGCUCACUGCAACCUCUGUCUCCCGGGUUCAAGCGAUUCACCUGCCUCAGCCUCUCGAGUAGCUGGGACUACAGGUGUGUGCCACCACACUCAGCUAAUUUUUGAAUUUUUAGUAGAGAUGUGGUUUUGCCAUGUUGGCCAGGCUGGUCUCCAACUCCUGACCUCAGGUGAUCCACCCACCUUGGCCUCCCAAAGUGUUGGGAUUAUAGGCAUGAGCCACCAUGCCCAGCCAACUGUAAGGGUUUUUAUAGAUGUGUUUACAUAAAAGAAAAUAGCACAGGGAAAAAGUGUGCAGUGUCAAUAAAUGGGACAGGAUUAUUCACUCCUGGUUUGUAUUCCCCAUCCCAAGAGAACGACGAUUUCACUGCAAAGGCAUUUUAAGAGCCAUGUAGAGGAAUUGUGGCCGAUUGAAUAGGAAGUUCUACCUGGUUCAAAUGAGCUCACAUCUCUCGGGGAAGCUGGUGACUGUGGACCCAGGUAGUCCAGGUCAUCUUUGAGAAAUGAUGGAGAACGUAGUGUCAGAGGUGAGGGGAUUCUGUGGCCUCCAUCUAGCAUUCUGCUUGGCAUCUCCUACAAAAACUUCUCAGAAAUAUGAGAAAUACAGGGGAAAAUGUUUGAAUGCUAUCCCAUGGCAGUUAAUAUGGAAUCUGUUGUGGUUUGUGGAUUAGUUGUGUGAUUCAGGUGCCAUUGGAGGUUUCUGGAAGAGAAGGGCCUUUUAAAAGCCUCUGAGAGGCCAGUAUUAUCCCCAGAAAGAAUGAGAGGAGGUUUAUUGUAUGCACGCAAGCAAUAUCUAUGAAUCCCUUUACUUGCUUGUAUCUUACCCUCUUCUGCCCUAGGAACAGGCUCGUGGGAGAAGUGACCCAACUACACCUUCCUGCCAGUCUCGAGCAUUUUAGGUGUUAACCACCAAAGUGGCUGACACAUGUACUUACUCACUUGGUUUUAAUUUGCAGAGUAGGAACAAUGGACUUAGAUUUUUUUAAACUUCUCUAACUCUUUAAUCACUGAAUGAAAUAACUCAUGUUGGAAAGACAAAGAAUUUCCUGGUAGACCUUUUGAACAAGAGCUCAUAGAUUUCAGUGCCAUUGGUAGCCAAUGUGAUACCAUGGCAUUGUUGUCUAUUGUGUUUUUUAGGUUGUGACCUAUUUGUGGGUUAUGAAUUCAAUUUUGUGGAUUGGGACCUGCAAUUUAAAAAAAAGAUGAAGGAAAUAGAACAUAAUAGAGUCAAGCGCCAUGCAAUACAAAAUGUCAGAGGUAUCCCAACUAACAAGGGUGAAUGAUGGUUUGUAAAACUUCAGUUACGUAUGUAUACGUGCAUGUAUGAGUGUUCUGAGUGAUAAUAUAAAAUGCAUUUUUUACUGAGGAGCAUGAUCAGAACAAUAUCAAACCAUUGACCAACAUCAACAUAUUUCUAUUAGAAAGAUAUUUAAAUGAAGUUUGUAUAGUAAAAGGAAGAAAGAACACUAAAAUAUUUGCAAAUCUACCCUGCACAGUCACUUUAAUCUUUUCAGCUUCUAAUUGAGAUAGAUGCUCUAUAUUACCCUGUUUAUUAAUAAACCCUCAAAGAUCUAAAAAGGUGAAUUAACUCUCAGGGGCUUUAACAGAUAAAUUAACUUGAACCUGCCUAGUUGUCUGUUUCAGAGCCAGAAUUCGAACAUGGAUUCAUUUUAGCCGCAGUAAGCACCUGUGUUAGUCAGAAUUCAGUGUGGGUAACAGAAGGGCAGGCCAGAUUGGAGAGAGCUGGAAACAUAUUCCAGGUAGAGACAAUGGUGCCUGAUGAAGCCUAAGGGUCUGAAUGCUGGAGUAAAGCCAGGGGUUAUUUACACUGUGACUGGGUGUGAAUCUACAGAUAGAUCUGAAACUAGAAGAUAAGCCCAUGAAGGAAAUGGGAAAAUGUGCCCUGAUUUUGAGUUACAUUAGCAAAAAAAAUCAAAGCUGAGUCCAAGAUGGAAGAACAUCUACAUAAUUAGAGAGGACAGAAGUGAUCACGAAGACCUAGGGGACAGGGAGAGGCCUCAGGUAAUGCAAAAUCUGUACAUAAUGAUUGAGGUCAGGAGAACAGAUGCUCUUCCCGGGUCAGUUUUAAGGCUGAAAUGUUUCAGGAAAACUGGGAACAAAGCAUGGUUGGAAAUAGCAGGCUAAGCUGAUGCAUCAGGAGACUGCAGAUCUCAGUGUUACCUUGCCUGGGAACAGGAUGGGCCCCAAGUAUGGCUGAGAAUGCAAGUCUCAUGGGUAUAUGUUUAAUGAACCUAGUUGGGAGAUGUUAGGAGGAAGACUGGUUCUGAUGUGAAAGUUUCCUUCCAAAGAAUAGGCCAACCUAACUGCAGCAGUGCUGAUUAUGAUGGAAAUUUCCUAUUUUGAUUCUUCAUCAAAAGAAAGAAGAGCCGGUACCAUGGUUCUUGCCUGUAAUCCCAGCACUUUGGGAGGCCAAGGUGGGAGGAUCACUUGAGGCCAGGAGUUUGAUACCAGCCCCUAUAGGAAACAUAACAAGACCCCAUCUCUACUAAAAAUUAAAAAAUUAGCCUGGCAUGGUGGCUAUGUGUCUUUAGUCCUAGCUACUCAGGAGGCUGAGGCAGGAGGCUCUCUUGAGCCCAGAAGUAGGAGACAGCAGUGAGCUAUGAUCACACCACUUGCGCUCUAGCCUGGGUGACAGAGCAAGACCAUGUCUCAAAAAAAAGAAGAAAAAGGAGAAAUUAAAAAGUUUUUCCUUAUGGUUUAUCUUUAGUAGUUUGACGUAUUAAAGAGGUUUAUAUUUUAUUAUUAUAUAUGCAUUAAUAUAUAAUCAGAUAUUAAUUAAAUAUGUAUUAGUAUAUUAUACAUUAACAAACUUACAUUGUCAUCUUCUUCAACUAAUUCUAAGCCUCAAACGAAGUGUAAAAGAAAACUGAAGCAUCAAAAAAUUAGUCAGCUUCAGGCACUAUCCCAAAUGUUGAAGUUUUCCAUGUAAAUAAAUAAAACCUCUAAAAUUAACAAGAGGCUAUUUUCACUGUUGCCUGUUGGACACAAGCCUUAAUUAUGACAGUGAUCUGAAUAGCCAAGUUACACUGUAAGGCUGUUUCCCUGAAUGGAAACACCAACCUUUUUUGCUUUUUUGAAAAAGAAGCAGAAACAGAAGCAGAAGGAGAGGGAGAGGGAAAAGAAUUCUUUCGGACAAAAUGUAUCAAAUGUUUGACUUCACUCCAGAGGCAAUUUUUAAAUACCAAAAAUUGUUUCACAUCUAUUCCCAAUAAGGUUUGCCACCAAAGGAGUUUGCUCUAAAUUUGUGACUGGAUGUUUGGUUUUCAGAGGUUUCAGGAUUUCAGAAUCAUGGUAAGGGAUUAUAGACAUGUAUUUGGUAUGUGCAAUAUUGGGGGACUUGAAUAUUAAGUCUGAUUGGGAACAUCUCUGGGUUUCUGUAUGUGUACACAUUCUACACAAUAGUGUAAAGUUUUCUAGAAAAUUUAGUGUCAGCAAAAAUUACGCUGGGGUCUGAGUUUUUAUGUGAGAAUCUUAUAAAGAUCAAAAUAUUAGCUAAAAUUUAAAAUUUGAGUUGAAAGGGCUUGAAUGCUGUAUUAGUCUGCUUGGGCUGCCAUAAUAAAAUGCUGUAGAUUAGGUGGCUUAAACAACAAACAUUUCAGUUUGGAAGGCUGGGAAGUCCACUAUCUGGGUGCUGGCAAGGUAGGUUUCAGAACAUUCCUUCUUUUGGCUUGUCGGCAACCACCAUGUCACUGUGUGCUCAGAUGACCUCUUCUUUGUAUGUGGUGGUGGGGGUGGGAGCUGGGAGGUCUCUCUAAUAUCUCUGUUGUGGGAUUUUUCCUUAGUUCAGCUGAAGACAGGGGUCCUUAUCACAUGGCCACGAAAAAUCUGGCUUGCAGACAAUCUGAAGCGUGAGGAGGGCCGGGUUUAUUGGGUGAAAGAGGGAAACAGGGACGCUCCGCAAGGCCAGAAUCCCUGCUACAGCGCUUCCUGCCUGAAGAUUGAAUCCCAGGUUCCACCCAGGAAUAGGAGGGGCCAGGCUUCCCCCGCUGCAAACAGCACCAACUCCCGUGGCUCCAUGCCAGUGCGCAAUCCUCCCAGUGUGCAGGCUGGUUGGAGUUUUUCCAAGGACCUCUUCCCACCUGGCUGUCUCAUCUCAUUUUGUAAGGACAUAAAUCCAAUCCUAUCCUAUCCUAUUCUAUCCGAGCCCCACCCUUAUGACCUUAUUUAACCUUAAUUACUUCUUUCUAGACCCUAUCUCCAACUACUACUGCUUUAACAUGUGAAUCUGGGAGUGGGGGAGAAAAUUCUAUCCUUAGCAGAUGCUAAAACUCAGGACUUGAAACUGCUUUACCAAAUGAUUAUGUGCUGUGGUCUGAAGCAGUAUUAUUUUUUAACCCAGUGUUUUUCAUUCCCAUGUUUUUUUCUUUUCUAAGAAAUUAUUUUCUUCAGGAUCAAAGCGACAGAAACUUAGAAGUGGCAUUUGAAGUUGCCAACAUUAAACCUUUGAUCAGUCCGGCCUAGUCACCAGCCAAACAAGGAGGAGAGAGAUUGUUGCUCAUCCAUCUAAAUUCACAGCUCAAAGGUGCAGAAAUCCAGCUGGAGUAGAAAACAUUUCCUGUACUGAGUUAAAUUUAACUGAACUCCAUGCCUGGAUGAUUUCUGCCAGUGGCGCCCGUGGGAUUGUGUGACCCCCUCUGGCUUUGCUAUCUGCAGGUUUCUUGAUCACACGUGGUAUCCAUUUAUCAGUCCUGGCUGGAGCCAGUUUCCCAGAGCAAACAGAUUCAGGAUGAUCCGCACUAUCAGCAGAGGUUCACCAAAGUUCUAAUUAGACCAGGAAGGUUUAUUAAUACAAUUAGCUUUAGGGAGGACAGUUACAACAGGAAGCAAAUUCCUUGCAGCAUCCGGUCCUCUCUUAGCCAUGUUAGUUGAUUAAGAGGAAAGCCUCAGACUUCAAAAUCAAGAGCAAAAUUGAAAAUGUCUGGGAAUUUAACUUUCCAGUAACUGUAAAGUUUUAACCGUGAACUUUCUAUUAACUGUAAAGUAUAAUUUAACUUUCUAAUAACUGUAGAACAAGAAAGGAUUCUAGAAAAAUCUUGGGAAAAAUUAUUAAUGAGGGGCCUGAGGGCUUAAGUUUGGGGAGAGUGGGCUUCUUUUGAUUUGCAAUGUGGAAGCUGCUUUUGCUCAUGCUUUCUGAAGAUCUUCCAUAAAGAGGGGAACUGCGAAUUGCAAAGUAAAGCCCCUGCUGUGGAGUGAAUUUGCUUAUGUCACACUCUAUCUGAGUGACCCUUAGGAAGUUCCCUAAUCUCCCAUGCCUGUUUUCUGGGUUGUAAAUGCAAGUAAUAAAAGUAACUGCCUCAUAGGUUUGUUGCAAGUAUUAAAUAAGAAAAUUUAUAACGGACAUAAAAGGGAGUUGGCAUAGAGUUAAUGUUCAGUAAAUGACGAGUGUAUCCUUCUCCUCUUCCUCCUCCUCCUCCUCAUCCUCCUCCUCCUCCUCCUCAUGGACAAUUGGUUUCAUCCAUCUGAUAAUGAAACACUGUGAAUUGCCCCCAGGAGUGCUUUAAAUGAUGUCUACUUGUACAUAGAUGCUCAAAAUUUUUGAAUUCUAUCAGUAUGACAUCUAGAAGAGUCAUGGGUAGCACCAAGGGAUAAGCUCUUUCUCUGGAAGAAUAGUACAUUUCUUUCUAUUAAAAAAACAUGAAUUAGUCAACCCAUUAUGUGUUUGUUUUUUGCCCUUAUUACCAGAAAACUACAAGAUGAUUUUCAAUCACAGUGAGGAUUAGUUUCUGUGACUAACAUGUUUCUUUCUUUCUCAUUCUUAUGAGUUUGAUUUCCCAUUCUUAAGCAAAAAAGCACAAUAGGUGUGAUUGUGUGUACCAUUUUUUUGAAUGAGGCAGGAAGAUAGUUGACAGUUGGUUAAUUCAUGUAUUCAUUCUAGUUAGUUUUGUGUCUGCACUUCCUUCUGGAAUUUAAACAUUUUUGAAAAUACGGUCUCUGUUCUAUUUUUUAUUUUUCAUUCCUAUAAAGUUUUAUUGAAUGCCUAUAUGUGUCCAACAUACCAGAUCCUAAGGUUUCACAUAAGUCAGAUUGGUCUCUGUCCUUAAUGGUGUUAUCAUAUAGCAGAGGACAAAAUCAUAAAAUAAUAAUAAUAUAUGAAAGAUAUGUAAGCAUGUAAGGUCAAGAGGGUGGAAAUUUCUUCUGUCUUAUUCACUGCUUUAUUGCUACUCCUAAGGGAGUGCCUAAAACAGAUUAGAUGUCCAAUUAGUAUUUAUUCUAUCAAUUACUGUCCCAGGCAUUUUACACAUAUUAGAAAUAUGAGAACUAAUGUUUAUUGAGCAAUUCAUAUCUGUAUACCAAACAUUCUACUGGUAUUUCAACACCGUGAACUAGAAACAAUUACUAAGGUUAUGAAAUAGGAGUUAACACUGAAGUCUAGAGAGGUUAUGCAAUUUGCUUAUGGUCACACAGCUAAUAAGAGCUAGAUAGAGGUCUCCUCUAGAGCUCAUGAGCUUAACCAGUACCUCCAUCCAUGACACUGUCUUACCCUAAUACUGGAGGAGUUGAGGAAUAGGCUUCCCCACAUCGUGGAUAAUAAAGCUAAAAUUUUCUAAGGCAGGGCCUGGUUAAUGGAGGGCACAUGCAAGCUGACACUCUCAGGACUCCAAAGUGUACACACUUUUCACUAUACCACACAGCCUCUCAUGCACGUAGACAAUCACACACAUACAAACAUUCUAACAAAAGUUUGUAGGAAUUGUGCUGGGACCAUGCUGUAUAGCUGUAGUCCAUGGUGUAUAACAUGCCUGCAGUAGAAUAUCUAUUGAAAUGAAUAGAGCUACAAGGUUAAUCCAUUGGAGAAGGAAUUUGGUGUGAUACUUACAAGCUCCCCAGUGGCAUGAAUGUGUCACUCUUCACAACACUGCCUAGUUCUUGUGUAGAUACACUAUAAGCAUUAAGACAAUUUAUCCUUACUGUACAAGACUAUGGAGUGUAGAUGUGGUAGACCUAAUUCUGAGAUGGCCUUCAGAAUCCCAUCCGUUGGUGUCCAUGCCCUGCCCAUUAAGUGUGGGCAAAACCUAAGGUUUGCUUCUACCCGGUAGAAUAUGACAAAGGUGAAGGGAUUUUGCAGCUAUAAUUAAAGUGUCAUGUCAGUUGAUUUUGAGUAAAUCAAAAGGGAGAUUAUCCUGGGUGAGCCUGACUUAAUUAGGUGAAAGCCCUUAAAAAAGGAACUGGGCCCUUCUGGAGGCAAUAGACUGUUCUUGAAGACUUGCUGAAGUUAGUGGCUCUUUUGGAGAAGCCUACAUAUCAAGGAAAUAUGACAGCCUCCGGAACUGCAAGCAGCCUCUGGUAUCCAAGGCCCCAACAAAAAGCCAGAGCCCUCAGUCACAGAGCUCAAGAAAUUGAAUUCUACCGUCAACCUGAAUGAGCUUGGAAGUGGAUUAUUCCCCAAUCAAGCCUCCAGACUUUAACCCAAUCUGGCUGAUCCCUUAGUUACAGUCUUAUGAGACAUUGACAGGAGAGUGGGUUUAGACGUUAAUAUCCCAUUUCCGUUACCAGAUAUACUGCAAAGACAGAGAUCAUUUUUUCAAGGAAGUUGUGACUAAGCACCAUUUGAAAUAUCACUAUUGUGGUUUUGACUGACCCCAGAUGAAAAGAUGAACUCUCCUAAGAUUUCAGGCAUCUUUAAGGAUAGAUUGUAAUGAUGCCAGGUGAUUCCUAGAUGAGAUACACUAAAAUUCCUCUCCACACAAGGAAAAUAACAGUGUGUUCUCUACUUCUCUUGGAAGUUCCAUCAUUAAGGAUAUUGAAUAUGACCAGGCACAGUGGCUCACGCCUGUAAUCCCAGCACUUUGGGAGGCUGAGGCAGGUGGAUCAGUUGAGGCCAGGAGUUCGAGACCAGCCUGGCCAUGACGAAACCUGUCUCUACUAAAAACACAAAAAAGUUAGCCAGGCAUGGUUAAUUAGCCCUGCUACUUGAGAGGCUGAGGCACAAGAAUCAAGAAUCACUUUAACCUGGAAGGCAGAGGUUGCACUGAGAUCGCGCCACCGAACUCCAGUCUGGGUGACAGAGUGAGACCCUGUCAAAAAAAAAAAAAAAAAGAAUAUUGAACAUAUGUUUACAUAAAUUAAUUAUUUUGAGCAAUGACUAUUUCUGCUUCAGAAAAUCUGGACUUCUUAAGUUGUGUUCAAGAAAAAAAAAACAAGACAACAAACACUUCAGGUUUAUCCUUUUAUGUUGUGACUAUGUGGGAAGAGAUUGUUAAUUUAAAAAAUCUGUUAACACCAAACUCUCUUUUUUCUCUUUUCCUCUUUUUUUUCUCUCUUCUCUGUCUCUCCUCAUUUUAUAGGUUUUGGUGUCUAUUUAUUUUUUCUCCAUGUAUUGCCACCCUUUGCUCUAGGCUUACAUACUUUUAACUACAAAUCCAGGAAGGAUCCCUGAUUCCACCUGUUCCAGUGAAAACCCUGAUGUAGCUUUCAUUAGACCAACAUAGAAUAUGUGCCAACACUUGACCUAGCCACCGUAGCCAUGGAAUUUUAUUUAUUUAUUUAUUUAUUAUUUUCUGAAACAGAGUCUCACUCUGUUGCCCAGGCUGGAGUGCAGGGGUACGAUCUUUGCUCACUGCAACCUCCACCUCCCGGUUUCAAGUGAUUCUCCUGCUUCAGCCUCCCAAGUAGCUGAGAUCACAGGCGUGUGCCACCACACCCAGCUAAUUUUUGUAUUUUUAGUAGAGAUGAGCUUUCACCAUAUUGGCCAGGCUGGUCUCAAACUCCUAACCUCAAGUGAUCCACCCACCUUGGCCUCCUAAAGUGCCGGGAUUACAGGCAUGAGCCACCGAGCCUGGUCCGUAACCAUGGAUUUUAAUGAUCUGUUCAGCCAGGCCUGGAAUGCACGCCUUCCCCUGUAGCCAGGAGUAAAAUAAGCCUAUCAGAACCAUGCAGGCUGGAGUUACAUUUUCAAAGAGGAAAAUGGAUAAAAACGUUCCAUUACUGAGACAACCUCAGAUAUUUUCCUCAGAGUGGAAAUCAGGAAACCAACUUAGAGUCAUCUCAAGAUUAGAGGGAAUUUGGGCUAGAAGGAGAAUAUUCUAAAGCUACUAUUUACUAAAAUAUUACCUAAUAGUACAGGAAUAGACAACUGUAUCAAUGGAGUAGAAGAGAUUAGAAAGUGUUCAAACAAGCAUAACUCAUUUAGAAUGGAUGCAUGAAAUGCUAUUUCAUUGUAGCACUAUUGUUUUAGAAAUGGUUUUAUUAAACUAUACACAAAUAUAUGAACACAAAUCCAUUACAGUACUGAGUAGUGGAAUCACUAUUUCUCAAAUAACUAGUCAUCCAGUACAGUAGACUGACAUCUUACUGUUUUUACCAUCUAUUUGUUCUCUCUGGUAUGGUGUUUAUUUCUACCAUUAUUUGUACUUAUAUGAACAUUUUUGGGCUGAGAUGGCUAUCAAAAAUGUGCACCAGAGUGGCAAAGAAAAAUUCCCUAUUCAAUAUAAAAAUACCACUUUUACUGGGGCUCUGGGAACCUUCAAGACAGUGAGCAAGGAAGUAUUAGGUAAAAUUACCAAUUAUGUAGCUAAUUAGAUAUGAGGGGAAAUCCUUGAAAACUUAGUAGGCCACAUACAUAUCACUGCAGCCUCUAAAGAUUGACAAGUAGAGGGAAAUAAAUUGCCAAUAAAUGAUACUGAGAAUAUAUGUCCAAACAGACUAUGCCAUUAUAAGGUAAUCACUCCCUGAAACAUAAAAAAAGUCUAUUUUAUGAAUUUUAUAUACUUAUAGUUUAUUUUAUUAUUUGUAGAACUUUUAAAAUUUAUAUCUUCAUAUAUGAAUUUCAUUUUUAUUUUGUGUGUUCUAUCUUAUAUAUUUGUAGAUAAUUUCAUAAAUGUUUAUUUUUGCUAGUUAAGCAUCUGAUAUAAAUGACAUUUCCAAUUAAUAGUGAAAUGGUGUUUCCAGGAAAGAUAUUGGAACAAUGAAUAUCCGUAUAUAAAAGUAAUUUUGGCAACCUACUUCACACCAUAUAAGCAAAUAAUUUCCAUAUUAUAUACAUACCUAAAUAUUGAGGGAAAACCAAAAUUGCUAGAAUAUACAUAAUAUACUUUUUAUAACUGUAGAGUGGGAGAAAACAUUUUUAGACAUAGCGCAAAACCCAGAAGCAAAGUAAAACACUGGUAGGUUAUCUGCUUAACACUGUUAAACUUCUAAUGGGCAAAAGACAAAGCAGACAAAGGUAAAGACAAGUUACAGGCUGGGAGAAAACAGUUACAAGAUAUAUCAGAAAAAGGGAAACAUAUACCAUCUCUAACAUACUCUUACAUGGCUCUUACAACCCAAUAAGAAAGUGAAGUUCUCAGGUAUCUGUGAAUGCAAGCCACAGUUGUCUCUUAGCCACAAUGUCUAGGGUGCGUCAGGAUUCAGACGACUGCAGUUCCUGGCCAAGUACCCCCUAGCUUUGCUGAAUGACAUGCCUCUUUAUGGCUUAUGGACAGCAACCAUUGGGUUCAGGUCUUUGCCCCAUUUCCUGACCCAAGGGGCCACAAAAUCCUUUGUCCUCACCCCAGGCCACAAGAAGAGCAUCUCCUCAGAAAGUGGCCACUGGUUAUUUCACCUGGCCCCAAGACGAUGCAAGGCACCCACUCUGCUUUUUUUGUGAUGAGAUGGAGCAUGACUGGCCUUGCACAUGACCUUCAGUCACUGCCUCUUUGCUCUUUGGUUGUUGACUUUGUCGGCAGGGAAUUCAGAGGGAAGGAGAGUCAGCGACGUGCUCUCGUAAGGUCAUCUUAGAAGACCACUCUCUCCAAUUAUUUUAAGCAGCUCUUUAGAGCUUUCUACAUUGUGAAGUUCUUUAUCCUACCUGUGUAUCCCUAGGGCUUUACAGAGUGGAGAUUCAGUAAAUAUUUUGACAAGAGUGAGCAAAUGAUUUAACAGUCGAUGGAGUGCAAAUUGCCAACAACUUACUGUAGCGUUUCCAUCCACAGCAUUCAGGGUCAGUGGCUAAAAUACUUGUCGUAAAGGUGCCAAGCCUCCAGGCAUCUAGCAGGGCAUUAGCACACCGAAGCAUUUAUUAGACUCAGGAAUAUACUCUUUAUUGGCUCAUUUCAAACAAUACCUAAAAAAGAAACCUCUUUUUUUAAAGCCUUCAAAAGAUGGCAGGAUGUAUUUUUUCCUAAGACCCAUAAAACAGGUAACAUAAACUGUUACUAUUUCAUAAGAAAAACUUAGGUACAGAAAUACUCAAACACUUAUCCAAGGGAGCUGGAAUUUGUGUCAAAUUUUCUUGAGGAAUUACAUGGCUCGUACUAUUUAGACCAUGUUCUAAACAAGCAUUUAUCGCUCUUUGAAGUUGUGUCGUAUUUAGAAAUUUAGAUUCAUAGUAAUUAGAUAUUUAGAUAGAUUAUACUGGAAUAUUUGGGUGGCAUAUGGACAGCAGGUCUGUAAAUAAAAUUUAAAUCUUCAUUACUAUAUUUUCUACAUUCUGCCUUAUGCUUGAUUUAAGCUUUUUUCCCUUCUUUUCACUGGUUAGAUUUUUUUUUCAUUUAUUUUUUCUUCUAGGUCGUUGACCUUUUUAUAGGCAUAGAAAAUGCCUUGUACCGUGCACCAAAGUUCUUAAAAUUUUAAAAGCUUUCUUUGACUAAGUCAUCCCUUGCCCUCUUUUGAAGCUAUUCUGACCUCUAUUUUCUAUUUUAUUUUAAUUAAUCAUAUCUUAGGAUUUGUAGGCUUAUAUGUGGAUGCAUGUAUAUUAUCUUGUUAAGGGUACAUAAGGCAGUUAUACAAAAGAUUAUGUUGGCUUCAAAGAAUGUUAAACAAAAGGAAUGAGAAGAUUCCUGAAUAAUAUAGUUAUGCAUACUCAGAGCUUCUUUCAUAAGGGCAUUUGAAAUGUAUGCUGAUCACCUCAAGGUCGCCAUGAAAUGGGAAGAUUUAAACUAGUGGUGUUUGGACAGAAACAACUUUUACCUUGAAAGCCAGCAAUCAAUGACUGAAAAAUGUAUAUCUAAGGCUGGAAAAUCAUUUCAGUAUUAUUAAGUAUUCUGAUGACAAAAAAGGUUCAAACAUUUGUGACUCCCAUAGCUAGUAUUGAUAUGGGUGAUGGGAAAUAAGGAUGUAUUUAUUUUAUUUGGACUUUAGUCAUGUUUUUAUUGUCUGUAAAAAUGACUUGACUGUUACAGCUAGAACAUUGAAGAAAGAAGGGAAGCAGGUCAAAUGGGUCCCCAGUGAUUCCCUGUGGCACCUGGACUUUCUCCAGGAAUUGAUUGUUACAUAUUAUUCCAUCAAACACCUUUUAACCAGUCCAGUUCUUGUCUAUGGAUCCAGACAAUUCAGUCUUCCCAGGGCUUACCCAUGUUUCCAUAUAUCCAGAAAGUUUGUAUAUUAUGGCUAGAAAAGCAAUUAAACCACUUUGGAAGGGUUGGGGGAAGGGAGGGUUAGGGAGAGACUUGUUAAAGGAUACAAAAUUAUAGCUAGAUAGGAGGAAUAAAUUCUAGUAUUGUAUAGCUUUGCAGGAAGACUAAAGUUAACAAUCAUAUGGUAUAUAGUAUCAGAUAGCUAGAAGGAGGAUAUUUAAUGUUCCCCACACAAAGAAAUGAUAAAUGUUUUUGAUUUUAUAUAUAUAUAUAUAUGAUAAUUACCGUGAUCUGAUCACUAUAUGUUAUAUGGAUCGAAACAUCACUAUGUACUCCAUGAAUAUAUACAAUUAUUAUGUGUCAAUUUAAGAAAUUAAAUUAAAAAGAGAAAUUAACCCAGCCUCACCAUUUUACAGCAGAGGGACUUGAGGUGGAAAAAAUUCAAGAAACUUUACUCUCGUCAUUCAACGGAGUGAUCUUUUGAAAAAGGUAGCAUUACAAGAAAUCCAGUAUAUACCCACAAAUACGUGGCCACAUUUCUUGACAAUGUUCCAAUUAUUAUUGAUAUCUACAAUUAGAAUUAAAUCGUUGUUUCUAACCAGUAAUAUUCCAAGUAAAGUAGUAACAUUGUUUAUUCAUUGGCAUUAGGCAUCUAUGGUUAGCUCUACAGAAUUAUAGUUGAAAUCUAUGUGAAAAUAUCAAUUUUUACACUUACCGACCAUAAUAGGAUACUUACAGAAGAGCUUGAUACCAGACUGUCAGCCAAAGAUUUUCUGAAUUUGGUAUGAAUUUUCUAAAGGUGGAGUGAUUUGCUUCAAGAGAAAAUUGCUUUGAGUGCAUUUUGCAGUCAAGAACUUUGACACCUUGCAAUUUACUAGUUGCAAAGAUAAUCUGAUCACAAAGUAAGAAAUCUGAUCGUUGUAAUUCCAAUUUAUAUCAAUAAGAAAUAAUAAAUAAUCUUUAUUUUGGAGGUUUGCUAAGUGACUGAAAGUUUAUCUAAAUACAGACGGUUUUGCAUGAACGCUAGGGACUGAAUGAAACACUGUUUGCCUACCAAUUAACCAGGCAGGUGUGAAACAUAAGCAGUGACCGACCAUAACAGACGAUCUCUCAGAUAUUGAUCACUCUUUUAACAGAAAAAUUCCUAUGGGCAGAUAGAGGAGGGGGAGAGGGCAGCAUUCUCUUGAGAUUGUCUUAGGGAAGGAUGAUCAUGAAACUCUUUAUAUCUGAAAAAAAUUUUAAAUCCUUUUAAAUAUCAAUCCAGGAGGAUUAGCUAAGCAGCAAUAAAGCACCUUAUAACUGUUACAUAGUUAAUUCAAAGAAGCAUUGUAUCAAGAUAAAUAAAUAUAGAAAACAAGGAAUCCAUUUUCAAGAAACAUACUUUGUUCUAGUUCUGACUUCAGAUUUAAAACACACACACAUACGCAGAAGACACACUGAAUAUGAUUGAAUCUAGAAUAUAGAAAUAAAAUAAUUGAAUAUAUUCCAUUUGUUAAUGUGUGCAUGUGUUUUCAAGACAUGGCUCAAUGAUUCUGUAGUUUUUUCCUUAUUUUUAUUUUGAGAAUUUUCUAGAAAAAAUAUGUCUUAAAUACUUAAUUUUUACUUCUUGGUUAUCUUAGUCCAUUUGUACUGCUACAGCAGAAUACAUGAGAUGAUAAUUUCUAAAGAACAGGAAUUUAUUUUCUCACAGUUCUGAAUACUGAGAUGUUCAAGGGGCCGGCAGGUUUCGUUGUCUGUGAGGGUGGCUCUCUGCUUCCAAGAUGGUUCCUCUAGAGGAGGGAACACUUUGUCCUGGCAUGGUGGGAUGUGGGCUCAAACCCUGUAUGAAGCCUCUUUUAUAAAGGCCUUAAUCUCAUCUUUGAGAGAGGAGCCCUCAUAACCUAAUCAGCUCUUAAAGGUUCUACCUCUUAAUACUAUCACAAUGGCCAUUAAGUUUCAGCAUCUGAAUUUUAGAGGGGACAUACUGAGGCAAUAACAAACAUUAUGUUUUUGAGAAGGUCCCAUUUUUUCUUAAUUUAAAGCUCAGUCCAAUGAAUAUCUGUAACAAAGGGUUAGUGAAAUCCCAGUCCAAAAUUAUCAUCUUUUGAAGGUAAUUCAGAUGGACAUUUCUUGAGUUAUCAAAAUGUAUAAUAUUAUCUAUUCAAAUCUUUUCUGUUUUAUUAAUUAAACUCAGGAGAUUAAAGUACCUUGCCAUGACAUUGAAACUAGUAAAACAGCCAAAUAUGAAAACCAAGCAUGCUGGGAAAAUCCUAAUAAUGAUGGAAUGGCUACCAAGUCUUUGUUAUUCCCUUGGAUAGUAGCACACCUUGGAAAGACUUAGCAAAGCCCAGAUUUCAGGAAAGUAGAAAAAUUGCAUUUAAUGCUUUGAUUAUAAAAUUAUCUUGUGAGUUUCUUGUUUUUUUUUUUGUUUUUUUUUUUGAGAUGGAGUCUCGUCCUGUUGCCCAGGCUGGAGUGCAGUGGCACGAUCUCAGCUCACUGCAAUAUCUGCAUCCUGGGUUCAAGCGAUUCUCCUGCCUCACCUUCUCGAGUAGCUGGGACCACAGGUGUGCGUCACCACACCCAGCUAAUAUUUUUGUAUUUUUAGUAGAGAUGGGGUUUCACCAUAUUGGUCAGACUGGUCUUGAACUCCUGACCUCGUGAUCUGCCCGCCUUGGCCUCCUGAAGUGCUGGGAUUACAGGCGUGAGCCACAGCACCUGGCCAUCUCGUGAGUUUUAAUGCAACUGGCAGUUGACUGUGGGUCCUAACCAUGGGCUCUGUUUUUCUCAAAUGUAAAAUUAUUGGCCGAUGUGGAAGACCAUCCAUCCUGUAGGGUGAGGCCCUGCUUUUUAUAAGGUAAUGGAAGAGUAUGCUAUUCAAUAUCAAGUUAAAAAUAACUUUUACCAGUGUGGAAAAGAAAUGAGCAGGGAAACCUAUUGACCAUUAGGCUUAGUUUUCUGUUUGGUGCCCCAACUUCACUCCAUCUGCUAUCUUUUGGAUCUCCAGGGUUUUCUUUCCUACUCCUUACCCCAGAAAGCUGCAUUAUUCUGGCUCCCUGAGCAACUGACUUCAGUCUGAGUUUCACCAGUGGGAGGUGCUGUCACGCUAUUGGAGGGCAGAAGAAGAGCAGCAUGAAAUGGUUAUUUGGUUAUUCCCUAUUCCCUUCUGCUUCUGCAUCACAUUUCUGGCAAUGGCUGAAUAUCUCCCUAACUACAGCUCCCAACAGGCAACCUCUCUUUCAUGGUUCCAGCUCUUACCAGUUACAAUAAUUCUAUUUCUAUCACAACCCCUUCUUCCACCCCUACCCCAAUUCUUCCAGUCCAGGGGUCACAAUAGCACCCCACAGUGGCUAUUUCCUGGGUUUACCAACUUCUUUUGUUGGUUCUUCCAGCCUGCUUACACCUCCGACUUUUUUCCUCAUUAAAGUCUCUUCACUUAAUUUAUCUGAUUUGAAUUUGUCUCUUUACUGAGAUCUUGACCAAUACCUGAUUUUUUUUUUGUACUUUAAGUUCUAGGGUACAUGUGCACAAUGUGCAGGUUUGUUACAUAUGUAUACAUGUGCCAUGUUGGUGUGCUGCACCCAUUAACUCGUCAUUUACAUUAGGUAUAUCCCCUAAUGCUAUCCCUCCCACCUCCCCCCACCACAUGACAGGCCGCGGUGUGUGAUGUUCCCCACCCUGUCUCCAAGUUUUCUCAUUGUUCAAUUCCCACCUAUGAGUGAGAACAUGCAGUGUUUGGUUUUUUGUCCUUGCGAUAGUUUGCUGACAAUGAUGGUUUCUAGAAACCAUAGCUUCAUCCAUGUCCCUACAAAGGACAUGAACUCAUCCUUUUUUAUGGCUGCAUAGUAUUCCAUGGUGUAUAUGUGCCACAUUUUCUUAAUCCAGUCUAUCAUUGUUGGACAUUUGGGUUGGUUCCAAGUCUUUGCAAUUGUGAAUAGUGCCGCAAUAAACAUACGUGUGCAUGUGUCUUUAUAGCAGCAUGAUUUAUAGUCCUUUGGGUAUAUACCCAGUAAUGGGAUGCCUGGGUCAAAUGGUAUUUCUAGUUCUAGAUCCUUGAGGAAUAGCCACACUGUCUUCCACAAUGGUUGAACUAGUUUACAGUCCCACCAACAAUGUAAAAGUGUUCCUGUUUCUCCACAUCCUCUCCAGUACCUGUUGUUUCCUGACUUUUUAAUGAUCACCAUUCUAACUAGUGUGAGAUGGUAUCUCAUUGUGGUUUUGAUUUGCAUUUCUCUGAUGGCCAGUGAUGAUGAGCAUUUUUUCAUGUGUCUGUUGGCUGCAUAAAUGUCUUCUUUUGAGAAGUGUCUGUUUAUAUCCUUUGCCUACUUUUUGAUGAGGUUUUUUUUUUUCUUGUAAAUUUGUUUGAGUUCUUUGUAGAUUCUGGAUAUUAGCCCUUUGUCAGAUAAGUAGAUUGCAAAAAUUUUCUCCCAUUCUGUAGGUUGUCUGUUCACUCUGAUGAUAGUUUCUGUUGCUGUGCAGAAGUUCUUUAGUUUAAUUAGAUCCCAUUUGUCAAUUUUGGCUUUUGUUGCCAUUGCUUUUGGUGUUUUAGACAUGAAGUCCUUGCCCAUGCCUAUGUCCUAAAUGGUAUUGCCUAGGUUUUCUUCUAGGGUUUUUAUGGUUUUAGGUCUGACAUUUAAGUCUUUGAUCCAUCUUGAAUUGAUUUUUGUAUAAGUUGUAAGGAAGGGAUCCAGUUUCAGCUGUCUACAUAUGGCUAGCAGGUUUUCCCAGCACCGUUUAUUAAAUAGGGAAUCUUUUCCCCAUUUCUUGUUUUUGUCAGGUUUGUCAAAGAUCAGAUGGUUGUAAAUGUGUGGUAUUAUUUCUGAGGGCUCUGUUCUGUUCCAUUGGUCUAUAUCUCUGUUUUGGUACCAGUACCAUGCUGUUUUGGUUACUGUAGCCUUGUAGUAUAGUUUGAAGUCAGGUAGCAUGAUGCCUCCAGCUUUGUUCUUUUGACUUAGGAUUGACUUGGCAAUGCGGGCUCUUUUUUGGUUCCAUAUGAACUUUAAAGUAGUUUUUUCCAAUUCUGUGAAGAAAGUCAUUGGUAGCUUUAUGGGGAUGGCAUUGAAUCUAUAAAUUACCUUGAGCAGUAUGGCCAUUUUCAUGGUAUUGAUUCUUCCUAUCCAUGAGCAUGGAAUGUUCUUCCAUUUGUUUGUGUCCUCUUUUAUUUCGUUGAGCAGUGGUUUCUAGUUCUCCUUGAAGAGGUCCUUCACAUCCCUUGUAAGUUGGAUUCCUAGGUAUUUUAUUCUCUUUGAAGCAAUUGUGAAUGGGAGUUCACUCAUGAUUUGGCUCUCUGUUUGUCUGUUAUUGGUGUAUAAGAAUGCUUGUGAUUUUUGCACGUUGAUUUUGUAUCCUGAGACUUUGCUGAAGUUGCUUACCGAAAAAAGUCCAGGACCAGACGGAUUCACAGCCGAAUUCUACCAGAGGUACAAGGAGGAGCUGGUCCCAUUCCUUCUGAAAUUAUUCCAAUCAACAGAAAAAGAGGGAAUCCUCCCUAACUCAUUUUAUGAGGCCAGCAUCAUCCUGAUACCAAAGCCUGGCAGAGACACAGCAAAAAAAAGAGAAUUUUAGACCACUAUCCCUGAUGAACAUCGAUGCAAAAAUCCUCAAUAAAAUGCUGGCAAACCGAAUCCAGCAGCACAUCAAAAAGCUUAUACACCAUGAUCAAGUGGGCUUCAUCCCUGGGAUGCAAGGCUGGUUCAACAUAUGCAAAUCAAUAAACGUAAUCCAGCAUAUAAACAGAACCAAAGACAAAAACCACAUGACUAUCUCAAUAGAUGCAGAAAAGCCCUUUGACACAAUUCAACAACCCUUUGUUUUAAAAACUCUCAAUAAAUUAGGUAUUGAUGGGAUGUAUCUCAAAAUAAUAAGAGCUAUUUAUGACAAACCCACAGCCAAUAUCAUACUGAAUGGGCAAAAACUGAAAGCAUUCCCUUUGAAAACUGGCACAAGACAGGGAUGCCCUCUCUCACCACUCCUAUUCAACAUAGUGUUGGAAGUUCUGGCCAGGGCUAUCAGGCAGGAGAAAGAAAUAAAGGGUAUUCAAUUAGGAAAAGAGGGAGUCAAAUCGUCCCUGUUUGCAGAUGACAAUUGUAUAUUUCGAAAACCCAAUCGUCUCAGACCAAUACCUGAUUUUUAAGCCUAAGGUUAGGAACACAUAGGAAAAAUCAAGGUGAGUAUUAAAAAUUAGUAGAAGGAGACCGUUUAGUGUACUACUCAGAUUAGUAGCUCUUUGUACAGUCAUCCUCAAUAAAUGGGUGCUUCUGAUGACUUACUUUUUUUUCUUUCUUUCUGAUAAAUUGUUCUUAUUAAGGAAUUCUAUUAAGUCAUCAUGGAAGAUGUUAUCUUCUAAUUUUACUUGAUGCACAAUUUGGAAAUAUAAUUAGUUUACUGAAUAAUAUCAUCAAGGUUCAAAGAGGACUCGGUGAUCUGGAAUUCUAGAUACGUAGAAUAGAAAUUCUGAAAUUGCAUGCAAAUCUUAAGUAUGUGUGUAUAAAUAUACAUAUACUGAGUGAUUUGCUUUGCAACAUGGUGAUUUGGCUGUUUAGAAAUAUUAAUGAUAUUUGAACAUCAUUAAAUGAAGUCAAAGGCCAGCUAUACCCUGCAACAGUCAGACCACAUAUGGUGACAUGCUGCCACUUAGGGGCACUAUGAUAAACAGGUAAACAACCAAGAGAGCUGUGUGGCAACUAGUUUCAAGCUCAGGGUUUUAAGAGCUAGAUUUAGGGGCCUGGGUUUUACUCACAUCUUCCUCCGGUGCUAGCUGUGAAAUUUGGACAAGCAGCAUAUCUUUUGCUCAUCUCUGAAAUGGGAGACCUAAGACCAUGGGAAUACUCAUUAAGUGAAUGUACAUGAAGUGAUGCCUGACACAUUCCAAAAACUCUCCAGACAAUACCUAGAAUACUACUAAUAAUUACCAGUGUGUAAUUGGUCUGGAAACCACAUGUUGUGAGUAACAGUCUAGGGAACUGGGAACAAUUCAGUUUAUGGACAAACAUACUGAGGGAUAGAGUAGGCCGCUUUCAAAAUGUGAAAGAUUGUCCAAGAGGAGAGAAAAUUGUUCUAGGAAGGCAGGAGACUCUCAGUGAAAGGUACAGAGGAAUAUAAUUUGGUCCAGUAGCAGAAAUACCUUUCUAACUCCUAGAGCUGUCCAACAAGGAAAUAGGCUGAUAAGCAAUGUCCUUUUGAGCCAUUAGUCAACAAAGGCUGGAUAAUCACUAUGCGGAAUAUGAUUUUAGCAGGAACUCCUGCAAUAAGGGCUGAAGUGGGGGAGGGCAAGGACAGGGGAAAAGGUCACAACAUGACCCUUAAUUUCCCUUUGCACUCUACAAUUUCAGACUCUAUGUGUGUGUUGGACAGAAUAUCAGGAAAAUGGCUGCCACCUUUGUUUGCAUUCAUGUUGUCCUCUUUCAAAUCAGGCCCUUGGCAAAGGUCCUGAGACACAUUGUCCAAACUUGCUAUUGACAAUCCUACAUAUAUUUUCCUGUUCAGAUGCUUUGGCCUGCCAGAGGCUCACUGGGUGUCAUACAAUAGUCUUCUGUGUCACCAGCCUUGCAGAUUUCUUCAAGAAACUGUUUGUUGAGUAGGCGCUUACUAGCUGGAACAAAUCCCUUUGCAAAGGUGUACCUUCCUUUUCUUGAACAGAAUGAAAAAUGUGUUGAGCAGGAAAAGAAACUUCACAGUAUUUGUGUUUUUCUUUUGGCCCUUUCUGCUAGGUAUCCUCACUCUAAUUGAGCAGGCUCUGGAAACCUGAAACGCACAUCAGUCUUGUGCCUUUUUCUGUUUCUUCCACUAGCAGUUGAUAAUUAUAGCUUUUCGUAGAUACUCAGCACAUUCCAUGUUUUUGAUGGGAGCAGAGCCUUUGUAUGGCAAAAUUGCUGAUAUACUUUUAACUAAAUCUGUAGAUGUGUUAUGUUUAGAAGGCAGCGGAAGAAGCCUGAGCUGGCAGAAUAAUUGCUGUGUUAGGGCGCCACUGAAGACAAAUAGUGUGCCCAAGAUUGUGAAAAUCCUUUCUUAUAAAAACUUUUUCCAACACCAGGGUUCCUUUUGGGACAGAAAUAACAAUAUCUGUUCUUUCUGAGAAAACUUGGAGAGAAUGUCAAUGUGAUAUCUCAGGGAUAAUUCAUUUUUGAAAAAGGAGAAUCCUUUCUACUGAAUACUUUUUAUAAGGGACAUUUUUAGCUUUGGAACUGCAUUUCUCUUCCCUGUCUGGAUGUUAGCUGUUUGUAUGAGUGGUGAGGACAAAAAGUAAAGGAUUGCAUCCCACAAAAACCAACCUCAAUAGUUUAAGGUCACACAGAUGGCUUUGAGGUAAGAAAGGAAAUUACAUCUCCUGAAAGGCAAUGCACAGGCUAUUGAAUAGGAUGAACUUGGAGGUCUCUUCUAGUCCUGAGAUUUUAUGAUUCCAUGAUCACAGAAACUACUAGUGAAUGUGAUACUUCAUAUCUCAUCCAUUGGCUAUUUCAAAUGGCAACUAAAGUGAGAAGGGAAAUCAUUUAUUCUUAAAUGCAAAUUCAAACUAACAGAAAUUGGAUAUAUUUCUUGGUGUUCAUGAGCAUUGCCAGUAGUAAAAUAUAUGUUUAGAGAUAAGAAAAUAAAAACAACUUAUACUUAUUGAAUGCUUAUGACAUACCAGGUCCUAUAUCAAGCAUUUUAUAUGCAUCAUAGAUUCUAUUAUUGUCAACAUCUUAUGGAGGAGGUAACUGAGGAUUGUAGAUAUUCUGAAGCAGUGUCGUGAAGCUGACACUAAACACUCUUGGCUACCAUAGCAUCCUGCUUCUCUGUAGCAGACGCUGGUGAUUCAUCACACCACAUUUCUUUGGCACUCUGGAUUUCAGCACAAGUGCUGUAGACAGUUAAUUGCCUAUCGCUAGUGUCCCGCUUCCUUCAAGUGCAUGUGGGAAAGAAGGAGAGGGAAGAGAAUCUGAAAGACCGUUCAGCAGGCAGGUGCAACUCAGAAUUAAGAGAGAAUAAUAUACUCUACCUAAGGACAGCCCUCAACCAGUGGAAUGAUGGGGAUGGUUUCCGGGUAAACUCCGACCCUCAUUGUCCCGAAGGAGAACACUUCCGGGGCACAUACUACAAUCGUUUCUUAGAGUGUCCCUAACAGGGGUGAGCCCCCCACUCAAUACACAGUGGUAAGAAACUCAUUCCUGCGUUCUUCUAAUACAUCUUCCUUCCCUAUCUCAUUGUCUAUGCUCCUCAUUUCUGCAUCCUAGGAUCAGCUCCCAAAUAAACUUCCUGCCCUCAAGUCCUUGACCAAAGUGCUGUUUUGGGGAGGAGUCAAAGUAAGAUUUUUUAAAGAACACACACGUUACUGCUAUGUAGUUACAGGCAUAAUCUUACUAAUGGACUAUAAUGUCCAUCAUACCAUGGGGUUGAUGGUCAUAAAACCUAGGCGUAUUUGGGAAUAUUUCUGUGACAUUAAAUCUCUAACUAUAUAAUAGAAGCUAAUGGUAGUAUAUUGAAAUUUGUUCUUUGGAAUUCAAUUAUUCAAUAAAAUAAGAGAAAUCUCUACCACACAUUAGCAUGACCCCGUUGAAGUCUUCAGAAAGCCUAAUGAUUUAGCAUGACUAUUUCAAGAUCAUUUUUCCUAGGCUUCCUCCCAUCCUACUCCUGGAAGUGCUCUGCUAUUAAUUUCCUUUGUGGUCUUAGAUAAGUCUCAGACUGCAGGUGAAAUGAUUAAAUUCUCAUUUCUCUUGAAAAAUUUCACACGAAGUCUCUUUUCAUCUAUUUCAAUACCUGAUAUUUAAUUUGAAUGGAGUAUAACAACUACAUUGAUAUAGGGAAAGUUUUAUUGAAUGAACAAAGCCAUCACAUAAAUUUUUCUUUCAUUUUUUUUUUUGUCAGUCUCUGAAAUUAGUGAAUAGGUAGAGACAUCCAUCAGUUGGAUCAUUCUUAGGUAACAUUUUGUUUAUAAGAACAGGGCAGUGCUGGAAUGUGGAUUUACCCACAAUUCUCACGUGAGAUUUCUACCAUUGUACUGCUGUUUUCUUCUUGUCUCUGAUUUUUUUCAAUCUCUGCUCCUCAAACAUCCAGGUAGCUUUGAUCAGUGCUUCAAGCAGAGUACUGGAGUAAGUAAUAUAUUUUUCUAUAACCUUGUAAUGAAAGCAUGAUCUCUUCUUAAGGACUCUGUACUUAGCGAGGCAUCUAUCGGUGAUUGUAUACUUUGUAGAUUUUAUUUGGGUGGUUCUACCAUCCUCCAUUUAUUACAUAUGACAAACUCAGUAAGAUUAGGCUAAGAAGAACUGGUUCCUAGAAGCUAAUGUUACCCUGGACAGUUAACAAAAUUUUUGUGAAAGUACUGUAGAGUUAGAAAACACACCAAAUAGUACAAUUCUCCACACUGGAUUUCUUCAAUUUACUGUUAAGUUGUAAAAAGUAGGCUUGUACCUGAUGAAAACAUUUGGCAAAUUUGUAUGCAGUACCAGUGAAAAAUAUGCACAAAUUGGCAAAAUAAGGCAAGAUUCUAACUGCUGUCCAUGUUCAAGAACUAUAACAGUAGUGGGGUGAAUGCUAAAUCUUUACAAUAAUAUAUAGAUUGUACAUUUGUUUUUCAUGGAUUAUAAGACAUUUUUCAUUUUUCAGCCACACGGUAUUGAUUCAUCACUUCCAUAUUCAGCUAUGCCUAUAUAUGUCCAUGUCACAAAGUUAUUUUCCCAUUAAAAAUUUACUCUGUCCUUGCAAUAAGAAACACAAAAGAGUUAGUUCAAAGGAAAAAAUAACAAUUUGCAUUUGGAUAAAAAUGGUAAAUAGAUUUAUUUUUGACUCAUCCUGUGAAUCCUUUUCAGAUUGCCUUCUUUAUUUUUUAUUUUUUGAGACAGAGUCUCACUCUGUCACCCAGGCUGAAGUGCAGUGGCACGAUCUUGGCUCACUGCAACCUCUGCCUCCUGGGUUCAAGCGAUUCUCAUGCCUCCGCCUACUGAGUAGCUGGGACCACAGGUGGGCGUCACCACACCCAGCUAAUUUUUUUGUAUUUUUAGUAGGUAUGGGGUUUCACCAUGUUGGACAGGCUGGUCUCAAACUCUUGACCUCAAGUGACCCACCCACCUCGGCCUCCCAAAGUGCUGGGAUUACGGGUGUGAGCCACUGCACCCGGCCCAGAUUGCCUUCUUCAGGUAAGUAUUUUAAACCUCUUAUGAGCUGUUUCCUUCCUUCAUCCCUUCGUUUCCUCCUUUUUCCUCCCCUCCUAGGACUCUCUUUCUCUUUUCAUUUGCCUCUAUUUUCCUUCAUUCUUUUCUUCCUUUGUUCAUUCCUUCCUCCCUUCUUUCUUCCAUCUCCCUCUUCUUCUUUCUUCCAUCUCCCUCUUCUUCUUUCUUCCCUCUCUUCCUUUUUUCCUCCUUAUUUCUUGCUUUCCUUCUUUAUUUCACUCAUCUAAAAAAAACCUGUAGUAUAGAUCUUUGAGGAAAUUAUUUUAGUUUUGACAUUCAUUGCACAGUUGUCUGUAACCCAGUUAGGGAAUUCUUUCCUAUUUUUAAAAUGAAAAUAGCUGAGAGAUUUGUGAGGAAAAUUUGAAACAAUGUUGAUUCUGAAUGUUUUUAAAAAUUUCUAAUAUUUAUGAAACAACUGUAUCUCAGAUGAGCUUCAAUUUGCAAGGCAUCAUUCCAUUUUCAUUUUUAAUUCUCUGUUCCAAUGCCUCUGCUAAGAAAUAAGCAUUUUCUCAUAGGAAGAGAUUAUUCCUUUUAACUUUUUUUCAAUUUUAAUUUUUAUUCAGCCUCUUACCUUUUUGCUAAAACCAAAAGUUCAAAAGAAAGGUGAUCAGGACACUCCCAGGAAUUUUUUAGCCAUGUGAGAAUAUAUGGUGAAAUGAUUCAAGUAGAUGCAACAUGGUCUACUGGAAAAGCACUGAGAUUUUGAGGAGAAAACUUAGCUCUGCCAUUAGUUAAUUGUCAUCAAGGUCUUCCUAUGAAAAUUGUAGUUCAAUUUUCAAACAUUUAUUGUUUUUCUCCAAAGUGCUAGGCAUAUGCUUUUGUGCUGGAGAUGAAAGAUGAAUAACAUGUAGGUGCUGUUUUUGAAGAACAUCACUGAAGAGAGAGUGAGCUAAAACAAAUAAUGAUUUGUGUGCUAGAAUAGAGCCAGGUUGUACAGAAAGGUUCUAUUAAUAGCGCUCAGUGAUCCCUGCAAAAGAAGCAUUUGAUUCUGUCCAAAGAGAUGAGUACAGAAAAAGCCAAAGAGAAGAAAUGAUAUUUGAUUUGGGAUUUUGAAGGAUGAAUAGGAUUUAACCAGAUGAAUACAUUGGAGGAAAGAUAUUCUGGUAGGAACACUGUGAGUAAACAACUGUAGGACUUUGGGAGGGAUUGUGAGUAGAGUGUGCAAGAUGGAAAGUACGUUGGCAUUAUAAUGAUUCAUCAUCAACAACACCAUGUUUGCUUGCCUGGUUGAAUGUCCCUGAGUACACCAGCUGACAUGGAUGCCAGAAUUCCAGCUAUGAGAAUUUCUCCUCUAUUUAUUUUAAACGUAGGUACAAAUCAGUUCUCUUUGAACCCUGCCUGACUUUGCAUCAUGGUUUCUUCUCCUUAUCUACUUCUUUGUGAAUGUGAUAACUCAACUUUGGAAUUGUAACUUUGUUUCUGGCAUCGCAUCCUUCCUAACAUGCUCAUUCCAAAAACUACUCUUUCACUGCACUACUUAGGCAAGAGGCCCCCGGCCAUGAGUCUCAGAGUUCUCCUCCUCAUAUCACCAAAGUGUCCCAUGGGUUCCAGUGGAAGGUGAGCAAUAACAGUAUCUCCUGCAGCCACCUCACAGAACUGUUGUGAAGGAUAGAGAUGAUAACAGAUGGACCAUGUAUUCACUUUGGAGGUAAAUAGACUUGGAUUUAAAUCCUGAGUCUGACUGAGUAAGCCAAGUCAAGUUAUUUAACUUCUAUGGUCCUCGAUAUUCUCAGUUUCCUAUGAUGGGGCUAAUAGUACCUACUUGGUAGAAUUAUUGUGAGAAUUUUCAUUCAAUGAAUGUGGACUGAACACUUGCUAUAUGUGGGCUACUAUUCUAGGGCCUGGGGAUGUAAAAGAGAAACAAGUCCUUGCCUCCUUGAAUUCAGACUGUAAAUAAACAAUUAACUACAUAAUAUAAUAUCAGAAAGAGUUUGGUGGCUGGAAGAAUAGCAAAGGGUAAGGGGAGAGAGAGAGAGGAACAGAGUGAGAGUAGUGAUAUUGCAGAGGGUGUUCAAGGAAAGCAUCUUACCUGCAUGAAAUAAAGGGAUAAACCAUGUAGAAAUCUGGAAGAAGAGUAUUUCAGGCAGAUGGAAGAGCAUAUACAAAACCUCUGUUAUGGACUAAGUUGUAUCCCUCUAAAAGGCAUGUGCUGAAGCCCUCACCCACAGUGUAACUGUAUUUGAAAAUAAGGCCUCUAAAGAAGUAAUUAAGGUUAAAUGAGGUCAUAAGGGUGGGCUCUGAUCCCAUGGACUGAUGUCCUUUUAAGAAGAGGAAGACAUCAGAGCUCACUCACUCUGUGCACACACAGAGGAAAGGCCAUGUGAGGAGACAGGGGAAGGUGGCCGUCUACACGUCAGGAAGGGAGGCCUCACCAGUAACCACCCCUGAAGGCACCUUGGUCUUGGUCUUCUCACCUCCAGAAUUGUGAGGAAAUAAAUUCCUGUUGUUUAAGCCAUCCAGUCUGUGGUGUUUUGUUAUGGCAGCCCGAGCUCACUAAUAAUACAGGCUCUGAGGCUGAAAUGUCCCAGGCAUGUGACUGCAGCAGAGUCAGUGAUGGGAGGCAGUGCUGGGAAAUGCCUUGGAGAAGUAGCCAGGAUCCAGGACACCUUUGCCAUGAUGAGGAGUCAGGACUUGAUGCCAAGGGAGAUGGCUGUCUUUGAAGCAUGUGCUUCAAGGAGUAAAAUGACAUGUGUUUUUAAAAGAUCAAACUGGCUGCUAUGUGGGGAAUUGACUCUGGGCCAGAGACCAUGGUCUUGAGAGCAGUUAGGUAGACAACAGGAGCCCCUAGUGGAGUUGGUGAGAAGUGGUUGGGAUACAUUUUGGAGAUGAAGCUGACUGAAUUUGGUAAUGGAUUGGAUGACGAAUGGAAAGAAACGAGUCAGGAUGACUCACUGGUUAUUGGGCUGAGCAUCCGAGUGAGUGAUGGUGUUUUUGUGGAGACUGCCACUCUUACGUCUGUAAUGCUAUUCUGCAGACACCAGUGUGGCUCACUCUCUCCCGUCUUGCAUGUCUUUCCUAAAUGUCACCUUCUGAUUCAGACCUUCCCUGGGCAGCCUUUUAAAAAUUGCAUUGUUUCUCUGUUUCCCUGUCAUGCCUUUCUUUUCUCUAUAGUAUUUAUCCCCAUCUAACAUAUUAUAUAUUUUACUUACCAAUUUUAUUUUCUUCUAAAAUGUAUAUUUCAUGCAUUUUUAUCUGUUUUGUUCACUGCUUUUUAGUUCACAUGUCUUGAACGUGGUCUGGUAUACAACAGGUGAUCCAUAUUUCUUGAAUAUAAGGAUGGAUGAAUGAAUGAAUGAAUGGGUGAAACCUGGGGAAGAGGAAUCAAGAACUUUGUUAAAAUGAGUACUAGUUGGCCGGGCAUGGUGGCUCACAUCUGUAAUCCUAGCACUUUGGGAAGCCGAGGUGGGCAGAUCAAGGUCAGGAGUUCAAGACAAGCCUGACCAACAUGGAGGAACACCGUCUCUACUAAAAAUACAAAAUUAGCUGGGCGUGGUGGCACACACCUGUAAUCCCAGCUACUUGGGAGGCUGAGGGAUGAGAAUGGCUUGAACCUGGGAGGUGGAGGUUGCGAUGAGCCGAGAUUGUGCCAUUGCACUCCAGCCUGGGCAACAGGGGAGAAACUCCAUCACAAAAAAAAAAAAAAAAUACUGGUCAAUUGGAAGUAUCUGGAAGGUAAUUGCUAUACCAUUAAAUGAGAUAUAUAUAACAAUUAUUAUUACAAGUAUUCUUCCUCUUUUUUUUUUUUUUUUUUUUUUUUUGGAGACGGAGUCUCGCUCUGUCACCCAGGCUAGAGUGCAGUCUUGCAAUCUCGGCUCACUGCAAGCUCCGCCUCCUGGGUUCACGCCAUUCUCCUGCCUCAGCCUCCCGAGUAGCUGGGACUACCGGCACCCGCCACCACGCCCGGCUAAUUUUUUGUAUUUUUAGUAGAGACAGGGUUUCACCAUGUUAAGUAUUCUUCCUCUUCUAAGUGUGCUGCACCCACCUCUUAGUAGACUUUGGUUGGGAUUAUCUGAGAGUAGUCUUUUUUAGUUCUGUGGCUGUGUGAGCACAUGGUUGGGAGAAUGUGAGGAGGAUGUGGCCAUGACCAACUUUAUCCUUUUGUAGCCACUCACUCCCCAGCGUCACACAAAUGGAUGCUUACGCAGAUUUCCUAUAUCCUCCAUAGGCUCCUAUCUUUGUGCUGAGUAUUAAUUCCCAUCUGUGUUCAAGGACGGUAAUCAGGCAGGGGCAGUAAUCAAAAUGAUGUGUACAGCAAAAUCAAAGCUUUCGCAUCAUAAUCAAAACCAUGCAGUAAAUUAUAGGAAUACGUGUUCUGGUUUAAUCAAUGACUGAUCUUGCUUGGAUGCUUGAUACAGAGAAAAUCAAAGAUUUGGUUUCAAAUUAGCCAAGGGGAACAUAUUAUGAAUGAUCUCAUAUAACUUAGCAUGCUAUCACAGUGAUUAUUUUUUAAAUAAUAAGAUUUUGCUGUAGGUCUCACCACACUACUAUUUUAGCAUACAACGACUAAGAAAAAUUCUUUAGUAUUUGUCCUUACAUAGUGUCUUGAAGAAUGACCUGCCCUCCAAAAGCUUGUUACAGGAGAGAUGAUAUAGGCAUGAGCAAAAAAUGGUGAAUGUGCUUGUACCCAGCAGUGUUAAGUAAAUUCCGAUCUUUGCUGUGAAUUGCGAGUGAAAAGUUUGGGGUGAGUAUUUUAUUUUUCAUUGAGAAGUGAAAUAAUUGUUAGUUUGUUUAGUAGCACUGGUUUUUGGGAAUUUUUUUUCUUUUUUGUCUUUACACAUUGCAGAGUAGCAGUAAAGAAAUAGGUUGGUCUUUUAAAGGGUGUAUUUCCUGCUUUUAAUAAACACAAGUUUUAUGAGAAAAAUAAAUAAAUUUCAAUAUAAAAUUAAGAUGUACAGAAUAUAGAUUUAGCACAUAUAAAAAAGGAAACAAAAAUCAUUUUACCUUCACUUUAGCCUGGGCUGAUUUAACAAAACACCAUAAACUGGGUAGAUUUUUAACAUCAGAAAUUAAUUUCUCAUAGUUCUAGAGGCUGAGAAGUCCAAGAUCAAGGUGCUGGCAGAUUUGGUGUCUGGUGAGAGCCCACUACCUCACAGAUAGCCUUCUUCUCACUGUAACUCACAUGGGAGAAGUGGCCAGAGAGCUCCCUGGGACCUCUUUUAUAAGGGCACUAAUGCCAUUCAGGAGGGAGGGCAUCACCCUCAGGACCUCAUGACUUCCCCAAGGCUCCAUGUCUGAACAUCAUCACCUUGGGGGUUAGGAUUUCAACAUAUGAAUUUUGGAUUGGGACAUAAAGAGUCUACUGCAAAUUUCUUCAUGUCAGUCACAUUUUAACCAAAAUCAUCUUACAUGGACUUCUCUAGAGGUAGUUAUAUUUUUUAACCAACUGCACUUUUAUAUGAUAACAUAUUUUUAUAUGCCACCUGCAAAAGGGCUACCUAAUGAGGCCACCUAUUUUUUGUAAGUGUAAGAGACUCAGCUGGAAGCAAGUUCAAGUGUGAAGCACUGUCCCCUCUCUACCUGGGACAUGGUGCAUACAAAUGGGAGUAACAUGAGCUUUGCAGGGGUCAUCUUGGCCUCCUGUCCCACCUCCACCACUUACCAGUCAUCAUUCAUUAUUGUUAUUCCAUGAACAAUGCCACCCACAAACCCAGAGUGACUCUCAGUUCAUUGCUUGUCUUCACCCAGCGUAAUGCCAGUUGUGUGUCCUUAACAUCUUUCUCAUCUCCUUAUUUUGUCCUCACUUCUCUCCCCACUGCCAAUGUUUAGGCCUGCAGCAACGAUUUCCUAAAUUGCCCACCUUCCAUCCAGCUUCCAUCACACUGCUAGAGUAACACUUCAGAAAAUCCAAGUUCAAUCCUAUUAAAAUCUUAUUUUAAUCAGUCGUCUAUUUAAUUAUUUUUAUUAUUGCCCAUUACUAGGAUAGAGAAUUCCAAGUUUGUCAAGUAAUGAACUGCAUGAUAUUCCUGGUCUCUUUAUUCAAAGUCAUCUCCUACUUAUACCCCUAAUGUGUGCGCGCACACACACACACACACACACACACACACACACGUACACACCAUCUUGCCUUCCAGGCACCCUCAGCCACCUUUACUACUCCUGGCAUGCUGUCUCCUGCACAAGUCUCAUUGCCUUUACCCUCUGUGGAAUUUCCCUCUCUGUGCUCUUACCAGAUCACUUUAUAAAGUUAUUUUUAAAUAUGCUUGUGAAAAUAAAUGAAGAUCACAUGAACAAGAACAGAGGUGAUUUAUUUAGAGUUUGCAAGAGAAUCAACCACUAUCAGUUGCAUUUGGCACAGACUUAAAGGAACACAGAAAGAUAGGAAACCUUUAGAGUGAAACAAAGAGCAGGUUCCAGGUACGCUGUGGCAUGAGGAAGCUGGAGUUGAGCUAACUAGAUGUGAACAUCUGAUGUGGUUGGUUUGGGAAGCAGAUCUUGCUUCCUCCGGUUGAUUCUGAGUUGAAAGGAGGGAGCCAAGAAUAGGGAAGCUGGCAGUCAUUGACUGUAUCGUGACUGUUGGGGCCAGUUGCUGUAGAGGUUGUGGUUUGGCUUCCAGCUGGUUGCUGCAGAGGUGGUGCUCAGAAUUCUGUUGUCAUAUAUUGUCUGGCCAUUGUCCGUUUGUAUAUUUCAUCUCUCAUGAUCAAUCAAUAUUUUUUGAAUGAGUACAUGAAUAUUUCAUCUCAGUAAGUGAUCAUUCCCUCCUCAUCCAUCUUAAUCAUAAAAUUCUAAUGUCCUAGGUUCUUUAUCUUUCAACAAAUUAUGUUUCCCUUUCUUAAUGGGUAGAAAAAGGAAGCUUCCCCAUAGGCCUAAAUGUGCUGAUUUCAAGAGAAAGCAUACUUCUUUGCAACAAGAAAUUGCCCAGGCCUUCACUCUUAACCACUAUGCUACAUCAACGUCCUUAGAUGAAACAGAGACUUGGGGGCAUAUAUUUCCCAAUUUUUCAAAAUCCAUUUUUAUCGCAUAUUCAAUUUGGCCUGCUUACCUUAUUUACAUUACCUGUCUGGGAUGAAAGACAUUUGAGGUUGUCAUUCUGGACUCUUAAGUAAGUUCUUCCUUUAAAGUAAAGAAGCUGACCUUCCAAGCUAAUUUAUCCCACUUAACAAGAGUAAUAAUAACACACCACCCACUCCAGAAAGGAAAUCAUGCAGAUGAAUGAAAUAAUGUUUGUACAGAGCUUGACACUCCAUAAAAUACUCUAAUAACAUGGUGUCUACACUUUGAAAUGUUCAAAUCCUAUUUCAAUAGAAUUAAAAGCCAUGAAGAAUAAAAUGUGAAUUGCUUGUCAGACUUUUACAUAGAGGUGCAGGGUGAUACUGAUGCCAUUAGACAAUUUAAAAGCUGGGUUUUAGCAAAGUUUCUGAGGAAUCUGAUUGGUUUGUGGGGGAGAAAGUGAUGGUGGUACUUAUUCAUAUCCAUUUUUGUAGAAAAACAAUAGGUUAUAACAUGAACCGAGAAACACUUACGCAGCUAAAUUUACAGAAAUCUGUCUACUCAUCUCCGAGGAAAAGUUUUGGCUAAGCAAGUUAAUUUUGUCGUUAGACAUUUGCAUAGUAAUUGUAUUGAGUCUGAAUGUGCAUCUGCAUGGAAAGCAUGUUUUUUCAAUCCUGUUCUUUGGACAUGGAUUAAUAUAGAUCCUGGCGAGUCCUUAAAUAAUAAAUUAUUGAAGUUGAAUGCUUAAUUACUUUACAUUUAGAUCUUUUAUAACCAGAUGCUUGAACCCCUAGUCUGCCAUGUAUUGCUGCUGCCUUUAUUGGUGUUACCAGGUAAUAGUCACCUGAGUUUUUCACAUGGUCUUGGUUUGAGGGUAGUCUACUAAAGAAUGCCCACAUAUAGUGUUUCAAAUAUUAUUAAAGAGUGAUAAUUAAAUGUGCCUGAUGUAUAAAAAGCAUGUGAGGUCAUUUAAACUAACACUUUUAUUGUGAUUGUUGUGAAGGUUAUGAAAAACUUGAUCAUGUAUAUUAUCUAAAGGGAUUGUUACAAACCUCAAGUGACUUCAGGUCAUUGAAACCAUUGCAUGUGGUGACCAGCUACAGAGGCCAUGACAUUUUUCCCUUGCCUAUUGUAUCCAAGGUUAUUUUGCAAAUCACCGCUUUGCAUGGUACAACCUUCGGAGUUUCUAGAAAUUGCCUGGAGUGAUAAACCAGAGUAUAUUCAACAAUAGGAUUUCCUAGAAUUAGUGGGAGAGGUGUAAUUAAGUUACUGUGUAAUAUAUUUCCCCCAAAUGAUAAAUAUCAAUAUGUGAACACUGAAUAUGUGCUCCUAUGAAGCCACCUUAAGUGGCAGUUUUUAGCUCAGAAAUUGUGAACCAAUGUUUUGUCCACCUGAACCAGUUUGGGUGGAUGGAAAAGACUUAAGGGCAGAUUUCAGAACUUGUUUUUCUUUGUUAAUUCAAAAAUGAUUCUACUAAACUCUAGAUGAGAUCAAGUGGUGAUAGAGAUAUCAGCUGAGUGAGUUCUGUUUUCUGGAACUUUCUUGAAUCUUUAUUAGUAAUUCAUAGCAUUUUUCUAGAUUUCAUGGCUGCAGUUUCAUAUUGACAUCAUCCAGUAUCACUCUAAAGGGACUCUAAAACUACCCUUCCUGGCAUUCAUCUAAGAGCUGGGAAGCCAUCCGCUUAUACCUGGCUUAGAAUAUCAUUUUUAGAGACAUGACCACAAGCCUGCUGACAUUCAAGAGCAUGGCUUAAGUGCAUCCCACUCAGAGCUUUGUGAAUUCUUCUUGUAAAUUAUGAUGCCUAUUCAAGAUUUAGUGGGAAUACUCCCUCUUCUCAAGCAUUUAUCAAAACACAAGGUGAAUGCAUUAUCCACAUUAACUGCUGUUCAAAAAUUCUGUCCAAAAGUUUUGUUUCAAUAUAGGCAAAGUUUCUGUGUGAUGCCUGGCAUAUGGCCAACCAUAUAGGAUGGCCAUGAUCUUUAUUACUGAUUUCUUAGUGUUUAUUUUGAAUGUAAAGUUCUUUAUGUUUUUCCUAAAAGUUCCUCACUGUUUCCCUCACUCACCCACUAGCCCACAUAUUCACAUAUUUUACUUGGUUGUGACUAUUUGAAGAAAGCCCUUAAAGCUUUUUUCUAAAGCCCCCCAUUUAAGAUUUUCAAGUACAUAGGAACCACUGGGGACUCUUACUACCAUUCUGAUUCUGUAGGCUGGGGCCUGAGGGUCUUCAUUGCUAACUAGCUCCUAGGUGAUAGGAACAGUGCUGAGAGCACACUUUGAGUGGCAAGUCUCCAAAGCAGUGCUGUCUAAUAGAACUUUCUGUGAUGAUGGAAAUGCUUCAUAUCUGUGCCAUCCAAAUGAGUGGCCACUUGCCCGAUGUGGUUAAUGAGUAUUUGAAAUGUGGCCAGUGCAACUCAGGAACUAAAAUUUAAUUUUAUUUAGUUUAAUUAAUCUAAAUUUAAAUAGAUACCUACCUUAUUUGACUAUGCUAGGGGACUUAAUUAAAGUCUUUAUAGCUCCUUGGCUUUCCCCAGUCUUGAGAAAAAGAAUCUGAAAGUCGAGGGCUCUUUCUUAUCUCCAAUUUUCCAGAAUCUUGCAUAGGGCCAAGAAUAUUAUGUAUGCAUAGUAAAUGACAUUCCUAUUAAGAGGUCUAGUCUGCAGUUUUGGGGGCAGACUCAUAGAACUGUCAAAUAAUAAAAAGAUUUGACUUUGAAGCUAUAAGACAUGGUGGGUAGGUGGCUCAGCCUCUACCACUUACAGGAUAAUUUCUGACAAGUCACUUAAUCCCUCUAAGCAUCAAUUUCCUCAUCUCAAAAUAGCAAUCAUGAUUAUGGUAAUGUAAUACCUAUCUCACAGAGUUGCUGUGUUAUGCACAUAAAAUUCCUGGCAAAUUAUUUUUUUCAAGUGAUACUUGCUCUGCAAAUGCUAGUUUUUGUGGUUAUUUCAGCAUGAAUUUCUUUUUUCCCCUAAUUAGUUAUAUUUCAGUAAAACAAUAGAGGAAGGUACCCUGUGUGGACAUAGUUGCAAUCCAAUUGAGAGGUUAAAUAAUAACACAAAACUACAUGCAGUUUUGUAUCAUUUCUCAUGUGGAGAAAGUAGUUUCGACGGUCAAGGAGGAGGGCUUCAGCAUGUUACUUUGAUUCUUUGCAUUUUAUAUUAUUUUAUGUGGAAGCAAACAAUAUUUUUGGCCUGGGAUUUUGUGUUGUUUGAUUUAAUUCCCUCAUAAAAAUGUGUCAUAAAUGCUUUGCUAAUUGUGAUUGAAAUUUCAUAACUCUAUCUCAUCUUAAAAAUAUCCCAUUCCAAUUUGCUGAAUACAUAAUUUCCCCUUGUUUAAAGUUAUAUAAUGGACAUAUUUUCUCUUUGUUUUUCUUGAGUAUAUUUGCUUUGAAAUAGCUUUUUUGUUUUUCAUACCCUCUGUUUAUAUAUAUGUAUAUAUGUAAAUAUAUGUGUAUAUAUAUAAACGUAUAUAUGUAUUUACACACACACAUAUGUAUACACACAUAUAUUAAUCAAAAGCAUUGCCUACUUCAAGAAAAUAAGAAAAAUCACAAGGGGUAACAUUUCGCAAGUGUGCAAAGCACUAUUCUAAACACCUUACAUAUAUAAACACGUUGAGUUGUCACUGAGGCUGAGUAAACCUUUAAGCUCUUUUACUGUCUGCUGUGGUGUUGAGUUCUGAAAAUAUUGAUAGUCCUCUUAUCACUGGUAAUGACAUGACGUGCCAUCCAAUGACCUUUGUACAAUCAUGAUUUAUGUAUAGGUUGAACUAGGGGCAUCGCCAUUUAAGAACGAUUAAGACAAAUCAAGGCAUUUCUGAAAGAGAACAGAUUGAUUUUGUUUCUUAAAGUAUUUAUAGCUUGUAAGGCAGCUGUCUGCUUUUGUAUAUUCUUAAACAAGCAUCAUAGACCUUAUUCAAUAAUUUAAGUGUUUUCUUUAGAACUGUUUUGCAGCAAACCGAACUUCCCAUUUGCAUUGAUCAGUGUUUUCACCUUCAUUCUAGAUUACAUUUUAAAGUAAACCAACCAAUUUGGAUAAAUGUAAACGCAAUCACUUGUUAACAAUCUUCUGAGACUGAAUCGGUGCUGGGUAUUUCUGAGUUUCUAUGGAAGGAAAAUAGUUCAAAGUUCAGAUUGGCUGUCUCACCACCUAAGCUCCAUGCCUUGCCCCUUGCUUUCCUCCACAAUAAGGCUUAGACGCAAAACACUUCGUUUUCCUGAUCACCACUCAGGCAUGAGAGACCAGGUGAUCUAUGGCUGGCCAAUAGGCCAACAACAAGUAGGGAGAACCUCCUUUCAUGAGUAGAAAGGCAAAGCAUUGUGAAGGGAGCACCUUUCUAUAUUAUUCCAACCUCGAAUAAAUGAGAAUUUAUUUAUUUAUUUUAUUCCAGUUUGUUCAUUUAUUUCUUAUACGCUCUAAGAGGCAACUCAGUAUGUUGAUUAUUUUUUUCAGAUUCAUGCCCAUUCAUCUUCUUAAAGUAGAGUUUCUACAGAUGCUCCAGGAUCAGUCUGACCUAGUACAGAGCAGUGUGUGUGUGUGUGUGUGUGUGUGUGUGUGUGUGUCUGUGUAUGUGUGUGUGCUCCUGCAUGCUUUUAAUUAUAUAUUGAAGAUAUGCUAAAAUAUUUAUAAUGCCUCUCAAAGAUUCAAAGAAUAAUAAUAAAAUAAGCAGCUUUCCCUACCUUAGAGACCUUCUGUGUACCCUUCCCUUAUCCCUUCAUUUUCUUCCCUACCAACAUAACCACUGAUCUGAAUUUUGCAUUUACUUUUCUCAUUCUUCUCUUACAGUCAUACUACAUACCAGGCAGCUCUAAAGAUAUAUUGUUUAAUUUUACAUGUUUUGGACUUCUUUAAAAAAAGAAUCAUACUGAACAAAAAUGGAAUCAUAUUGCAUGUAUUCUUAUGAAACUUCAUUUUUCAUCCAAUAAUGCUACUUGAAAUGUAUUUAUGUUGAUGUAGUUACUACAGCCAUUUUUCACUGCUCUAUAUUUGUCUCACUUUUGCCAGGUUUAAUUUUUUUCUAUUUUAUCCUUUGAACUAGCUUGAAAUUAUAUACUUCACUCUUUUUUCUAAUCUCUUGGUUACUCCAGAAAUUUUGGCUUGUAUACGUAACUUUAAUCAAAAUCUUUAUGAUUCUCUUGAAUGAUAAAAUAUGUUCAGCAUUUUAGCUUCAGCUAUUUAGUCUGGUAUUUAAUUACACCUUCCUAAACCACACACAUUAGACAUUUUUACUACAAUCAAUGCUUAUAGAAAUUCACUCACAUAUUUAUCAGCAUUUUUUUUAUUUACCUCUCCUUCAUGCAUCUCUGACUUUGCAUUUGGGAUUAUUUUCCUUCUGACUGUAGUUGGUUCUGUAGGAAAUCCUCCCGGGAGUAUUGUUAAAUAUUUUCCAUUUGUUUGAAUGAAAAAUGGCCUUUUGAAAUCUUUUGUAUUAAAAGUUGGAUGCACUGGGUUUUCAGUUCCCGGUUGACAGUUGUUUCUUCUUGGCACAUUGGCAGCAGUUUCUCCUAUAGUCUAAUAUUCACUGUUGCUGUUGACAAGUCAUGGCAAUUGUUAUUCCUCUGAAGUAAUCUCUUCCUCUGGUUGCUUUUAAUAUUUUCAUGUUGUAUUGGGUGUUCUGAAAUUUCACUAAGUCUCCAGGUAUAUGUCUUUCUAAGUUUCCUCCUCAGGAUUUGUUGUGCUUCCUAAAUCUGAGGUUUGAGGUAAUCAGUUCUCUAGCAUUUAUAGCCCAUUGCUACUUUGCCUCCCUCCCAUUCAUUCUGUUUUCCUUUUCUCAAUAGACUUUUCCACUCUGUCGUGCCCUCCAACAACUUUCUUAUGAUUCCAACCUAGCUGUCUCACUGUGCUGCCUUCUAAAUCACUUUUUCAUAACUAUCUUCUAGGUCAAUAAUUUUUCCUUCAGCUGUGUCUAAUCUGCUGAUAAAACAUCUGUAAGGAACAUGACUGUGCUGCACCCAAGCAGGCAUAGGCCAAGGUAAACAACCUGGAUGACUCAGCAGGUUUGUGGUACAAGUGCAUAGUCCCAUGUCUUAUAUAAUCAUAGCUGUGUAGAGAUAACAUAGAAAAGUUCACCGCCAUAGCCAUAACAUAGAGAAGCUCACCACCUAGCUCUCAGCCACUAUUGUUUGUGUAAUGUAUAAAAGUAACACUGACCCUGUGAGGCAGCUGCUGAAUAAAGCCAUGUCUCAUCUACCUGCUGUUUCUCAAGUGUUCUUCCAGCUCCCUGCCCCACAUCCACCCACUCCCCUCAGCCCUCAGCUGGGGUUGGAACUUGACCCCAAGCAUGACAACAUCCAUUGGUUUUUAAUUUUAAUUACCAUAUUUUUAAUUCCUAGAUAUUCUUUUUGCUUUAUUUUAAAAUUGAUUUGGUCAUUUUUUAAUAGUUACUUCUUCCUUAAUCAUAUUAUCAUCUUCUUAUUUAUUUCCUGAAAUGUGUUAGACAUUCUUAGAUAAUUCCUAUAUCUAUUAGAAUUAUGGGUUGAAGUUGUUUGUUAUUUGUGCUCUUCUUAUUCAUGUUGACUUGUUAUUUUAUAUAUUAUAUAUUUUCAUGGAACUUUCUUUUAAGUGUUGUCUGAGACCUGGGUUCACGUCAAGGAUGAUUUUUGUUUGCUUCAAGUAGCUGUCCACAGAGGUAGAGGUGGGAAAUCAACCAGUGGCCAAUAAAUUCAUUCCCCAACUCCCUACAAAAGUAGUAUGAUGCAAGCCAUAAACUCAAAUACCGACCAGGUUGUGGGUAUGAAAUCUCUUUGGAGAUUUUUUUUUUCCUUCACUUAGUGCUCAAUUCAUCAGGCAAUUUCCCUUCUUGUUUUCUGAAAGAAUUUAUUGCCAGUUACAGCUUAUGCUGCUGUUCCAAUUGUAUAAGGGAUCUCUAGUGAGACUCCCCACAUUGGAAAGUCCUUAGACUUUUUCUCUGAUUGCUCCAACUCACACAUUUGAAAUCAUACAAAUGGAAGCUCAUGGUUGCCAAGACUCAGCAGAUAUCUUCAGGGUGAAACCUGGAGUCAGUGUUAAUGUCUCUUCAGAGUCUUUAGUUUGUUUUCAUCCUUUUCCAGCAGAAGAGCCCUACAAAAGAAGACAUUUAUGCAGCCAAAAAACACAUGAAAAAAUGCUCACCAUCACUGGCCAUCAGAGAAAUGCAAAUCAAAACCACAAUGAGAUACCAUCUCACACCAGUUAGAAUGGCAAUCAUUAAAAAGUCAGGAAACAACAGGUGCUGGAGAGGAUGUGGAGAAACAGGAACACUUUUACACUGUUGGUGGGACUGUAAACUAGUUCAACCGUUGUGGAAGUCAGUGUGGCGAUUCCUCAGGGAUCUAGAACUAGAAAUACCAUUUGACCCAGCCAUCCCAUUACUGGGUAUAUACCCAAAGGACUAUAAAUCAUGCUGCUAUAAAGACACAUGCACACGUAUGUUUAUUGCGGCAUUAUUCACAAUAGCAAAGACUUGGAACCAACCCAAAUGUCCAACAAUGAUAGACUGGAUUAAGAAAAUGUGGCACAUAUACACCAUGGAAUACUAUGCAGCCAUAAAAAAUGAUGAGUUCAUGUCCUUUGUGGGGACAUGGAUGCAAUUGGAAAUCAUCAUUCUCAGUAAACUAUCACAAGAACAAAAAACCAAACACCACAUAUUCUCGCUCAUAGGUGGGAAUUGAACAAUGAGAACACAUGGACACAGGAAGGGGAAUAUCACACUCUGGGGACUGUUGUGGGGUGGGGGAGGGGGGAGGGAUAGCAUUGGGAGAUAUACCUAAUGCUAGAUGACGAGUUAGUGGGUGCAGCGCACCAGCAUGGCACAUGUAUACAUAUGUAACUAACCUGCACAUUGUGCACAUGUACCCUAAAACUUAAAGUGUAAUAAUAAUUAAAAAAAAACAAAAGAGCUGUACAGGGAAUCUAGGCUGGCAUAGUGUGAGAAACAAAACACACAUGGCAGCUCUUUUUGCCAUCCACAACAAAAUACUAACAAUUGAGCCUAUAAUCAGCUAAAUCCAAAGGCAACAUAAUGUUCUUCCCCAUCUUUUACUUGUGCAGUUGUGUUUUGGAUCCAGAUUAAAGACCUUAAAUUUAGUACUAUUAAGUUUAUUGUUUGUAGGUUUGACUGAGCUCCGUAAAAUUUUUUGGAUCUUAAUUCUAUCACUUAACAGUCACAAUUUUCCCCAAUUUCAUGUCAUGCAUACAUUUGGCCAUCACAACUUGAAUGUUUUUACUACACUGUUGUAAAAAUGUUGACCCAGAUCAGAUUAAAGCCUCAAUAUCCCCUCUAGGUAGAGACUCGUGUAUGAUGUGGCAUUGACUAGGUCUGCUGUUAGGAAUACUUUCUCUUUCUUUUCUUUUGUUUUAUUUUUGAGAUCUCCCUCUGUCACCAAGGCUGGAAUGCAGUGGUGCAAUCUCAGCUCACUGUAACUUCUGCCUCCUUGAUUCAAGCGAUUCUCAUGACUCAGCCUCCCAAGUAGCUGGGAUUAUAGGCAUGUGCCACCAUGCCCAACUAAUUUUUUGUAUUUUUAGUAGAGAUGGGGUUUCACUAUGUUGGCCAGGCUGGUCUCAAACUCCUGGCCUCAAGUGAUCUGCCUGUCUUGGCCUCACAAAGUGCUGGGAUUACAGGCAUGAGCCACCAUGCCUGUCCAUAUUUCUUUAUCUUCAAGAACAUAUUUUGCCAAAUGCCUUCCUGAAGUCAACACACAUUGUAUUUAUGAUUUUUUUAGCCAGAGAAGAAUUAAAUCAGUUAACAUGAAUUUGACUUAUAAAUCCACCUGUGUGUUAAUCAAAGGGCUCCAUGGAUAGCCACACCCAGUCAUCAUUUAUCAUCUCCAUUUAUUCCUCACUGGGGUCAUUUGAAGAUUCUGACUCAGAAUUACAUCCUUGAUACCUUGCUAACAGUCAAGUUAAGCUAUUAUGGAAUUGUGCCUAUUUUCAUGAAUAUUUGGGCAGCCUCUUUUCCUAAAGCUUAUAAUAAAGGCCUCUAUGAACUACCAUGAACUCCAUGGACAGUAGGUAUACAGUGUUAUAUUUGAGUUCCUUCCCUUUUCACCAGAUGUCCAGGUAAUCUGUACUUUAUUUCUAUAAUGACAUAGCAUCCAUCCUUUUCUCCUUUUAUCUUUUGAGCAUUUUCCAGGGUGCUUUCAUCAUCUUGGUUUUGGAUUUUUAUCAGAACAUGUGUCCUUGAACUUGCACACAAGAAAGACUUUCAGUGAUUGACACAUCCAAGGCUUCUUAUUUAGUUGUUCUUCAACUCAACCACAUUGUCUAAUAGAAACCAGCCAGGCUCUGCUGUCUGCACCAUUAGGAUGAUUAUGAAAAGAAUUUAACUAGCAUUUUCCUAUUUAUCUUUCAAAUAUAUAAGCUUCUACUUAGCAAUAUGAAAUAACAAACCACUGCUACAGGAAAAAUGUGGAUAAAUCUCACAGAGAUUGUGUGGAACAAAUAAAACAAAUGAAGUCAUGUGCAAAAGACUACUUACUCUGUUGUUCUGUUUAUAGGAAAUUCAAGAACAAGCAAAACUAAUAAAUGGUCCUGUAAGUCAGAAUAGAGUUUUCCCCUGGGACUGGGAAAUAUUGACUGGAAGAAGCGUGAGGGAGCCUUAUAGAGGCUCUAUAUGUUCUAUAUUUUGAUCUAGGUAGUAGUUAUAAGUCUGUUUACAUAUAUAAAUAUUCAUAAAGUUGUACAUUUAAUACGUGUGCAUUUUACUAUAUGUAUGUUAUACCUUAAUAAAGAAGAAAAACUCAUUUAGGUUACAAGUGAGAAUCAGUUUUAGUGCAGUACUUAUAUGAGUAUGGACUCUGGAGUCUUGGAUAUAUAAUCAGUUGAUUACAAUCAACAUCUGAAUGAUUUUGGAAACUAAGUUUCCUCAUCUGUAAAAUGGAUGAUUUUCUGUGAUAACUGUACAUUUUUACUUUUUGUAUAAGGCAUAAUGGAGUGAUGUGUGUAAGUCACUUACCAUCAUACCUGCCACAAUACAUGCAAGUUUUAGUAUAAUAUCGUCCUGAUUCAAAACAUUUCCUGCUUUUUAAAACAUCCUGCUGUUUAGACAGAUGACUGACAUUAUUCAAUACAUCAAAUGGUAUGUUUUCAUUAGUUAUCUAUUUGUGACUUGCUUAGUAAUUAUAAUGGCAACUGCCAUUUAUGUAACUCUUUAUGUUUAAAAGCUAAUUUAUAUACAUUAUCUAAUUUAAUUAUUCACAACAGUGCUAUAAAAAUGAUAUUAAUUUUAUCCUCAUCUUGCCAACCUAGAGCCUGAGAUGCAGAGACCUGAAGUAACUUACCCAAAUGACAUAGUCAGGAAAUAUUAGAGAGAGUCAUAACUCAGUCAUUUAUCUUUCCCUCUUCAAACGGAAGGGUACAUUAGAGUCACCUACAGAGCUAGUUACAAGUUCCACCCCCCGUAGUGUCUGAUUCAGCAGGUUUGAGGUGGGUCCUGAGAUUGCUGCAUUUCCCAGGCGAUGCUGACACUACCGUCCUAUGGACCACACUUUGAGUAGCAAAGCUUUGCAGAUGAAGAAAGCGUAAGCAUCAGACCUGAGUUCUGCCUUCAAAGAGCUUGCAUUUCUUUUUUCAGGAAACAGGACUGAAGUAUGAAAUAAUAGAAGCCUCCCUAAGGUGGUUUAUAUCCUGAGAACACCCUCUUUGCUGGAAAGAAAGUUUCAUAGUAGAAGAGAACUUAAGAAUACUCAGAUUAUAUAUAGGAGAACAAAGUAUGCUUAGAUACGCUAAUUUUAAUGGUGUUCAAUGACUUAUAUGCCAAAAUGUUAAAAUGGUGGGAGGCCCCUAAAUUAAUAUCCUAAUUCAAGUAUCCUAGUCGUGUUAUUCUCACAAAUUGUCAUUUCAUUAUGUCAAGUAAUAUUUUAGGGUGUUUUAACCAUCGUUAUUUAGGUCUUUGAUUGAUGUGAAAAUUAGUCUCAGUGCUGUAACCACAGGUUUUUGUCAGUGUAACCCUACUGAGUUCCAGCUUCUUUUUUAAAAAAAAGUACAUAUGUGUACCCACAACCAUUGUUACUAAUUGAAAUACUUGAAGAAAAGAGAGAAAACAGUGACCAAAAUUCUUAUAAAAAUCAAAAGCUUUCCAUUUUUUCCAGCUUUGCUUUGUUUCACAGCAGCCAUUUAUCAGAGUUUUAACAAGUAACAAGUAACCAGUCACCUAUUUUUUAAGUGACAGCAUUAUUAAGAUAUAAUUCACACACCAUACAAUUCACUCAUAUAAAGUGUACAAUUCUGUAGGUUUCAGCGUAUUCGUAGAGUUAUGCAACCAUCACUACAAUGUAAUUUUAGAACAUUUUGUUACUUCCAAAAGAAACCCUGUCCCCAUUAAUAGUCAUUCCUCAUUUCUCAAUUCACUCUGCCCUUUGCAACCGCUAAUUUACUUUCUGUCUCCAUGGAUUUGUCUCUUCCAGACAUUUCAUAGAAAUGGAAUCACAAAAUAUGUGGUCUUUUGUGACCAGCUUCUUUCAUAUAGCCUAGCGUUUUUGAGAUCCAUCCGUGUAAAAUGGAUCAGUUUUUUAUUCCAUUUUAUGGUCAAAUAAUAUUCAAUUGAAUGAAUAUGCCACAUUUUAUCUACCCAUUCAUCAGUUGAUGGACAUUUCAGCCACUUCCACACUUUGGCUGUAUGAGUAAGAACACAUUUAUGUACAAGCUUUUGUGAGGACAUAUGUUUUCAUGUAUCUUUGGUAUAUACCCAGGAGUAGAAUUCCUGGGACAUAUGGAAACUAUGUUUAAACCAUAAGGAACUGACAGUUUUCCUAAAGAGUUGAAUCAUUUUACAAUUCCACUAGCAGUGUAUGAUGAUUCCACGUUCUCCACAUUCUCACCAGCUCUUGCUAAUAUUUAUCUUUUUGUUUACAGUAGUGGGUGUGAAAUGGUAUCUUGUUGUGGUUUUGAUGUGCAUUUCCCUAAUCCUAGUGAUGCUGAGCUUCUUGCAUGUGCAUUUGCUUACUUUGUUUUCUUUUUCCAUCCUUUGAGACAAGGUCUCACUCUUAGUCCAGGCUGGAGUGCAGUGGUGCGAUCACAGCUCACUGCAGCCUUGACUUCCCAAGAUCAAGUGAUCCUCCCACCUCAGCCUCCCAAGUAGCUGGGACUACAAAGCACAAACUCUUUAGUUUUUUAGAAAUGGGGUCUCGCCAUAUUGCCCAGACUGGUCAUUCAUUUAUCUCUUUUGGAGAAAUGUGUAUUCAGAUUAUUUGCCCAUUUUUUAAUUUUUUUUUCUUUUUAAAAUUUAAUUGUAAAAUUUGAAUAACUUUUUUGUGCUCUUCUUUGUUUUGGUCUUGUUUUGUUUGAUUUGGUCUUGUUUUGUUCCUUAACCUUUUGGUGACUAGUGAGUAGCUAUUGGUAGAAAGUGGGUAAUUACUAAACAAAUUGCAAUGAGAAAAAAAAGAAUUAAAUAGUGUGGAACACUUGCAAAUAUGAUAACUAAGUUUUACCAAUUAUGAACAGGUUAAUAUUUGGUUUACUGUUUGGAAAAUAAUAAUGUACAAUUUACACAUUGGUUCUAAUACAGUAUUUAAUCUGUAUCUUUGUGUCAUAUUUAAUACCACCAUUUUCCAAAUUGUUCCAUGGAAUGUAAUAGGUUUUAUAUCAAAAAGGGGUCUGUGGCUUAAUAAGUCUGGAGAACCAUAGGCUCAAUAAACGGGAUGGAGUGUUUUAACUCAAGGGCUUCCUUGAACCUUUAAUAUGUAAAUAGACAUUGUAAGUGUUCAAAGCAAGGACUGUACAUGAAAAUAAAACCCUUUACUUUCCCUAAUCAUUUCUUUUGGGACUUGUGUUCUGUGGAACACACUCGGGGAAGCAUUGCUUUAAGGAUGUUAAUUUUUCUUAAAGAAAGUAUAUUGCCCUGGAGAGCUCAGAUUGUGACAACUGGACAGGUACAAAGACUGGAUGAAACAGCAGCAAUUGUUAAGUUACGUGUUACAAACUCAGAAUUAAUAUGGGAAGGAUCCUGACAUUUUAUGAAAUUAAAACUAAUAUUAAUUGAACAGAAAUAGAAAAAAACCUGGGAAGACUUGAGACAGUUUGUGAUUCCUCUCAGCUAGCUGGCAUGUUUAUUUUGUAUUACAGUGCAUAAUUGACCCCCUGCUAGGUGAAUUGGAUUUUGCAGACUCGCCUUGUUAUGUAUUUCAAAGAGCUCUAAAUUUAAUACAUGCUGCUCCUCAGGGUUCAAGCUUUGAAUCACCCUCCUUUUCCUGUGUUUUAGCUGGGUAAGUUUCUCUCUUUUCAAGAACAGCAACUUUUUCAAUGCAGACAGUUUAAUUAUAAAGAUCUUCUCAUUUCGGUAAUGUUUUAGUGAAUCUCAUAUUUCCUCAUAAAUUUAGGGAGAAUGCAGCUAUUUCUAAAAAUAGGAAUUAAUAGUUGAGUUGUUACUGGCUUUUUUAUUGUCCUUUCCAGAAUUACAAAAAAAAUAGUCUUUGGCAGUUCACAUUGCUUCAGGUUGAAAGUAUGCAAAAUUUUUAAACUAUUCCAUAUUCGUAAUAAGUGAAAAAAUAAUUAUUUUUGAUUUCUCCCCUAAGGUACUAGCAAUGUGUCCAUUAGGAAAUUUAGCUCUUAUUUUUGGUGAAGUAGCAGAAUUUUUGUUUCAAGGCAAAUUCAGCAUAGAUACUUGAUUGUAAAGAUAUUAUUGUUUGCAAAUCUUUGUGGAGUUUUUUGGGGGCCAAAUUGAAGCAUUAACUCAAAAGAAUGGCCCUUUUCUUUUAUUGUUAUGUUCUUUUCAUUUUAUUUAUUUGCUUUCAUACAUUUUCUAAUUAAUUUUAUGUUUUUACCAAUACCAGCCCCAUCACUGGGGUUCUGGUGACCACUUAAUUUUACUGUGAAGUAGAAGCCAGAUGAUGGAUAAGUCAAGCCCCAAUAUAAUAAAGCCACCUUAACUAGUUAAACUGAUAUUAUAGAGCUUAGCUCUGACUCCAGAUAUACAUAUAUACCAUUACUUUAUAGAACAACUCUCUCUGGAAUAGCCGUGUUCUCUUUAAGCCAGGUAUGAUGGUGCAUGCCUGUAGUCCAGCUACUGGGGAGGCUGAGGUGGGAGGAUUACUUGAGCCUAGGAGUUCAAGGCCAACCUGGGCAACACUGCAAAACUUUGUCUCAAAAAAAAAAAAGUUAUCUUCGUCAUUGAGAUGUUGCAUUGAUCACCCAAGUAUGGUGAAGAAUUGAAGAGUAGCCAAUUAGAGUGCUCGAUUAUGAAAAUAUGAUGCAAGAUAGGGACCAGGAAGGUCACCACAGUUCUUCCUGGGGCUAGUUGCUAUGAAAGAUAAACCCCCACAUCUCAGUAGCUUAACACUAUUGAAGUUUACAUUGUUGUUUACAAAAUGCUCUUUCUGGUGGACUGUUUCCCUUCAAGCCAUGAUUCACAUGGCCGGCAUUCUUCCAUCUUGUAAACCCAUCAUCUACAAACAGAGACAUCCAACUUACCCUGCUAGGCUGCAUCAAGCCAGAAGGAGAAAGAGUAUGGACGGUCACCAGUGGAAGGUUUCUGUGAAUGUGACUCUAGCUCUAACUCUGUGAGCUAGAAGUCAGUCAUAUCACCAAACCUCAUCCCAAGGGACACUGGGGCAUGUAAUCCAACCACAUAUGCUCAAGAAGAUGAAAUGGAUUUUGGUGAACAUGCAGUGAUCUUGACAUACACUGCUGAAUAUUUGCUUUUUUAUAUUUACAGUGUUGAAAUUAAUCUGACUAAUGAAUUGGAGUUAGUUAUCUCCAAAGGAAAAAAAAAUUACACAUGCACGCACACAUUAAUUAUACAUUAGUCUUAGGCUAAUAAUUAAUAUAUCCACAUGUUAAGUAAUUUCUUUAAUAAGUUCUCUUCAAAUUAGUUCAAAGAUGUCUUUGGCAUUCCUAGAAGGCACAUUUUAUUGAUCUGUUCUCAAUUUACAAAACAAAUAACUGACUCUUUAUAUCUCCUGAAUCUCCUUUGAACAUUAAACUGAGUAGCAAAGCAUCACACAUAGCAAGAAAAUUGAUUUUGACAAUCCAGCCUUGUUAGUUAUCAUUUCAACAGGUGCCAUUAGUAUCAAGACCGAGGUGCCUGCCACAGCUCUAGUGCAAUAAUGUGAAGUAAAUAUCCAUCCAAGCACCCUGGCCUCUUCUCCAAAAUAGAAAAUGACAUCAUGUAAUUGGUUUUGUCUGAACUGCUCAGUGAGUGAAAAUGUGUUUCAGAAGAGUUAAGGCAUGAUGUCAUUAUUCCUGAAGUGGAUUCUUGCAAAGGCUGGGCACUCAGCAGCCUGAGUCUUAAAACCAGCAGCAGUACAAAAACCUGAUGCAGAACCUUAACCCCAUUUAUAUAAUAUGGUGAAUUUUUUCUCAAAUGGGAAUAUGGUGCAUUAUCUUUAAAAACAAGAAGUGAUCACAUGCUCCAGAACACCACUGAUGCCUCUAAGAAAUCUUAUUGAAUUAAGACAGUUAAUUAAUUGUCUGCAAUAGUCUUGACUCUUGCCUGUCUCUCACUUGAGCAUGUGUUGUAAAUUAGGCAGGAAUAUCAUUAGGGCAUCCAGUUCGUUCCCAUGCCCCAGUGGCAAAGAGGGGCAGGACAUGAAGAUGAUUUUAUUUAUUUAACAAAUACUGAUCACCUGCUAUGUGCCUUGUAAUGAUCUUAGUGCUGGGUAUAUAGCCAUGAAUAAAAUGAGAUUCCUCUUUUUAUACAUAAUAAGCAAAUAAAAAUACAACCCAAUGGCAGGUAGAGUUUCAUGCUAGGAAGAAAGAUAAAGCAAAAUGACAUGCUAGAGGGUGAUGCGGGAGUGGCAUGGACUGGAAGAUGGGCUGUCAGAGUAUGACAUUUGAGCAGAGGCUGAAAUGCUCUGAGGGAGAAAAUCAUAAAUCAUGUGGAUAUUUGUUGGGGAAAUGAUUAUAGGUGUAGGGAACAGCAGGGGCAAAGUCCUUGGAUCGGAGUGUGCUUGGCAAGUUUAAAGAUGAGCAAACAUGAAUGAGGGGUAGAGUGGCAGGGAUUAUGGUGGAGGAGAGGCAGAAGGAGCAGAACAUGCAACAUGCUGGAUGCUGCUGUAGGCCCUCAUAAGGGACUGACUAUUGAGCCAUAAAGCCACUCGAUUUCAGGCUUGGCAUUCAUGCUCUAGCACCAGAAGUGUAAUGCUGGGUGGUCUAUGGGCUCUGCAUUUAGGCUGGGGACUAAGAUGUGACAUUUCUGGACCUUGGAUGAUUGUCAAAGGAUGGGAGGUUGGUUCUGGGUUCAGAGAAUGGGGAAGUACAUUGCCCAUUAAGAAUUUUAAGAGAUCUAAGUGUGACCACAAUUGAUGAUUUUAUUAUCUUCACUUCAGUGAUAAAAUUCUUCACCCUCCUCAUUCCAUAAUAUUCUGCUGCUUUCACCUGAAGUUCGCCAGGUAUGAUUAAACAUUGAGUAAUUCAGACCAAAGCUUCCAGAUAUCUAGUAACAAUAUACACUAGUCAAAAAACAAGAUCACACACACAGACACACACACACACACACACACAGACACACACACACACUCUUUAGUAUAUUUGGCAAGGAGAAAUCAUUGAGUGCAUGAAUUUAUAAUGGGAUUGUAUAUUUUCAAUCAAAGAUCUUACAUGAAAAAUGUUCAAUCAUUAAGAUAAGGGAGACAUUUAUGUUAUGUGGUACCCAAGAUAUGCCAGUAAGGUUUUUUAAAAUACACUUUAUUCAUUUGUUCAAAAGCCAUUUUGGGUGGUGGAGGCUUACUCUGUGCUACUGAAGACAUAAUGAAGAUCAGGAGAUACCCUGGCAGCCGAGAGCAGUGGUGCAUGCCUGUAAUCCCAGCUACUCAGGAGGUUGAGGUGGCAGGAUUGCUUGAGCCUGUGGGUUGGAGACCAACCUGGGCAACACAGCAAGACCCUGUCUCAAAAAAAUAAGUGGGAAAAAAAGACAGAGAUGUCCUUGCAACAAACCAGAAAGUGAGGUAUAACUAUUCUAAUUUUACAAACAAGGUAACUGAGGCACAGAGGAGUUCAGCCUGUGUUCGGAGUCACACAGCUGGUAACAUGAAGUUGAAACACAAAUGUAACUUUUUUCUACACCUUGUCUUUUUAAAACCAACAACAUCUUUCAGACACUUGCACACUUUUUUUCAGAUAAUUGGUGUAUGUAAAGGAUUUCACUUCACAUGGACUAUUUGGUAGAUAUAUAACAUCUUAGAUAUAGCCAAUAUCUUGUAUAGGAACAAUGUUUGUAUGAAGUAAAGAAAAACAAUAGGAUAAUCAAUGCAAGGUAGAAAGUGAUAGCACACUUCUGUGAUUAAUACUAGGAUAACUGGUAAAGAGUAUAUGCUAUUUUGUAUUACUAUUUCCAUAACUUCCAAUCAUGCACAUGGCUGCUUCUCUACAACUCUACAAAGACAGUAUCUAACACACUGUCAUACACCACUGCUUCCUAUCUUGUUAAAAUGCCAAUUCUGACGCAGGUCUGGUGUGGGACCUGAGAUUCUGCAUUUCUAACAGACUCCAGGGAUGCAGAUGUCAUUGCUCUGUGCUCUUAAAUGUGGAGUUUAAGGCUAUUACAGUCAUUUCCGGCACCAACCAAAACACUGUGUCUUGGCCCCCACGGCUACUGGUGGUCACUUUUGCAAGAAUGUUUCCUGGGAGACCUAGUAGAGCAGCUUACAGGAGUUCACAAAGACACAAAAUGAUGGUAGGAAGGAAUAAAGAGGAGAAGUAAAAGUGUUGCAAUGGAUUCUGUACCUCAAUCCUGAAGAAACCACAGAUCAGUCACUUCCUUCUUGUUCAAGUGUGUCAAGUGUGUCAAGUGUGUCAGCCUGAUUUGGCACAGCUGACUUGAUGAAGCAUGAUCUCACACAGCAAAGCUGUUGAUCACCUUGAAGAAUAUGUACUUUGCUCCUUGGUGUAACCUAAAUUUUACCUCGCUAAAACAAAACAAAAAGAAUCUAAUAUUCUACUCAUAUUAUUCAUUCUGGCUGGAUGCUAAAGUUAAUUUCCUUAAGUGCUUCAGAUACUAUAUUAAAACUAUCCUUUUAUCAAAUAUUUUAAUAUAAAGCUUUUGAAAACAUGCAAGAGAAUUUCUUCAUUAGAGCCUUCUCCAAUUUUAAUGAGCACACAAAUCACCUUAAAAUCUUAUUAAAAAUAUAAAUUUUGACUCAGUGAGUCUGGGAUAGGGAUUGAAAUUUUCCUUUUCUUAAAAGAUCUUAGAGAAGGUGGAUACAGCAUCCUUGGAGCACUCUGAAUAGACGGGCCUUGGAAUAUCUUAUCUUCACUUGUAUUAGGAUGGCUUUUUUGUGUGUGUGAUGUUCAAAAUGAUGAGGAAGCUAUAUGUUUACAUAUCACCAGAAGCUUAAAAUGAUGGAAAGGAGGCUCCCACCCCAUCAUAUAGGCCAUUGAUCAAAGAUUCUGCAGUCACACUAUUUCCUUACCAUGAUGGAUUAUUCAAACACCAGCUGUAGGAAAAGGAUUUUUUUCAGGAAACUGAUGGUCCAUUGUAGUUUUUCUGAAAUCAGGCUGUACUUGAGGAUUACUCAGCGGGUUCCAAAGAGUACAGACAUUUAAGAUCCACCCCAGACCAACUAAAUCAGAAUCUCUGGGCAUGAAUCUAAUGAGUAGUCUCUAGACCAGCAGCACCUGCAAGCUUAUGAGCCAUACAGAAUCGCAGGCCCCUCCAGAUCUACUGAAGUACAGCUUGAAAAGAUCCCCAAGCAAUUCCAACGCAUGUUCAAUUUUGAGAGAUGUUGCUAACUGGGAGGCAAAGCUGUAGAGUUGCCGCAGCAACUUAAUUGUAAGGUAUUAAAAGUCUCCUUUCCUAUCUAAUCGUUUGGAUGUCUGCCAGGUAUUAGGACCAAAGGAAGACGGGCAGACAUAAGAACCCAUCCAAUGGUGGUUACAUUGAUUAUAUCCUUCCUGAGGCAUCUGAAAUAGUAUAAAAUAAUAAGGAGAGAACACCAAAAAUGUAUCAACUUCCAUGUAACUAGUGUGUAUUAGCCCAUUUUUGCUUUGUUGUAAAAGAAUAUCUGAAAUUUAGAAAUUUAGUAAUUUAGAAAGAAAAGAGGUUUAUUUAGUUCGUGGUUCUGCAGGCUGUACAAGCUUGGCACCAGCAUCUGGUGAAGCCUCAGGAAGCUUUCACUCAUGGCAGAAGGCGAAUAGGGAGCAGGUGUGUCACAUAGCAAGAGAGGAAGCAAAGGAGUGGGGAGGAUGUGCCAGGCUCAUUUAAAGAACCAGCUCUCGCAUGAACUAAUUGUGCAAGAACUCACUCAUCACCAGGGCGAUGGCGCCAAGACAGUCAUGAAAGAUUUGCACCCAUAAUCCAAGCAGCUCCCACUAGGCCCCAUCUCCAAUACUGGGAAUAACAUUUCGGCUUAACGUUUGGAUGGGACACACAUCCAAACCACAUCUUAGUGCUUUACAUAGACUGUUCCAUCUAUCUCUCCUCUUUGUCAUGGGUUUUGGUUGACUUUCUCCCAGAAAGUCCUCCCUGCUUGUUUCUGGCUUUAAAUCUAUUGAGUAAAAUUUAUCUGAAGGAAAUUUAAUCAAUAAUUCAAAACAGGAAUAGAUUAUUCAUAGGGAGAGCUGUGCUCACAGUUUUGUUAAUUUGCAGUGGUAGCAUUCUUUAUCACUGGCUGAAACUCAAGUAAAGGAGUGAAAGAUCAAGUAUUUGUUGAGAAACUAUUUUGUGCCUAGCAUCAUGCUAAGGAUUAUGGUGACAACCGCAAAAGGUUAGUUUCAUGGCACUUGUUGGAGAUGCAUGUAUUUAACUUGCAAAUAGUAUACACAACUCGUGUGUUAUUAAGUUAUGAAAUAUUGAAAAAGCAUAACAUGGGAGUUUAAUAAUGGAACACAGACAGACUGAGCAGAAAAAAAAAAUUAGUGAAGGGAGGUGUCAUUUUGAAUUUAGGCUUCACAGAGCCAACAGAACUUGAGUAGAUUUAAGAUGUGGACAUUCCAUUGAGAGAAAACAGCUUCAACAAAAGCAAAAUAUAUAAAUAUACAUAUAUAAAUAACACACAGAUGACAGGAAACAAAUAAUAAUGAGAGCUUACCCUUAAACAUGCAGCACUAUUUUAUGUUUUGCAUUUUUAAUUUUGGGCAUAGAAUUUCAUGUAUGUUGGGGAAACUGUAGAAAUUCUUCUUAUUCUAAUUAAGGAAGGUAGCUUUGAAAACAAGCAUAUUUUAAAUAGUUAAAAUUUUCAUUAUUUUUUCCUCAAAAUUAUAGAUUGUGGUGCUUUUUUGUAAUUUUUGCUAACUUCAAAAUGUAAAGUUAAAGGUUUUAUGAAAUAUCAAUUCUGAAAAAAAUUUUCUGCUACUAAUGAUCUAAAAACUGCUAUGUUAAGCAGGCUCUUUUCAUAGAUUAAAAAUGCUCAAAAUUACUUUGAUGUAAACUUCAUUCAUUAUACAUGUAAAAAGCUUGGUUUACAUGGCUUAUAAGUCAGUUUUACAGUCUGGCUGUUAAGCCUAAUUCUUUAGAUAAUUACUAUGUGAAAUUUUCGUUGUCAUUAAUUCUUCAUUGUGGCAAACUGGCAUGAGUAUUCUCUAUUAUGGAGUAAUAAUAUUAAUAAGAAGUGCACAUAUUCAAAAUAAUGUAGAAUUAUAUGCACUAUAAUUUACAUAUUUGUUUAAUGUCUUAUUUUUUAUUAUCAACUUUGCUUGUUUAUUUGUUUUAUGUCACCUGCUGUAGAAUGCUAAUUGGUAACAAAUUAUAGCAUUAUAGAAUAGGUGCAAGCCAUCAAAGUGUACAUUUUUAUGUAAAUAUUUUAUUUUUAUUAUAGAAUGAGUAACCUAAAGAUAAAUGCAGUGCAUUCUCAGCAAUAAGAUAAUGCUGAAAUACAUUUCAGAAGAUACAAUAUUUUUAAACCUGACAGGAAAUUAUAAAACAUUAGCUUACAUGAAAUAAGUUUCAUUCUAUAUGAGCUUUAAUACUGCAAGAUCUAUGUCUAUUAACUGACAAUGGAAAGUUUUGUGAGGAAAAUGGUUGUAUGCUAUAUCUUUGCUUCCACUAACAGGAAACAUUACAGAGUCACAAUUCUUAAUAGACCGCAGGCUCCUUUACAACUUAGCCAUCUAUAUUACUCACUUUUAUGUCCCUAGCAUUGGUGAUAGAUGGUGUUAUUUAUUCACAAUUCUUUUGCUUUCCAUCUUUGCCAUGAGUGUAAGUGGAGUUGACAAUCUACUGCAUUGACUUGGCCCUGUGACUUGCUUUAGCUAGUCAAAUGUUAGUGGAUGUAAUGACUUUACAUGUGCUUGUGUGGUAUGACUCCUUCUCUUGCAUUUCUGCCCUUUACUAUGAGAAAAAUAUCUUUUAGGUAGUUGACGAUUUCGAAAUGAAAAGGAUAUGAAGAUCAGAACCCAACCUGUAGCAUAACACAAAUCUAUAUGCACAAAGCACGUUCCAUGCAGUCAUGUCUUAGUUCUGGGAUUUCUAGGUAUGGGAUUUCCUUGAGCUGAGCACUACAUGUAAUAGUGAUGGUGAACUAUCUAGGUAUCGGUUUCUAAAGGUUUUCUCAGUAGUGGGACAGUAGCUGAGAAAUAAAGGAGAAAUUGGCUAGGCCAGGAGACUUCUCCAUCUCUAGGGUCGCCAGGUAAUAGUUCAGAUUACUUCAGAGAUUUAAAGGUGCAGCAUUAGAACAUGGUUUUCCAGGUUAGCAGGGUCAGGCAGUUACCAGAAGAUUCUGCAAGCAUGACUUGGUGCCUGAGUGGGUGGCGAGCCAGGGGUCCCUGUCCAAUCCCCAAGCUGAACAGAGAAUAAAAUCCGGAUUAUGAUUAAGCUCAUAUCCACCACCACAAAAUGGAGAGAAAAACAACAGAUUUGGUUAACACCCAGUGUUCAAGGAAUGAGAAAAGGGAUAGGAAGCAAACUUGAAGCAUUGAAAAAAUAUGUCAGGUCCUGAAACUGGGGGGAGGAGAAGUGGGAAGGAGAUGUUCUGAAGAGCGUCACUGAGAAAGGCAUAUUUAUACCUGAAUAAGUUCUCUCCAAUCUGCCUGCAAUUUUUAGCUAGUUUGCCUAGUGUAGCCAGAUUACAGCCUUUGGGUGUGUUCUGUGUCACCAAUGAGGAGGGCUCUGUAACUGUUGAUGAUUGCCAUAGAAGGGUGGGUUUCCUGUCAAGUCCUCCAGGUACUAUCCAGAUGCUCCCCCAGGAUCUGACAGAGGCUGGACUAAGGGAGCCUUCUGAAGAAUAGAGUAGCACACAGCUUGAGAACUGCAGUGUGGACUGAACUUGAAGCUCAGCUACAUGGUGUUAUAAGCAGACUUACAAAACUACCUCUCAGUUUGGGCAACUGAAACUGAAAGUUUACUAUUGAAUAUAGACAAAUUUUGGCCAGGCGCUGUGGCUCAUGCCCAGCACUUUGGGAGGCUGAGGCGGGCUGAUCACCUGAGCUCAGGAGUUGGAGACAAGCCUGGCCAAUAUGGCGAAACCUGGUCUUUACCAAAAAUACAAAAAUUAGCUGGGCGUGGUGGUGCGUACCUGUAGUCCCACGUACUGGGGAGGCUGGGGCCAGAGAAUAAGUUGAAUCGGGGAGGCAAAGGUUGCAGUGAGCCAAGAGCGCACCACUGCACUCCAGCUUGGAGUAGACAGAGCAAGACUUAAUCCCCCUACCCCCCACCCUCCCAAAAAAGAAAAAGAAACAUGUAAAAUACAUUUUCAUUUAAAAAGUUAAAUUGUAGUAUAUUCACUUUUAGUAAUAAAUUUUUUAUAAUAUGUCAUUACCAGGCAGACAAAAAAAACUUCAGAUAUUUUCUUUCAAAGUGCCUUGAGUGCCUUCUGAUAGAACUGCUAACGAGCAAAACUAGUACUAGUUAAAUAGCACUAAUUUGAUAAUACUAAUUAUUGUGAAUUGUUUGGAUGACUUCUGAUACAUAUAUUUUACUUUGAAGGGGCUUUUUCUAGGAAUAUUGAUAUUUAAUACCUGUUAUAUCUUCUAUUUGUAAAUGAUUAUUAAGUUGGCUACUUGCUCUGCAGAGUAUUAGGAAUUUCAGUUUUUACUGGUUGGUGGUUGCAUGUAGUUUUGCCAAACAGAAUGCUUAAUAAACAUUUUAAGCUUGUUCUGCCUUGGCUGUAUAUUUUAGUUCAUUUUUUGUAAAUUUUCUCAAAAUUAAUUGUAGGCUAGCUUACCUAUAAUAGUCCUUAAUUACCAUUUUGGGGGGGAAUUCUUUUGUAUAGUAAUUGUUCUCCCCCAACUAGAGUUUAUGUGCCUUCUCUGUCCUUCUCUGUCCUUCACCUGAAUAAUAUAAUGCUGACCAUCAUGGAGUAAGCACUGAACUUAUAAAUCAUUUGAAUUGGUUUUUUGAUCUGAAAUUCACAGCUGAUGAAAGCAGUUGAAAGUCGAUGUUUUCUGUGAGUCAUGAUUUUUUUUUUCCCCAAGCUGGAGUUGAAAUCUACUUGAAUAUCUCUCUCCUAUGACAAAGGCAAAAUUAAGUAUCAUGAUAACUUUCAGGAUUCGAAUAAAAUAAUCACUUAAUAGUGAUGUGAAUUUUCAUGAACAUUCGCAGCUUGAAGAAUUAUUUUAGUAUGCCAUGUAUUUAUAGUUUAAUAAAACAUAUGUUUCUCUAUAGUUCAAUUUAUUUUGUGCUUGAAGGAAUUUUUUUUUUUUUUUUUUUUUUUUUUUUUUGAGAGGGAGUCUCGCUCUGUCGCCAGGCUGGAGUGAAGUGGCGUGAUCUCGGCUCACUGCAACCUCUGCCUCUCGGGUUCAAGCCAUUCUCCUACCUCAGCCUCCCAAGUAACUGAGAUUACAGGCACAUACCAGCACGUCCAACUAAUUUUUGUAUUUUUAGUAGAGACGGGGUUUCACCACGUUGGGCAGGAUGGUCUAGAUCUCUUGAUCUUGUGAUCCACUCACCUCGGCCUCCCAAAGUGGUGGGAUUAUAGGUGUGAGCCACCGUGCCCAGCCAGAAAUUAUUUUUAAAACUGUGGUUUUGUAUUCCCAGGAUAAAAUGUGUAUCUUUUGUACAGCUUCACAAAUUAGUAUGUCCAUUUACCUAUAGCAGUGCAUAAAAGGAUAUUUCUUUAAAGAUCUAUUUGUAUAACAUUCUAUAGUCCCCUCUUUAUUGAAAGUACUAAUAGCAAUAUUUCUAAAAUUAUUUAAUUUUCCAGUGAAUGCCAAAGAGUCCCAAUUAUGGGAAAAUGUGUUCCAUUUUGGAAAAUGCUACAUGCAGUUCUCAUUUUCACUCAGAAAAAUAAAAGGCAAUUUAAUUACAAAGGACGCAAUUUUAUAGAUUGGAAAAAUAUAGAAAUCCAGACUGCUUGCCAAGUGGAGUGAGACUGUGUGUAAUAAAGUAGAUUUUGAAAACUUAUGCUCAAAACACAAUCAAAAAGUCACAGAAUGUGAGGGUAUUAUGGAUGGCAAAGAGAUAUUUGGCAAAUGUAAGCAGGGCAGGCAGUCCUUCAUUUUUUUUUUUUAACCUCUUUUUCUAAAUGCCCUCUGCUGAAGUGGGAUAGUUAUUUAGAGGUAAGGAAAUGAUGGUGGGAAAAAAUGUGGGAGACAUUUUUCUCUCCAAGUGCCUGAAAUCUUGACAUUGUUCUCUCGAUCGAUGGAAAUAAUCAAAAAGGAGAAGGCCAUAGCCCUGGUUAAUUAACCAGCUCACUAUUUAAGAGCACAAUUCUCCAAAACAGCCAUUUAUUUCUAUCUAAUAAACAUUAAUCUCAAAUAAAUAAAAACAUAUUCUCUCUCUAAUUCUAUUGUAAGCACCUUAAGACAAAACCUGAGUCUUCUGUUUUGUCCUAACAAUGGUGCAAUGUGCCCUCUAGAGAAGACCCUUCCUAAGUGUGAUUGACUGGGAUGGGCUUAGCUGUUCUACCUUUUUCUAAAGGUGGCACUCCCACAUACCUUAUAAAUGCAGGUCUAGUUUCAUCAUUCCAUUAAUCACAUGCUGACAUAUCAGCUUCAAUUAUUUAAAUCAAAUAUUUACAGUUAACAUUAGUUAUAUGAAGUCGGUCCUCAGAAAUCACUGUAUGGAACACACUUUUAUAGUUGACAUUGUUUAACAAUGUCCUUCUAAAUGUUGGCCAAGUAAUUUGCCUGAAGAGCCCUUCUCUGCCUGAAGCCAUAAGUACUUGAACAGACAGUUUUUUGGGGAGAUCUUCCUAGUUAAAAAUAUUGAGCUAAUAUCUAAACUUAUAGAUAACUUCGGGACAUUUGAUUUGAGUUAAGGUUAGAACAAUGCUGCGUAAUUCUGGCCACAUAUAUAAUUAAUUUAAAUUCUUCUAGAUUAAAAAAAAUGUUGCAGAAUGCUACAGAGCUGCAAAUGAAGACUAGUAUCCUGUUAAAACCAUUUGAUCUUUAAACUGGCUUGCUUCAUUUCAUAAUGGAUCGAAGACAAUGGACACAAAGUAUAUAGGCAGUAAAAUAAUGAUAAAAUAAAUGUUGGUACUCUAAAAUAGAAAUAAAUUAGAAAAUUAAGAACAAGGAAAACAAAACACAAAUGCACACACAUAGCAGCUAAGCUGGCUCAUACCUCAGGGCCUUUGGACCUGUUGUUCCCUAUUCUUGGACCCGUUGCUUCCUUAGAUCUUUGGUUUUGUUUUACUUUUUGAGAAGGAAUUUUGCUCUUGUUGCCCAGGCUAGACCAUAAUGGCACGAUCUUGGCUCACCACAACCUCAGCCUCACGGGUUCAAACAAUUCUUCUGCCUCAGCCUCCCGAGUAGCUGGGAUCAUAGGCAUGCGCCACCAUGCCCAGCUAAUUUUGUAUUUUUAGUAGAGACAGGGUUUCUCCAUGUUGGUCAGGCUGGUCUCGAACUCCCAACCUCAAGUGAUCUGCCCACCUUGGCCUCCCAAAGUGCUGGGAUUAUAGGCAUGAGCCACUACACCCGGCCACCUUCUCAGAUCUUUUGCUAGCUGCUGCUUCUUCUUCUUCUUUUUUUUUUUUUUUAAAUGGAGUCUCCCUCUGUCGUCCAGGCUGGAAUGCAGUGGUGUGAUCUUGGCUUACAGCAACCUCCACCUCCUGGGUUCAAGUGUUCUCCUGCCUCAGCCUCCCAAGUAGCUGGGACUACAGGCGCCCCCUCACCAUGCCCAGAUAAUUUUUUCAUUUUUAGUAGAGACAGGGUUUCACCGUGUUGGUCAGGCUGUUCUCGAACUCCUGACCUCAAGUGAUCCUCCCGAAGUGCUGGGAUUACAGGCAUGAGCCACCGGCCUGCUAGCUUCUUCUUUCUUGUCAUGUGUCUCUUUUGAGAUAUCACUCUUCCAGAGAUGCUCUCCUUGACCACCUUGUCUGAACUAUCCUUAUAGUCCCCUUGUGUCAUCUCCUUUUGCUUUCUUUUCUUCAGAUCAUUUAUCAAAAUCAAGUUGUUUCUUGUUCACUUCCAUGUGUAAGUAUUGUUGUCUGUCUACCCCAAUUCAAAUAGAAACUCCAGGAGAGUUUGCUCACUGCUAUAUCCCCCAGUUGUGCAUGUGGGUACCAGGUGACACUUUCUAAGUAGUUUAAAGUGAGUACAUGUUCUUAGGAACUUGCUAUGUGGCCUGAAGCUUUCUAGAACUCAAAAUGAAGAGAGAGAAAUUAGAAAGGCAGAUGCUUACCACUGCUCCCCAGGGAAUAAUAAUUUGAAAACCAGCACUUAAUUAUAAUAGACUUGUAUUGCCAGGAACCCCAUCCAGUGGGUACUGAGCUGGUACAGUGAGAAAACUGUCAAACAGAACUUUGUACAGGAGAUACUCUUAUUGUGGUCCAAAUCUGGAGGGUUCUAUUAGAUGAAGUUCAUCCAAACAUAGAACUUAGAUUAAGGGAGUAGAUGUAUACUCCACAGCCAAUCCUUCACAAAACUCAUUUGUCUCCAUUGGGUUUUUUAUAAGCUCUGGAAAACAAACAAACAAAAGAGAUAUUUAAUAAGUUAUCUAUUUUUUUCCAGAGUUUCCCUUGUUCUCGUGCUGAUGAUUAACUUUAACUCUUCAAAUCAAUUGUAAGCUGCCUAAAGGCAGAAAAGAUAAUGUAUUUAAAUAUGUCUUCUUAUUCUUAGGACAGAAGAAGGUCCCUAUACAUGGCAGAUGUUCAUUAAGGAUCAGGGUUUAGUGAUGUUAAUGCUAUUAUAUAGGUUCAUUAGUCAUAUAAAAGUUCAUUAUGUGCCAGGCACUUUCAAGGCAAGUUCUGAGAAACAACAUUAAUGACUGGGCACAGAAUCUCAGACUAGAGGACCUCAUCUGGUGAACUUGGGCAUGAAUGAGCACAGCAAAUUAGUGGCAGAGCCUAGGGCUUAUUCUGCUAAUAGGAGCAAUUCUAAUGUUGGCAUGCACUCACACAGGGAAAUGUGUGAUAUAUGUUUCCAUCACAUAGGGAAAGCAUUAAAAAUCUACAUGCUUGGACUUUACUCCUAAAUCAGAGAUUUGGGGUCUACAGAGGUAUGGAAACCCUCCCUCAAUCUUGGAGGGUGUAUUAGUCUGUUCUCACGCUGCUAUAAACAACUGCCUGAGACUAGGUAAUUUAUAAAGGAAAGCAGUUUAAUUGACUCACAGUUCCACAGGGCUGGAGAGGCCUCAGGAAACUUACAAUCGUGGUGGAAGGGGAAGUAAACACAUCCUUCUUCACAUGAUAACAGGAAGGAGAAGAAUGAGUGGGGGGAAAAGCCCCUUAUAAAACCAUCAGACCUCAAUGAACUUACUAUCAUGAGAACAGCAGCAUGGUGGUAACCGCCCCCAUGAUCCAAUUACCUCCACGGGGUCCCUCCCAUGACACAUGGGGAUUAUGGGAACUACAAUCUAGAUGAGAUUUGGGUGGGGACAUAGCCAAACCAUAUCAGAGGGAUACACUGAGAUACAAGGGGAUAAAGCAGAUAAAAAGGCAAACUCUAGUCAAUUGAAUUUCUCAUAUAUCUUUCAUUCUAACCCGUUCAGAUGUACUAAUUUGUCACAUGCCAUGGUUACUUUUCCCUUUUUAGACUUUCAAGUUGGAAAAAGCUUUUUUCAGAUUCAGAAAGAUAAAAUAUCAGCCAUGUAUUAAAUGCAUUAAAUGUUUUUCUCUCAGCUGCUUUUAUUCCAAAAUAUUUUUUUUUUUUUUUUUUUUUUUUUUAGACGGAGUCUCGCUCUGUCGCCCAGGCCGGACUGCGGACUGCAGUGGCGCAAUCUCGGCUCACUGCAAGCUCCGCUUCCCGGGUUCACGCCAUUCUCCUGCCUCAGCCUCCCGAGUAGCUGGGACUACAGGCGCCCGCCACCGCGCCCGGCUAAUUUUUUGUAUUUUUAGUAGAGACGGGGUUUCACCUUGUUAGCCAGGAUGGUCUCGAUCUCCUGACCUCAUGAUCCACCCGCCUCGGCCUCCCAAAGUGCUGGGAUUACAGGCGUGAGCCACCGCGCCCGGCCUCCAAAAUAUUUUCUUAAGGGUCACUGACAAUCUUGCAAGGAUGUAAAUGACAAGCUGUAUUUGUUUGUUGACAUUAUCUAUCAAAGAGGCUUCUAAACACUUUUGUGUUUCUGAUGUGAAUAAAGGAAAUACAACAUUGAAUAAUAAUCCAGGCAGGUUGCAGGUGGCAUAAGGCUUCAGAACUCCACCAUAGAAAUGAACGUGAUUGGAAAUGCAGCAAUCAACAUUUUGACAGAAAAGUGAAUGUUUCAACUGCUUUAUGUUCACAAAUUGUUUCUAUUUUCUUUUUGUAUUACAAAAUGUAAGCAGUGUGAGUUUGUGUGUAUAUGUGUGUGUCUAUGUGUGUAAAUUCAAAGGUUUAUCCUGUAAUAAGAUAGAAUCAGAGAUAGACUCCUUGCUAUUCUCAGGUUAUUUUUUCCUUGUUCACAUUUUUUUACACUUGAGUAAAAUACUUCUGCAAGACAUAUUGGAAUAGUUUUGUGACUAAAUCCUAGAAUUUGCAAAAUAGUGAAUCACAAUAUAAUGUUUCCUUUGGAUACUAUUUUGGCCAUACUUGGUUGGCUUUCUGGAAGUAUGAAGUGGAGGUUUCCCAGUGACACCUGUAGCAGUGCUUCUCAGGGACAUAGAAAGACACCAAAUUCUCUUAUACUGGGAUUCAUCCAGGUGACCAGCAUUUGCUUUGCAACAAUCAUCUGUGGUGAUUGCUCAAGUGUAGAAGGGUUUUCAAGAACUCCAUCAUGGAGUUUUGUAGUGGCAGAUUAGCUGUCCUCUACUUCUCCUGGAGUGGCUGGGAUUCUUCAACACCAAAAGAGGCAUUGAGUCUUUCUUAAUUGGCUUCAGUCAGAGAGGGUGGGGAUAUGUGAAACUUCUCAGUCUGAUCUGUUCUUCAGCUCCUCAGAAAAGUUCUACAGCUACUCCAGAUCUGUUUCGAUAAAGGGGCGGUGGUGCAAUGAAAUUAUUCAUAACAGCCCACUUUAGAGGUCUGCCUGAAAAAGGUGGAGUAUUUUUAAUAGUAGAUGUGUUGAGUGUCUUAUCCAUAUCCUUUUUACCGAGGCUGGUGCACCCAGCCCUUGAGAUGCCGAGUACAUUAUGUUGCAUUCCUCCCAGGGGUGGCACACAGGCAAUGACUGACUCGUAUGAGGGUGUAAACGUGCAGCUCCCUUGCCUCUAGGUGGGAUGUGGGAUCUAUGCCAGCACUGUCCAGGAUAAAGUCAUUAAAUCUAGAAAGUUUACAUGGAUUCAAUGAAUUCCUCUAUUCGAAGUCUUACUAUGUUUAAUAGCAAAACAAAAUAGUUACCUAAUGCAGUUCAAUACAUUUUGAUAUGUUGUUAUGAUGAAGAAACAUGAAAAUUCUAAAAAUGCCCAUUUGUUGAUUACAGAGCAAUUAAGUUUUAAAUGAUUCAAGUGAGUCUAGGAAUGUAAAUCUUAACCAUUGCAGAAGUGAAUUAAACAUGUUUAGAGAAAUCACAAUUAGUCAAAAAAGGUAAGGUAGAUUAUUCUACCUUACCACAGGGCUCAACAGGGAACUCCACAGGGAUCAAGCUCAUCUAGAUGCCAAAUCUUUGCCAGCUCCUUCCUCUGCCCCAUCCUACAUCUCUCACUCCCUUACAGGUUUCCCCUAAAUGCAUUCCCUUAAUAAAUCAUGGGACAAUUAUUUUCAUCUCAGCCUCUGCUUCUGGGAAACCCAGCUAACAAUAUCGAAUAUGGAAACAUCAAACCCCUGAAUAUAACCAGGGCUGCCUCUUACUUAAAGACUCAUGCGUGAAAUGACCUGAAGUGCUUAGAAUAAUCUACCUUACCUUUUUUGACUAAUUGAGAUUUCUCUAAACAUGUUUAAUUCACUUCUGCAAUGGUUAAGAUUUACAUUCCUAGACUCAUUCGAAUCAUUUAAAACUUAAUUGCUCUGUAAUCAACAAAUGGGCAUUUUUAGAAUUUUCAUGUUUCUUCAUCAUAACAUCAUAUCAAAGUGUAUUGAACUGCAUUAGGUAACUAUUUUGUUUUGCUAUUAAACAUAGUAAGACUUCAAAUAGAGGAAUUCAUUGAAUCCACUUAAAUUUUCUAGAUUUAAUGACUUUAUCCUGGACAGUGCUGGCAUAGAGAUAAACAUUUAAUUGAUAGCUUAUUUUAUGAAAAAUAUAACAUGGCAAAGGUUUACAGUUCUGUUUAAUCUCAGCAGUGGCAUGUUAAGAAGACAAACGGAGAUUAGGAAACAUUUUUUCUAAAUAAAAUACCUCAUUUUAUGUGGUACUGAUAAGCAGUAUUUACAACAUGAAAUAAAUUAUUCCUCGUAUACUUAUUGAAUACCUUAAAAGUAUGUGCUAGGAGCUGGGAACCCAGAGUAAAAUAUAGGUCUUGUUCCUAAGAGGAUACGUCUAUUAUGGGGAGAUGAAAGGGGGGUUAGGGGCAAGCACAGACUUGUAAAUAAUCUAUGAGUAAACGUCUAUACACCAGAUUUGCCUAGAGGAUGGUGUAUUUGCGUGGCAGGACAUUGGGUACAGCUUUAGCAGUGAAAAGAGCAAAGUGCAAAGAGAACCUAGAAGAAUGCACCACUGGGAGCUGACUAUUAUUAUUUUCAUUAAAGGUGAGUAUUGCAUAACUAAAAUAUUUCAGCUCAAUGACCUAGUUAAAUAAAUCGUUGUAAUAAAUAAAAAUGUCUUCCUGUCUUUAUGUAACUGCUCAUUUUGUGAAAAGCAUAACUUGGCUGCACACCUUUUUUCCGCCUUCUUCUGAUAAAUUCUUGGAGUCCAAAAGGUAUCUUUCAUUUAGUAGAUUUUUCAAAAUGUUUAUAUUCAUAGCAAGUUCUGGUUUGGGUCAAGCAGGUGGUAGAAAUCAUAACUGCCUCCAGAAAUCAGGAGGGCCCACGCAGUACAGGACUUGGCAGGCCCUGGUGGCCUAAGGUCAGCCAGAGUGCAGAUGCAAUGCAGCAACUAUAGUACCAGCAUUAUUCUAGAAAGUUCUUACUUCUUGGAAGUACUGACUUGUAAGUAAAAGAGCAUUUUAACUUGAUCAUAUUCACUCUGGAGUCUUCUACAUCUGAAUCUAAAGGGGAACUGUAUUCUUCCUGCAAAUUUGGGAUUCUCUAAAUAAAGUUCCAGGGCACCAGAGGUUCCACUGGGUUAGACCUUUGAUUUAUUUUAAUGAAGAGCCCUUCUUCUUUGUUGAUGUCUGACAGCACAUUCACAGUGAUCCAGUCAUUUUUGGGGUAAGAUAGAAGGAAUCCAGGUAGAAUACAAUAUAAAAAUGUCUCAAACUAGGCAAGAGAAGAGUCUAGUCCUGUGGUAGGUCAUAUUUGUCAAAAUAUUUGCUACCCUCUUAGCUGUUCAUCCUCACUGAGCCUCUCUCUUCAAAAGAUUAUCCUUCAUAUCCCAACACUGUGAGGCUUGAGCACGUGCUUUGCUUUGAACAAUGAAAUACAAGGGAAGCAAUGUAAUCCAUUUCUGAGCCAAAAAAAUUAAGAGCCAUUGAGUGAUUCUGCCAGGCAGUCUCCUGGGUCAUCUCCAGAAUCUGGAGUGCAGAGCCACAGUGACCCAUAAUGGACAUUGUGUAAGCAAGAAAUAAGUAUUUGUUAUUCAUAAAUUACCAGUGUUUUGGGCUUGUUACUGCAACAUUGACCCAUUGGUAGAAACAACUCAGCUUCUGGUUAAUAGGGUAUUAUUUUAAAAUCCGCUAUGAACAUUCAUGUAUAGUAAGUCUUUGUGGAUGGACACAGGCUUUCUAUUUCUCAUAGAUAAAUUUUGUAAGCAAAUGGCAAACUGUUUACAAAGUGGUUCUAUGAUUUCACUGUCCCACUAGCAGUGUAUGAGACUUUCAGUUGCUCCACUUUCUUACUAACACUUUGUAUGACAGCAUCUUUUUAAUUUUAGUCAUUCUAAUACAUGGGUAGUGAUAUUGCAGUAUGGUUUUAAUUUGUAUUUCCCUAAUGACUAAUGAUGUGAAACACCUUUUCUAGUGCUUAUUUGCCAUCCCAGUUUCUUAUUUGGUAAAGCGUCUGUUUAUGCUGAUUUUAGGAGAAUAGUUUCUUUUCUUAUUUUCAGAUUUUGAGAGUUGUUGGCUCAUAUAUAUAGGCAUAUAUAUAUAUAUAUGUACACAUAUCUAUAUGUACACAUAUAUAUGUGUACAUAUAUAUUAGCAUAUAUGUGUGUGUGUUUUUCUUAAUACAAAUCCUUUCUUUAGAUAUAUGAUUUUUCAAAUAUUUUCUCCAAGUCUGUGGCAUGUCUUUUCAUUCUUAUAACACCGUCUUUCAAACAGCAUAAAUAUUUUACUUUUAUAAAAUCUAGUUAUCAAUUUGUUCUUUUAUGGAUUUUGGUGUUUGUGUCAUAUAUAUAUAUAAAUAUUUGCCUAACUCAAAUAUUUUAUCCUCUUUUUUAAUAAUUUAUUUUUUAGUUUAGGUUUUAUGCUUAGGUCUUAUAAAAAAUAUUGAGUCAUUCCAUCUAUGAGCAUGGUAUAUCUCUUCAUUUACUUAGUUUUUAAAUUUCUUUCAGUAUUGCUUUUUAGUUUUCAGUGUAUAAAUCUUUCAUAUUUCUUGCACUUAGGAAGGCAUUCAGCUCCUUGAUCUAUGAGUUUAAAUUUAUUCUCACCAAAUUUGAACGUUUUUCAGACAUUACGUUCUCAAAUAUUUUUCUGCCUCUCCCCCUCUUUCAAGGACUCUAAUGACUUUUACAUUAGACCACUUUUCUGGGAACAAGUUCCAGACUGGAAAAGUGGUCUAAUGUAAACGUUGUCUAAUGUUCCACUGGGAACAAGUACUGUGUGUAGUGCUGACCAUUGUUACCCCGAAAUCUUGAAAUCUUGUGGGUAGUCUUUCCUCAACCUUGGGAAGUCAGUACUCAAGUGAAUACUCACUGGGAUCCUGUACAGAUCUUCAGAGUUAUUGCUCUCUGAAGCUGUUUUCCAAUAUUCUUUUCUGUGAACUCAAAUUGCCUUAAUCUUCCUGGAUUCUCAGCAAUAUCUCCUCAACUCAGAAUCCCUGGGUUCUCCUUUCCUGUACCAAGGAUUGCCAAUUCUCACAAGACAAUAAGUUGGGUUACGAUAGGACUCAUCUCAUUUGUUUACCUGCACCCCAAGGAUCACUGUCCUUUGUUACCUGACAUUCUGUGUCUUAAAAACGGUUGUUUUGUAUGUUUUGGCUGUUUUUUGUUUGUUCUUUUUUUUGUUUUUUUGUUUUGGUUGUUGUUUCAGGUUGUUGAGGAUAAUUCUUAUCCCUGUUAAUCCAUUUUGACAGUAAGUAGAAAUAACAAAAUUCACUUAUAAAUUAGUAUAUAUAUUCUUGGUUCAAGGAGUAAUGGGCUAAAGUAAUUUUCUCCAAAUUGUGUUAUUUGUCUUGGCCACAUCAUUAACUAGCAAACCUACUCAGUUUUAAUAAAUGGUUGCUUUGCCAACCAUUUUUUUUUUUUCAACCAGCCCCUCUCUGUUUUAAAAAGAAAAUUAAGCUACCCACUUUCUGUUUACUUACAUAGAAUUCCACUAUUUAGGCUUUUGAAAAUAGCCCUUCUGACUUGUAAAUAACUUAUUUGACUCUGUGUGUGAGUCACUCACUUUUAUGUAGCUUGCAUUGUUAACUGCAUCUUCCAAAUUGAAUUCUGGUAAUGCUGAUAAACUGUUCAAAUAGGUCUUUUGUAUGUUUGCAUCAGAGAAAGUUUUAUGGGUAUGUUUGGUAUAAUUAAGUGCUUUUUCUCUGUGUGUGUGUGUUUGUGUGUGUGUGUUUUAAAUAACAUGGCAUAAUGCUAAAUAAUCCAAGCAGGAAUAAUUUGUUUUUAUUAAGUCAGAUUGCCUUCUGUACAUAUGUUGGGGAGUAAUUUAGUAGGUUAUAGUUUCAGUGUAAUAAAAAAUGGUGGGGUUGGGGCUGGUGGAAAUGAUGCCUUUCUUCUGUGCCUAAGUGAUAAUGUAAACAUAAGUCAGGAACUAAGAGUAUCUGUCUGGGAAUAUAUAAUAGGAUCAAACCUAAGCACAAAUAUUCCCAGAGGUAGAUUUUUCUUAUGCUGAUUUAGUUAUGAACUGGUAAAUUUGUUUUCAUGACUCAAUUUCUACAAAGCAAACUUUAUUAUAUAUAUAUAUGUGUGUGUGUGUGUGUGUGUGUGUGCAUUUUUAAUGUAUGUUCAUUUUUUUCUGUUGAUUUUUUAAAUUAUGUUCAUUACAUAAGUUCCUAACUGAUAGCAUUCUCAUCGUAAACAGGUCAAACUGUUCAGAUAAAAUAAAAUUCCCUUAUAUCACCUUCUUAUCUCCAGCUGAUUUCUUUCCCAGAAGGUAAUCACUGAAAUGAGCUUGGUGUGGGCACCUCUCAAUGGGGACCCCAAGAUCCCCUUCUGUAACAUACCUGCCACUUUUGAGGUUUGAAUACUCAUGGGCUGCUCUCCCCUUUUCAAAUGCCUAUCCCUGCACCAUGAUUUUCUGUUUUAGUCAGUCCUAUAUGUCAUCUAUCUUUCACUGAUUUCUCUCAUUUCUGGUCAUCAAGGGCACCCCUUUUUAUUCUAUCAUUUGGCUGAAAAAGUGGCAAACAUGAACACUGACUUAAAAAAAAUACUCCAAAAAUAAUUUGAGUUUAGAGCAAAAGCAAAUCUAUCAUUGGUUAAAAUUUUUUGUGUAGGUUGUAUAACAAAUUUAAUUUUCAUGAAUUUCUAAGGUUGUGAUUUUACAUCAUUUGAUUUUAGCUAAUAGUUUAAUUUUAUGGUAGGUUUCAUUAGAGGAGAUAAAAGGCUUUGGUUUGCUUCGUGUCUCUGGAAAAUUUAUUAAAUCUCCAUAGUUUUCAGAACCUAGCAAAUGGUAAGCUUGUUUCCAUUCUAACUUUAUGAGAUGCUUUGUUUCUUGUAAAGUGAAUUUUGAGAGUGCUGUGUGCUUUAGCAUCACUGGAAGCUGAACCUCAGGUAGUAGCCCUUACCUUGGUGUAUGAGAGUCUGCAUGAGUGCUGUGUGCUAUAGCAUCACUGGAAGCUGAACCUCAGGUAGUAGCCCUUACCUUGGUGUACGAGAGUCUGCAUGAGUGCUGUGUGCUAUAGCAUCACUGGAAGCUGAACCUCAGGUAGUAGCCCUUACCUUGGUGUACGAGAGUCUGCAUGAGUGCUGUGUGCUAUAGCAUCACUGGAAGCCGAACCUCAGGUAGUAGCCCUUACCUUGGUGUAUGAGAGUCUGCAUGAGUGCUGUGUGCUAUAGCAUCACUGGAAGCCGAACCUCAGGUAGUAGUCCUUACCUUGGUGUAUGAGAGUCUGCAUGAGUGCUGUGUGCUAUAGCAUCACUGGAAGCUGAACCUCAGGUAGUAGCCCUUACCUUGGUGUAUGAGAGUCUGCAUGAGUGCUGUGUGCUUUAGCAUCAUUGGAAGGUGAACCUCAGGUAGCAGUCCUUACCUUGGUGUAUGAGAGUCUGCAUUUCCACCUUCGAAGAUUCUGAAAAGGAAUUAAAAAGUAGUGUCUUGAAUAUUGGAUAAACUUAAGAUUACAAGAAAACAUUCUGGAACAUGACUUUCCUCCCGCUUUUGAAGUUUUUCACUUCUUUUUCUCUAGAUCUUUUUAUAGAUGUUCAGAGGCAUUUUAGGUUGAAUUAUUAUGUGUUUAAGGAAUUCUAAGAUAAUAAUUACCAGGAAAUUAACUCAAAUUACAUAAUCAUGUAUUCGAGAUAAGAUACGUUGUAUUGUUGUGGUAGGCAAAAAUGCCAUGACCCAGCAGAAUAUUUUAAAAUUAGCAAUGUAUUUUAAAUACUUGAACGCUCUCUUUCAUUUCAGAAGCUAGCCUGCACUUAAGUCAGAAAACAAAAGCUAACUGCCACAGUGAAUGAAAUACUUUAGGAAGAGAGGAGAGAAAAACAGGCUUUUCUCAUUCUGUAAUUCUGAGUGUUCUUUAAAUGUGUCAGAAUAUUUGCUUUGUCCAUUUUCUGUGUCAAUUUCUACUUCUUUCUUCUUGCUCAGAAAGUUUCAUAAUGCUCCCUCUAACAUAAUUAAGUCAUUUAUCUUUCCUCCCUCUCUUGCUGUUUACUUCCUUGCUUCCUUCCUUCUCUACCACUUCUAGUUUACAUAGUAAGGGACUUCUUUGGCUUUUGGGUAGUAAUUUAAGCUCCAAAUUUCAGUUUCAUGUUAUGUAAAACACAAAUGAUACUUACCGUAUUUCACAUGGUUGUUAUGUUGAGGACUGAGCCGCAUUAUGUGAGAAGGCUAAACAUCAUGUCCUUAAUACUGAAUAUAUGUUCUUUUCCCCUUUUCCCCUUUUCUUUCUUCUUUGCUGUCCCACUCUGAGACUCCUUUCUUCCAACUCUGAGAUGUAGUUUUAAAUCUUUUAUGAAAAAAAAAAACCUUAUGGAGAAAGGGAGAAGAGGUGGAUUCAUGAGCAGGAGGAGAAUGAUAACUGAACUUUUGGCAUCAGCAUUUACUAUGGCUAGUCACCAUUUUAAGCCUGUCACUAAAUGAAGUUAUAUUCAUUUAGUCUCAUUACAAUUCUAUGAAAGUGCUAUCAUUAUGUCUAUUUUAUACUUAAGGAAGCAAAGUCUUAGAUUAAGGCAAGAUCACAUAGCCAGUAAGUAAUGGGGUCAAAAUGCAGACCUUAACAUUUUGGCUUCAGACUCUGUACUUUGAGUUCAGCCGGUGUUUGUGGACUUUGCCUUACCUUCCUUUCUUUUUUUUUUUUUUUUUUUUUUUUUUUGAGACGGAGUCUCGCUGUGUCGCCCAGGAUGGGGUGCAGUGGUGCCAUCUCGGCUCACUGAAAGCUCCACCUCCCGGGUUCACGCCAUUCUCCUGCCUCAGCUUCCUGAGUAGCUGGGACUACAGGCGCCCGCCACCAUGGCCGGCUAAUUUUUUGUAUUUUUAGUAGAGACGGGGUUUCACCCUGUUAGCCAAGAUAGUCUGGAUCUCCUGACCUCGUGAUCCGCCUGCCUUGGCCUUCCGAAGUGCUGGGAUUACAGGCGUGAGCCACCGCGCCUGGCCGAUUUACCUUCCUUACUUAACCAAUCAUGCCACUAGCUUGCACUGGCCUCAAUACCCAACGUUUUUCCUACCUUAGGGACCUUUUCCUACCGUGGGGCCUUUGUAUUCUCUAUUCCAUCCUUUCUGCAAUUUUUCCAGAUCUUUCCAGCUCAGCAAAAUUGCCAUCUCUCCACAUUGCCUUCUUCACUCUAUUCAAAGUAACGAAGGGUACUUCCCCCAAAGCAACUGAUGUUCCCGUGGCUUGCUUUAUUAAUCACAAUAGGACAUGAUCUUCUACAUUAGGUUUUCCUCCAUGUUUUCUGGCAGCCUCUGAAGGAUAUGAGCCAUAACAGAGCAUAGACAUUGCUUUUUUCUUUGUAGCUUAAUCUCCAGUGCCUAGUAUCAUUCCCAGCAUAUAAUAUGUUUAAUGUGAACUGAAUGAGAAAACUAAAUGAGAGGCUUAAUUUUAUACAGCAGUGAAGGUAUGUCCCAGACUUAUAAUUUAAGGAGAACUUACUCUCUAGAAAUGUGGAGUAGCUGGACGUGGUGGCUCAAGCCUGUAAUCCAAGCACUUCGGGAGGCCGAGGUGGGUGGAUGACUUGAGCCCAGAAGUUCGAGACCAGCCUCGGCAACAUGGCAAGACCCCAUCUCUGCAAAAAAAAAAAAAAAAAAAAUACAAAAAUUAGCCAGGCAGGGGAUGCGCCUGUAGUCCCAGCUACUCAGGAGACUGAGGUGGGAGGAUCACUUGAGCCUGGGAGAUGGAGGCUGCAUUAAGCAGUGAUCGCGCCACUGCGCCCCAGAGAGAGAGGGAGAUGCAGGGUAAUUGAUUUGUACCUUUACUUUGAAAUGUUUAAUAAUUAGUGAUUUUCUCAGUCCUCUCUUUUUCUCAUGGGCCCCUUUAGUAAAUGCUGAUGGACAAGAUUCACAGGCCAUACUUUAAAGCCAUUGAUGGAGGUAGAUUUUCUUCCCAGGGUGCUUUUUUGGCAUGGAGUUGGCUAAGAAUGUCCUUAAAGGCCAUCAUACAUAGGUGGAAAGUAGAAAUCAGUUCAAAGAAAGACUGGCAGAGCAGAUCAUAAGUCAAUACAUGAAUCAAGUUGGCCUGUAUCCUACCAAGUACAAUCUUUUGUUUAGUGGUGUAUCUACUACCACACUCUCAAACUCCUAAUGAUACUUUAAAAUUAACCUUCAUGCUCAUUUUUAUAAUAAUGUUGAAGGUCAGGCAAGAGAUAAUAUCCUCACUUUACAGGUGGAGGAACUGAGUCAAAGAAGUACAGGACUUGUAUAAAGAAAAGCUAGUCUAUAUGAUGUCUCUAAAUCCUGGGUCUGAACUACUUUAACGAUAUUAAAAGCUUGCUUGACAUAAAAUUUUAAGACUGUUACGAUUAGAGUGAAUGUCAGUGAUAUAUGUGUCUAAGGAAUUUGAUAAAUAUACAUGAGAUGCUCUAAUGAAUUCAAUUGCUUGGAAGUGAAGGGGAAAAUGCACAAAUUUUUACUUAGGCUCAUGCUUUUCAUGUAGAAACAAACAUUGAAAUUUGGAAGUGAAAAAUCUACCUCUUAUCUUGGGUAUAUAUGCUGCCUAUAUAUAUGCAUAUAGUAAGAUGUUUAAGUUUUUAAAAUUAACUGCAUUGUUGAGUAUUUGAAAUACACAUCUGUUAUUUGUUAUUGAACUUUAAAAUGAUAUAUGAGGAUUUAGGUAAAUACUGUCUGUCUAAAAUUAAUUUUGGAAAGUAACUCAUAAGAUGAUAUUUUCAAUACAGUUUUGCCAGCAAUUAUUAAAUAUGUUUCGAGAAGAAAAUUGCUAUUCAAAUUACCCAUCUCAUCCUUGGCACUUUCUAAAAACCAGACAAAUAUUUUUUAGUUUGUGAAGGCUGCUCAUAACAGUUACAAGCUAAUUAAUUAUAAAAGAUUUAGCCAUGCAUUUGACCAUAAAAUAGAUUGGUUGUGGCUGCUGGAUUAUAGUUUUAGAUGAUUUUAUGAUCCAUGUAUUGCCUUGACUUACUGAUGAUUUAAAUGAUUGUGUGUGGGUGAUUUAAAAAGCAAUAAGAUUAAUAAAAUAUUUAUUUUGGGUAAAGGUACAGAAUAUGUUUUGAAUAAAUAAAGUAUGGAAAAGGUAUCUAAAUUCCUCAUACAUUUUUAAAAUCAGUUAAUAAAUAGUAAACAUGCAAGAAGCUCAUUAACUAUAGAAAUUUAGCCUAUUAAUUAGGGAGUGUUCAUUUUUAACCACUAUGUUCAUUUUCUAGUCUAGUACAUAAUAUUUUUCACAAGUCUUCAGAACCUCAUUUUUCCUUUUAUAUAAUAAUGACUCUCCAAAUAUCUUUUUGUUUCUUGGUCAUUAUUUAUCUUUUAAUAAGACAAUAAAACCAAUAAUAAAAGUGUAUUCCUAUAGCCAAUAGCCAAGAAUCAAAAUAUGCCUUUAUGGGUUUUUCUUUUCUUUUCUUUUUGAGAUAGAGUCUUGCUCUGUUGCCAGGCUGGAGUGCAGUGGCACGAUCUCAGCUCACUGCAAUCGCUGCCUCCCAGGAUAAAGUGAUUCACCUGCCCUAGCCUCCCAAGUAACUGGAAUUACAGGCACGUGCCACCACGCCCGGGUAAUUUUUUGUAUUUCAGUAAGAUGGAGUUUCACCAUGUUGGCCAAGAUGGUCUCGAUCUCCUGACCUCAUGAUCUGCCUGCCUCGGCCUCCCAAAGUUCUGGGAUUACAGGCGUGAGCCACCACGCCCGACCACCUUUAUGUUAUUUUAUUUAACCUUCAAAUAAUUAUAUAAAAUUGAUAUUAUUUCUUUACUCCACCAAUGCUUAUUGGGCAACUAACAACUAUGAACCCUUCUGAGAAUUUGGGGUACAGUGGCAAAAUAAAGUUGUCAAAGGGCCCUGUCCCCUUGGGGAUCACAAUCUCAAGGCGGCGGGGAACAUCCGGAAAUAAGAUAGUUAUAGUUGGUGAUGCAUUACCAGAGACAUGUGAUGCCAUAAUAGUGACUAACCCAAGGACAGUGAGUUAGCUUUUGUUGCAUAAAUUACCCCCAAAAUUUAGUGGCUUAAGACAACUCUUUGUUUAGGCUCAUGUUUCGGCUAUUUGAAAUUUGGGGUAGGCCCAGCUAGCUGUUUCUGCUGAUGUACGUCAGACUAAGUUCAGUUAGAGGAACUUAUAGGAGAGCUGUGAACUUCCAGAUGAGUCGAAGACAGGCUGAGGGUAUCCUCAACUGAGAUGGCUUAUUUCUGUGUCACAUGGUGGUGGUAGGGAUCCCAAGUACAGCACGGGUCAUUAGUAAAGCAGACGUUCUGGCCUUCAUUUCAUUCUUUUGAGUGUAUGCUGUAUAAAAAUUGACCAAAUUAUCCACAAAUCUUCCUGUACCACUUGUCAAGGUUGAAAACCCAAGAAAAAAUAAGAUUCUUUCUAUCACUGGAGUGAUAUUACUGAGCUUUUCAGAGUCUAUUCUCAUGCCAAGAUGUAUGUUUGUUAAAUUUUGAGCCGGAUGUGGUUUUCAUUCAGAAAGUAUUUGAUGAUGACUUCUCAAGCAAGGAAUAACUAUAAUAGCUUAUGUGCUUUUGGGAUAUUUUAGGUAAGGGUGAAAAUAAUAAUUCUGAGAAACAUACAAGUAUUGCUUUUUUCUUCACAUUCCCUAAUUUUCUUCUUUUGUACAUUCCACGGAACAAUGCCUUCUCAUAUAUUCACCUGACGUGUUGAACAUCAAUAUAGGAUUGAAUGAAGCAAAACCUUAUGUAUGAGUUACACUGGAGAAAAUCAAAUAACUAUAUAUUUUUUUCUGGCAUUAGAAAGUCAGAAAGAUAUACAGAAUUAGUGCCAAUGACUGUAUCAGUUGUUCAAUGAAGAGAAGAUAAAGAGGUCAUAUAGCAGAGAAUUGUAUUUGUAUACUCUUGUCUAUAAAAUUUAGAACAUUUUGGUUGUUGUUUAAAUUUAUAUAAGCUUGUUUUAUUCUUGGUAUAUGUGCCAAUAUCUACCCUUUAAAAUCCAUGCCAUUCAGGUAGCUCAAAGGAUAUACUCAACUCUGACAUUUGUAAUAAGUGAAUAGGCUAACUUGCUGCAAUUUGAUAAAAACAGAAGCACACAUUAAGUUAAAUAUUUGUGGAGAUUUGGGUGUGAUUCACAAAACUUUUCUCUCAUUUUAUUUUUCAUUAAUUCAUUCAACCAAUGCAUACUAGAAGUGUAUUAUUUGUUAGGCAUUGUUUUCGGUGCAGGGAACACUGAUAAAUAAACAGGUAAUGUUACUGCUGCCUUUGAGCUUCUAGUCUAUUAAACAUUAGAUGGACAAGUCAGUCUUUCUACUUUUUAGAAACAACCAGCAGAUAAUAUUUGUUAACAAAAGUCAUGAUGUAAGGAAUUUACUAAAGGAAUUCAGAAAAGAUUACAUAUUUUUCUGGUUACAUAAUAUAAGAAAUUUACUGAAAGAUUAUAGAAAAGAUUAUGACUAAACUGUAUCCAGUAUUUUAGUGAUUUGUUUAGCAGAUUAUUAAUUUAGGUAAAGGUCAUUUUGAUUGGAAACAUCUAUCAAAUCAGUCCAUGAGGUAAAAGAAAGCAAAAGAAAGCAGAGUCUAACAAAGGAGACAGAACAUUUUAAUAAGAGAUACCUUUAAAUUAUAUUUUAUACCAUACGAAUUGGUCUCUUUGUUUGAGAAUUCAAAUAUUUUACAGCCAAUACCACAUACAUUUACAUUCGGAUUCUAUAUACUCUUCUAGUUUCUAGUUAUAUACAGAUAUUUCAGAUAAUAAGAACCAAAUCUUGCCUCAAAUGCUAACAUCGUGGAUGACAACAUAGAGCCUACUGUAAUCCAUUAUGAUAUGAGCAAUGAUGGUAGGUUUGACAGCUGCAUAGGGAUCACAGGAGAAACUGUACCUGAGCUGUACCUGUAUCAAACAACUACAUAAUUUUUUCUGUCAUUGGGAAGUCAGAAAGAUAUACAGAAUCAGUGCCAUACCUGAGAGUUCAACUGUGUGCAAAUAGCUCACACCGUCUCUAAGUGUUUUAUUUCUAUAAUAAGAAAGGUAAGAUUUACCAAACUCUUUCUUCUUUAUUUUUAUUAUACAUCCUUUAUUAGUGAUUACUAGCCCAUGCUCAAAUGUUAGCUUGCCUCGAAUCAAAUCCUAGAGUCACUCUUAAUUAUUUUUAUGGUAUUAGGUAAGUGAUUUCACCUCCCUAAGACAUAGUUUCUUCUUCCAUAAUAUGAGAUUUAUGAGGAAGGUCCUAACUUGUAGUAGGGUGGUCAGGAGGCUUAAGUGAAAUCAUAGCUAAAACAGUUAACAAUUCCUGAAACCACACAAGUACACUGGAUAUCCUGACUAUUGGUACUUGUAUUCAUACUUGCAUUUAUAAUACGCAUUUCUCAGAUACCCCAACAGUUCAUAUCCAGACACCCCCAAUGGAUACACCUGAGACUGAUACCAGGUCAUCAUUUUUCGUUCUCAUGCUGCCAGCUACACAAGAGGCACGCACUGUGGAUCCACAGACGAAACAGACAGAGGCUAUGUUCCAUUCAAGACCUGGAACAGAUGAUCCCUUUUCCACGACAAGGACCAACCUCUGCCAAAACAAAUCACUUGGCACAAUUUCUAACUCUAAAUUAAUGUCUUCACUUAUUUGCUUAAUAACUCCCUCCAUCCUCGCUGUCAGAUCAGGCUAGGAGAGACUCCAUUGGAUGAGCAGUAGACUGCUCUUCCCCAGGUGCCUAGCACAGUGCCUGAUGCACCACACGCUCUCAGUGUGUGCUUGUUGAAGAAACAAAGACACAGUCUGCCCUUUUCAUUGAAAGCAGUGCCCCAAGGCAGCGGGUCCAAUCCAGGUCACCUCCAUUGUGCCUUCCCAUGAGGGCUUGCUCAACCCUCUCCCACCUCCUGUGGCCACCUCUCUAGAGAAGCUUCUUCCAGCUUGCCAGACAGUCUAGCUUGGAAUGCUGAACAGCAUCCCUGGUCCUUCUGAAUUUUCUAGCUGGGGAAGCAAAAUGUCAGUCUAUGAUUAAUCCCACACAAUAGGUGGUAAGAAACAUACCGAUGCCAUAUCUUGGCCUGAGGCACAACUCUUCUAUGGAGUUGAGUUUCCUGUAAAUUCGUGGCUGUUGAUUGUUAGUGUGCAGUCUUAAGGCCUUAACAUGUAUUUAUAAACAGUCUUCUUUUUAAAAGUGCAGGAGCAGUGUAUAUAGUAUGCGGUAUGCCACUAUUUUUUUUAAAAAAGAUAUAUCGCAUAUAUAUAUAUAUAUAUAUAUAUAUAUAUAUAUAUAUAUAUAUAUAUAUAUGACUUUUUCUUGCUUGUAUUAUCCCUAUGUUUUAUUUUAUUCUCCAAAGUUGAUAUUGUUUUCUUCUAAGGAAUGCAAUUCCAAAAAAACAAAUAUUGAAACCAAUAAAGACAUAAAAUUUAUGGUUAAUAGCUUCAUUUCAUUUGUUAAAUGUAAUUAACGUAUCUUUUUAUUACUAAGAUUAUUUACCAUUUUAAUGUAUAUAAUGACUAUUGCAUUAGAUUUUAUUUUUAAAAUGCUGUUACGCAAACUUAAAACCAAAAUUACCAGUGUUCUAUGGGACAGCUCUAAAUACAGUAUAGCUAUUAAAAAUAUAUAUUCUUAAAGUGUGCUAGGAAGAAAAAACACUUGACAUGAACUAUUCUGACAUUUAAAUCUUCUCUUAUUCUUGUCAGCACUGCCACAGCAAAUGAUAAAGGUGGUAUUAAUAGCCAUAUAAUUUUCUGAAAUUUUUGUAACAUUUUUUAACUCACAAGGCAGCUGGACAUGUUUACAGCUUGAAAUCUUUUAUUGCAUUAUUUGUAAGAUAUUAAUAUAUGGAUAUCAUAUAUGAAGGAAAUAAAAUGCAUAAUUAUUUUCUGGCACAUUGACUUGCAUUUAAUUAAAUAGUUUUUUCCUACUUAAGUUCAUCUAUCUAUCGAACAUUUCUAUGUUCUAGUUAUUCUUUGAACAACUGCCUUCUUAUAGAUAAGAAAAUUUUCGGUUUGCUGAUUGGUAAAUUGGUAGUUACUCCUCCAUUUUUGGUUCUUGUUAGUUUUCUAACACUAGGUUCAAACUCUUGAAGAAAAUAUUUUGUUCUGCAUGCACCUUUGCAGAAUUCUUCGAAAAUUUGCUGGCAGAAUAGUUGUAGAAAACCCCAAUUACAGAUAAUAAUUUUGCCAUUUUCCUGAUGACCCCUAGAGAGGAAUAAAUUUGCAAAAUUAGUUUAAUUUUGUUUUACUCCUGUGUCUUGUGCUUUCUCAUUUCCUUUCCUCAAGUUAUAGAAAAUACAUAAGCCCAGUACAGAUUCAGUCCCCUCUUCCACUCUACUCUGGCCAGUCACCUCUCUUCAUCAAUCCUGGGGAUGACUAAAGAGAAGUAGGGAAUAUAUGAUCCUUCCACUGACCAGCUAUGUGCAGGGACAUUUGGCAACUGAGUUGACCUUUAUCUGGACAAUGAUAGAAUGAGAACCCCUCUUAGAGGUUAAUGUGAAGAUCAAAUUAGUUAAUAGAAGGGAAGACACUUUGGAAAGUGAACCACAAAGGCCACCAGUAGGAGUAGAAUACUAGGAAAUGAUCUUUCUAAAUGCCAAUCUGGUCAAGUGCUUCCUGCAGCCUGUCUCCAACAAUACAAAGUAUCCAAGCUCCUUAGAAUGGCAUUCAGAUCUCUAAGGAUAGCUGAUGGCUUCUUGGACUGCCCUUUGAUUCCUAAGAGAUACUGCCCAUGGUUUUUCCUUUCCUCAAAUUCCUGGUAAGACACCUCUGUCUUCCUUCUACACACUAUUCAAUACCGUCUUCUCUUUGACAUGACCUUUUCCUUCCACCUCUUUUCACUUCUCUCUUACUUGCAGGGUUAGGAGACACCUGCUAUGUGAGUGUAUGUAAACCAUACUUCACAGAGCAAGCCUUAAAAAAAUACCAGCUUUCAUCCUUUUUCCUUCCCUUCCUAUUAAACCCUAUACAGUCAUAUGUACAAUGUAUUGAAUAAGUAUGGUGAGAAAAGAAAGUGAUAUAUUUGUAUUUCUUGUACAGUCUUCUACAAAUCUCUGAAAUUAGACAUGACUGUGAUUUUUUUUUAAAAUAAGUGGAUGUUAGGAUCUGGGCUAAUAGGGUUGGGGGUCUGAGGGAGACUUUUCAUUGUAUACAUUGAUUUGAUCUUUUGAAUUUUUAAUCAUGGGAAUAUAUUUCUCAUGUCAAUAUUAAGUAACAUAAAUAAAAAUUUAGUAUAAAAUUUUAAGUCUAGAAAAGUCGAAUGUAAAAGUUUCAUUCACUCGCCUAAUAUCUAAAUUAUGUGACUUACAAGCAUAUGGUGGAGAAAAGAAUAUGGCUCCCAUUAUCAAUAUUUCCUCCCUUCCCCUUGUCCUAUUUCUCCUCCAUUACUCAGUAGAACACUCUGACAUCCUUAGGGUUGAAGCAGAGGUGGAGAGGAGAGUUAAGGAGCAUAAAGAUUUUACUUGAAAGGCAUUGGUUUAAUCAGUUUUUGGCAGCUGAGCUUGACAGAAAAACAAUGUAUUUCUCAGUCUGGCUAUGGUCCCAUUGCAGAUCAAGAGGGGGCUGUGCUCUGUGUCACCUCCACUCUAAGGCCCAGUGACGGAGCCUGCACCGUUUCUAAUGUUUCCGGUUACUGUGGCAGAAGGAAAAAGCAUAUGACGAAUCACACACUGGCUCUUCAAAUGUCUGCCCAGAAGUGACACAGUCCCCUUGAGCUAUAAGUUCCUGGUCAAAACAAACAACAUGGCCACACCUAACUUCGAAGUGGGCAGAGACAUGCAGUGACCCAUGUAUCUAAAAAUACUAAAAAUAAUGGUAAAUAGCACUGAUAAAUAUUUUCUGAAAAAUAUAAAUCAAGAGUGGAAUUCCUUUUAAUUUUUCAUUUAGUUAUAGUUUGGGCUGUGAGAUGGUUGUGUUACACAUGAAAUUCACAUAAUUAGAAAACUAUAGGUGAGUAUGCUUUAACCCCCUGCCCCAACUUCCUCCUCUUUCUUUGUUCUUGUUUUCUUCCCCUCCUCUUUCGCUUAUAUUUUCCUCUGACCUCACCCUAAAAACACAGUUUAACCUACAAGGUACCAGAAUACCAAACCAAACCAACCAAACAAAAACAACAACAAAAAUUGGGUGCCCUCUGGAAUGUUUGGCUCCAAAAAAAAUAUUGAAAUCUAUAGCACCACUGAAAUGUCUAAUAUUACCAAUGUGGCAUUAAUAAAUGGACAGUCGUGCUCUUUUGUAGCUUUUCUCUCUGGAAGGAAGAUAUUGGAUAGUUUUUGUUUUUUAGAGACAAGGUCUUACUUUGUCACACAGGCUGAAGUUCAGUGGAACGACAUUGGCUUAUUGCAGCUUGACCUCCUGGGCUCAAGUAAUCCUUCUACCUCAACCUCUAGAGUAGCUAGGACUACAUCACCAAGCCGGGCUACUUAUUUUGAAAGUUUUGGUAGAGAUGGGCUCUUGCUAUGUUGUCCAGGAUGGUCUCAAACUCCUGGCCUCAGCAAUCCUCCUGGAGGCCUUGAUAUCCAAAAGUGCUGGGAUUACAUGUGUGAGCCCCUGUACCUAGCCAGAUAGUUCUUACUGUGACAAGGGGACAAGAAGCCUUUUCUCAGGGAGGACCAAUGGCAAUUCUUUUUACCCCACACUCUCAACAAUGAUUCUUCCAGGACCAUUUCCAUUUCUUCAGUCUAUUGCCUCCUUUCUCAUUGAGUGGCGAGCACUCUUGAGACCCAGCAGUUUGCUCUAUCUCAACCCACUGUGACAAAUAGGUAAACAUAGGCUGGGAUGUAAGGAAUGGAUAAUGGAUACUGGUUUUAGUUACCCCACCAGAGACAUUUUAAGUUAAUGCAAUUGAUGAGUAAAGCAACAUGUAUGGUUCUCUCUCACCAGGAGAGGAAAGGAAUAGAAAGAAUAGAGAAAUAUAGCCUACUAGUCAGUUUGGUGUUUGUUCCAAAAUAAACCCUAAAAUCUUUGCAGAGGCAAAUUGCUUAUUACUGUACCGUCAAGUGAAAUGCUCCAUGAAAUAUGUUCUGUUUUGCUAGACGUGUUUGGACAAUUUCCUGAAACUGUUAAACUGCUCAAUGGUAUUAACUCUUCUCCAACAGGCCAUUAGAAAUUUUAGCAUUUAAAAGAGAGAAGAGGGAAAAUACAGUUGGCUCAGUUGAGAAGCAAUCUCUUGGAGCUGGUAAUUAUGUCACAUCUGUUUGGAGAAACAAGUUGGCCUUUAAGAGAGUGAAUGGGGUAACAAUUUAAUUAAAGAUGGGUUAGAUUGCAUGGAAAUUACUUGCUAUUAUUAUUGGAGGAAUCUAUCAAAAUGGACCACUGGGAAAGCACUGUUUUCACUGUUUCUUGAGGAAAUUGUUCUUGGCAUAACAGUAGAAUUUAACUUCCUUUUCUGAAUGUAAGUUUCAGCCCUGCUGUAUGGAGGAGUGAGAUCAUUGCAUAGGGUCUGUGCACUUCCCCAGUUUCUGUUUUCUUCCUUUCUUACUCAGAUGCUGUUCUUUUAUAACUUUGUUUAACAUAACACUUGAGCCAACAUGGUAUGAUCUGGUUUGUGGUCGCUUUCUUUGGUUUGCAAGAAUUUUGGAAGGUAUUAUUUGCGUUUAAAACAAACUAUUUGCCUAUUGGCCAUCUGGCCAGUAAUUCCAGCAUAGAAUUCUAAGCUCUGUGAACUUGAACCUAACUCAAUUGAACUUGCUAAUCUAAUAAUAAGUCUAUUGCCCCACCUCAAUAUUACCAGUGGGAUGGUAGAAGGUUUUAUAAGCACCUCAGUUUUUUUCUCAGUGUGAAAUCAUCUAUAUCAAUCUUUUUGGUGCUGUACCCUAUACUGAACAUGGAAAUUCCACCAUUUAACGUGCUAAACAGCUAGCAAAGAACUAUUCCAUAGAUAUUGAACUUGAAAACUAUACAUUUUAAUAAGCCAAAGUACAUCAGGAAAAAUCAGAGCUUUAAUGAAGCUACAAUUGUAGAUAUGUUAAAAAAGACACCAAGUUCAUUGUAAAUGAAUUUCCAUUUGUUGGUUGAUUAUUUAUAGGGUGAAUUGCCAAAAAAGAUAGAGUUAAAUAAUCAGUCCAUCUAACUGACCUUAACUAAUGUAAAAUUACUUUCUGUAAGCCCAGGUUAGUUAUAAAAAGAUUGACCCUUUACCGCAGUUUAUCUGAUAUAAUCUCAGAUUAAUUAAUCUUGAUUAGUUUGUUAUUUGCCUCAGAUUUUUAAUUUUAAAAGGAUAUUAUUGGAAUUGUACUUUUUAAAAUAGUUUUAAUAAAAAUAUUACAUAGGUCUAUUCAUAUAAUAAAACUAUAGUAGAACCUUGAACAAAAUAGAGGUGAGGAGAGCUGACUCUUUACAUAGUCAAAAAUCCACUUAUAACUCUUGACUCCCUAAAAACUUAAUGACUAAGAGCCUACUGUUGACCAGGAGCCUUACCAAUAACAUAGUCAAUUAACACAUAUUUUGUAUGCUAUGUAUUGUAUACUGUAUUCUUACAAUAAAGUAAGGUAGAGAAAAUAAAAUGCUACUAAGAAAAUUGCAAGGAAGAGAAAAUAUAUUUACUAUUAGUUAAGUGGAAGUGGAUCAUCAUAAAGGUCUUCAUCCUGUUUGUCAUCACGUUGAGUAGGCCAUGGAGGAGGGGGCAUGGGAGGACUUGGUCUUACUGUCUCAGGGAUGGCAAAGGCAGAAGAAAAUCAGAAUAUAAGUUAAUCUUGCAACUCAAACUCAUGAUUUUCAAGGAUCAACUGUAAUUUCUUAGUAAUAAACCCUUUAGUCUCACAAGUGUCAUGAUUUGAACAACAAAUUGUAUGGUCACGUUGGUCACCCUAGGUAGAAAUUUGCUGAUUUCAGCAAAUUGGAAGUUACUGCAUGAUUGUCAGGAUCUGAGAAAGCAACUGAGAAGUAAUAGUUACAAUAAGUUACAAACCUUUUAGGACGGUGAACAUUUUAAGGCGUAUGUUUUCUCCAUGUGUCACAACCAACAGUAAACAAAGAUCAAAAUCAUGGUAGAAAAGCAGGAUUUAAUGGACAUCAGAGAAAUUGCAGAUCUGGAAUACAAGGCAAUAAAAAUUUACAACAAGGAAGUGGUAAGCCAGAGAGAGCUGCUUCAUGGUGGUAGGCCCAGGGGGAUUGGAGAGAGUGGUGCCAGAAAGUUGGAUAGAAAAGUUAAUGCAACAAUUAUAAAGAAGAUAAGAACGUAGUAUUUGAAAAUAAAUAUUUUAACAAGAUAAAUAUAAUACAAAAAAUGGAAUAAGAAAAAUACAUUAUUAUCGAAUAUUCUGUAUUGAGUUUUGGAAGUUUAUGUGUCUCCUUUUCUAAUGCCAUGAUUUUGCAAUGCAUUAUUGUUAGUAAUUUUUAGGUCUGCCUAUCCAAAUUAGGCUUUUGCAGCAUCUAACACCCUCCACCCUAGCUCACUUGGUGGGUGAGCCUCCAAUGACUACACCCAAGGAGGAUUUAACACAGGGAUUUUAUGACUUGCAACAAGUCAGGAGGACAUGGGGUUGGGGUAGUUCAGCAGUGCCUGUCUGAACAAAGGUGAAAAUUGGGCUUUUAUUGGGCUGAUCAAGGGGGAGUAAAGGCAGCCAGGAGCAGUCGCCUGUCAUGCUUCUACCUAUAUUGCAUGUAUAGAAAAGGGAAAAUAAACUCCUUCCUGGGCAGGGUUUUAGUAUGCUAAGGAGGGGAGUUAUUCAACUUCAAUCCAACUCAAGCAUCAGCAUUGCUGCGUCCAUCCCAGUUUUGUUUUGCUGGGGCUGAACUUCUUCCUAUAACUUUUUGAAACAACAAGAACUCAAGGUGUGACAGUUACAAGUGGGCCCUUUUUCACAGUGUGUACCUAAACACGUGAGGACCCUGGAUUACAGAAUGACAGACUCGAAGUGACUCAAGUUCCGGUUGUUCAUCUUUAGAUGGUAAAGAUGGCUGUACGUACUAUCCUUGCUUAUUUCCAAUCUAUUGUUUAAACUCUUGUAUAUGUAAUACCGCAGAGGCUAGAGAUACAACCUUUGACCAAAUGAGUGAAUUCAAGUAAUCCAUUACUAAUGUGAUCUGGAAACAAACAUGGUGUUGAAUGUGCAUAUGUCAGUUCUAUGUUGGGAGUUCACUAUAAGUAGGAGUUCUCUAAAAGCACUUCCACGUAGAAUGCAAUGAUUAUUUAAAAAUAAGUAAUAAAAAUGUGCAAAUUUAAAACAUGUAUAUGCUUUGAAUUAUAUAUAUAUAUAUGAAUUAUAUUUUACUAUGUAUACAAUGAAAACUGAACAGUAACCUCAGCUAUUGUAUAAAAGUGAAACCAACAAAAGAUUUUUUGGGGAGGAAGAUUAUUUUACUACUGACAUAAAGAAUUGCCAGGAAACAAUGACAGCAAACACAACCAACUUUUAGUUGCCAUUUAAGAAAAAUUCUUUCAGAUAAUGCAUUCCUUUAUUACUUGAACGGAGGGCAGACCACUCCGUCCAUUCUACCCUUGGCACACAUCACUUCCUAAACUGUCUUAUUGCUUUUAAUUGUAUAUUUUUUCCCUUAAUUUCAAUUAAAAUCUAUAAUUCAUUAGCUGUCAAAACCUGACCUGUUUGAAGUAGUAGCAAUUCAACAUUAAACCUCGACUAGUGUUGAAUAAUAUUUUGGGGCUUUGUGUUGUAUGCUACAGAGUGACCCCCCACAAGUUCCUUGCCCAUGUGUGGCUAGACAAUGGAAAUAGUUCCGUGCUUCAACAUGUUCCCCAAACACAUUCCACAGGAGAGCGCAUCCGAGCAUCAAUUCUUGUAAGACAACUGGGAAAUGAAGUCAUAAUUUGAGCUGAAGCAAGGAAGAUUAUUAAAUAUAUUUUCCAUGUGCUUUGAAAAUAUAUGCAAAGUAAAGCAAUCAGUGCUUGCCACUUUGUUUGUAUUCUAAAAGAAAGCUAGUUAAGGUUUUUCAUCAAACUGUAUUCUUCUUUAGGCUUAUAAAGUACCAUGAAGAGGAGGUAAAGAGAGAGUGGAUAUUUCAGUGGCUAAACCCAAAGUUUUUUAGCAUUUAGACUAUGGCACCCUCUAGAAAAGCAAUUUAAAAUGUGAAAAAAGAGAGGUCAGUUAAAAAAUAGAUUAGAUAGAUAGGUAGAUAGAUGGAUAACAGGUAGGUAGACAGAUGAUUGAUAAAGAGAUAGGCAGAUCAUAGAUAGAUAGAUAGAUAGAUAGAUAGAUAGAUAGAUAGAUAGAUAGAUAGAUAGCAUGAAGAUGGUUGAGGUGACUACACCCUAUGCUUCCUUCUGAAGUUUCGGGAAUAAUUGUUCAUUUUCCAAGUGACUGCUCAAUACAACAUUGCUCUGUUAGGUAAUUUAAUGACUGGUGUAAGUACAAAAAACAUUGCCAUCUGCUUUGUUUCUUUUGGCCUUAAUUAUAAUGUUAUCUUCUUUUCAGAGGCUAUAUUGUGAAACACUUAUUAUUCACCAUUAUUUCUGGCAGUGAUUAUAAUUUAUGACCAACAGUGCAGCACUGAAUAAUGUCUUGAUUGAUUGACUGAUUAAUGUAGAUUUUGUAGGUGAUAAGGGACAAAAAGCCUGAGAAGAUUUUCUGGAAAUGUAAAAGUAAUUUUAUUUUCUACUAUGUUUGAUGCCCAAAGAUCACUGUACUGAUAAUUUUAGUGAAUAAAGUGUCAACUAUAACAAGGAGCUUGUUUAUUCUAUCAACCAUGUGAUUUCAAAACUGGAGCUUGCUUUCACUUUUGAAAUUUUCCAUAAGCUAAAUCUAAUCCUCUAUAUUUACAACGAAAUUAAUUUUCUGAGUUAUUUAUUUUAGGAUAACUCUGAUCUUUUUCUUUUCUUUUUCUUUUUUUUUUUUUUUUUUUAAGAUGGAGUUUCACUCUUGUUGCCCAGACUGGAGUGCAGUGGCGCGAUCUUGGCUCACUGCAACCUCUGCCUCCCAGGUUCAAGCGAUUCUCCUGCCUCAGCCUCCCAAGAAGCAGGGAUUACAGGCAUGGGCCACCACGCCCAGCUAAUUUUUUUUUUGUAUUUUUAGUAGAGGCGAGGUUUCGCCAUGUUGGCCAGGCUGGUUUCCAACCCCUGACCACAGGUGAUCCGCCCGCCUCGGCCUCCCAAAGUGCUGGGAUUACAGGCGUGAGCCACCGUGCCCGGCAACCCUGAUCUUUUUCAAACUGCAAUUUAAAAUUUACUGAUCACACAGAACUGAAUUGAUUUUUAAUUGUCAUUCUGAAGAAGUAAUUAAACUUUAAUUACUACUUCUGAAAGAGAGGGUUUUUACUAGGACUUUUUCUGACAGGACAAUAAUUUCAUUUUUUGCAAUUUUUAUUUAUAAUUGGCAAAUAAUGAUUACAUAUGUUUAUGGGGUACAAUGUGAUGCUAUGUGUAUAUAUUGUUGAAUGAUUAGAUCAAACUAGUUAUCAUAUCCAUCACCUCACACACUAAUCAUUAUUUUGUAGUGAGAACACUUAAAAUCUGCACUGUUAGCAAUUUUGAAAUAUAUAUUAUUAUUAAUUAUGGUCACCAUGCUGUGCAAUAGAUCUCAAAAAUUAUUCCUCCUGUCUAACUGAAACUUUGUACCUUUUGAUUAACAUCUCUGUCUCAGCCUCUGGUAACCACCAUUCUACUCUCUACUUCUGUAAGUUUGAUUUUUUUAGAUUCCACAUAUAAGUGAAAUCAUAACAGUAUUUACUUAUCUUUCUCUACCUGGCUCAUUUCACUUAGCGUAACUUCCUCCAAGUUCAUUCAUGUUGUUGCAAAUGACAGAAUUUGCUUCUUUUUUUUAAGGCUGAACAGUGUAUAUAUACAUACAAAACAUUUCUUUAUCCAUUCAUUAACUGAUGAAUGGAGAUAAAUAUAUAUAAAACAUUUCUUCAUCCAUUGAUUAACUGAUGGACACUUAGGUUGGUUCCAUAUCUUGCCUGUUGUGAAUAAUACUUCAAGAACAUAGGAGAGUGGAUAUUUCUUUAACAGUUGAUUUCAAAUCCUUUGGAUAUGAACAUGGAAAUGAGAUUGGUGAAUUCUAGGGUAAUUCUAUUUUCAGUUCUUUGAGGCAUAUCUAUACUGUUUUCCCUAAUUGGCUAUACUAGUUUAUAUUCCUGCCAACUGUGUACAGGGGUUCCCUUUACUCCACAUUCUCGCCAACGUUCGUUAUCUUUUGUCUUUUUGAUGAUAGCCAUUCUAACAGGUAUGAGCUGAUAUCUCACUGUUGUUUUAAUUUUAAUUUCUCUGACAAUUAGUGAUAUUGAGCAUUUUUUCAUAAACUGGUUGACCAUUUGUAUAUCUACUUUCAAGAAAUGUCUAUUUAAAUUCUUUACCCAUUUUUUUAAAAAAUUCGAUUCUUUGUUUUCUGCUAUAAGAUUGUUUGAGUUCCUUAUAUAUUUUGGAUAUUCACUCCUUAUCAGAUGUGUGGUUUGCAAAUAUUUUCUCUCGCUCUGGGUUGUCUCUUCAGCACAGAAAUGGACAGUCGCACGUUACCACCUGUAUGAUCAUUAUUUUAAACACAAGCAGGAAAAGCUUUUGGGUUCCAAAGUUUCAGUCAUUAUGAUUGAAAAACUGCCAAACUGGUAGUGAAACAUUUAUUGGAUUGGGGAUUAAGCUAUUCAUUCUUUUCGCAUUAAAACAAUGAUGUAGUUUUAUUCGUAAAUCUAUAAAGUUAAGUGCACAGUCAUCACUUUUAGUACGUUCUGAUUCAUUGAAAUCCUGUAAAAUUUUAUGGAAAAAUCUGUGUAAACAAGCUUUAAAUAAGGCAAUAUUCCAAUACCAAAACUCGGGAUUUAGGCAUAGGUGCUAUAUUUACAAUUCUUAAGUAAUUUUCAUGUAUUUCACAUAUUUUUAAAACUCAUGUUACAAAAUAGCCUAAUUCUCUUUACUUUCUGUGUAUGAGGGAGGAAUUAACAUUUUGUAAUAUAAACCUCCCAAAAGUUAUUCAGAAUAUUUCUAAAAUAAACUGUUUUAGAUUCUUGGAGAAA